CCGCCACUCCAUAUCCUCGAAAGUCCGUAGUCCUUGUCUCAACUGUGUCUGGGGCCAGUGUAAGUCCAAUUUGCGCAAGCUCUUUAUGCACCACAGCUCUUCUGGAAGCUUUCUCAAGUAAGCACAUGGGUUGACAAUUAAGCUUUCAAGUUUCGGCAUUGCUCCAGCCCCCAUCGUCCACUCAUCUAGCCAAUACAUUGAUUUCAGGUGCAAAACCUUAAGUUCGGGAAAGCUACUCAAGCCAACACAAGCAAGCUUUCUUCCUAAAUACGAGUUCUGCUUCAGUUUCAGCACUCGAAGGAGUGGAAGAUUUUCCAGAAUUGGCAUGGGAUCCUGUUGUGAAUUUGGCUUUGUUACGACUAACCAAAUUCUCCCCAAGACACUAAUUUUGUAUCAAAUGGUUUGAGAAUUAACAGCACAGAUUAUGCAGUAACAAAUCACACGCAAGAACCAAAGCAUUAAAGAAACAAAGUGACACCAAGUAUAAGUGGUUCAGCACCAAGAUGUGGUGCCUACAUCCACUGGAAACAAAGCAACAGUCUUUCACUAUUUAGUUCACAAAACAAUACAAUAAUAGGAAUUUAUUUACAGAGAACAAGAACUUGUAAACCCCUUUCUCUCUCUAUCUUCUCUCUACUCUCUGUGUUUCCCAAUUCAUGUGUAGACGAUGACAGAGCCUGCACUUUUAACCUCUGUUUCUGGGUUGUUACAUUAACUACCCUUCCCGCCAAAACUAACCAAGAAGCUCCUCUCUCACGUGCUUGUCACAAGUUGGCAUAAGUGAGCUUGAAACGGCAAUCACAGAUGUCGUUCUUGAGCUAACGAGAUUUCAGCUUCACUACACGUGCAAACCACGUGUAUUACUUAAAGGUUGAAUGACCAAAGAGAGGAUGUCGGUUUUACUCUGAAGAACUCCUCAAGCGACAAGUCGGCUGAGACUAACUCCUCUAAACGACUUGUAGCACUUGAGUUUCGAGUUCACUGUUUAUCAAUCUCCACCUUGAACUCAGAACUCUAGCUACUCAUGUUUACUUCAUUCUCUUCCAUUUGCAGCUAAUCAGAAGCUGCAAAUCCCUACUAAGCUCAAACAGAAGUUGAGCUUGGCAGAUGGCAUAGCUUUAGUCAACAUAUCAGCUGGAUUUUGAUCAGUGUGAACCUUGAGCAUCUUCACAAUUCCCUUGGAAACUUCAAGUCUAACAAAAUGCAGCUUUACAUCGAUAUGUUUUGUUCUUUCGUGAUGGGUCUGGUUUUUACUCAAAUGUAUUGCACUCUGGCUAUCACAAUAUACUUCAACUGUUUCUUGUUUUGCUCCUAACUCAGAGACCAUUCCUUUUAACCAGAUGGCUUCCUUAAAAGCUUCUGCAGCUGCUGUAUAUUCGGCUUCAGUUGUGGACAAAGCUACCACACUUUGCAGUGUAGCUUUCCAAUUCACAGUGCAGCCUCCCAAAGUGAAUAUAAAACCUGUCUGAGACCUCAUUUUAUCAAGAUCUCCAGCGAAAUCUGAGUCAACAUACCCCACCAGCUUGUGCCCUUCCUGUUUUAACCCUCCAUAUAGCAGACCAAACUCCAUAGUGCCUUUCAGGUACCUCAUUAUCCAUUGGACUGCCCUCCAAUGUUCAUAACCUGGAUUUGCCAUGAAUCUACUCACUACACUCACAACAUGUGAGAUAUCAGGUCUAGUGAGAACCAUGGCAUACAUUAGAUUCCCAACUGCACUGGAGUAAGGUAUCCUUGCCAUUUUUCCUUGCUCUGCAUCAGUUUGUGGACACUGUGCAGCAGACAGCUUGAAGUGAUUUGCCAAAGGUGUUUGAACAGACUUAGAUUCAUGCAUCCCAAACCUAAGUAACACCUUUUUAACAUAGCCCUGUUGGGUUAGAAACAUAAGCUUCCUUCUCCUGUCUCUGAUAAUUUCCAUACCUAAGAUCUUCCUUGCAGCUCCAAGAUCUUUCAUAUCGAAUUCACUGCUCAAGAGGUCCUUUAAAUGACUGAUUUCAUUUAUGCUGUGACAUGCUAUAAGCAUGUCAUCCACAUACAGCAUAAGAUAAAUCAUCUUUCCAUCACCAAUGUCCUUAAAGUACACGCAACAAUCAUAAUUGCUUCUCUUAUAGGCAUGUUUUGUCAUGAAACUAUCAAACUUCAAGUACCAUUGCCUAGGAGACUGCUUUAAUCCAUAUAAAGAUUUCUUUAGUAAGCACACAUGAUCUUCCUUGCCAGACACCACAUACCCCUCAGGCUGCUCCAUUACAAUUUCUUCUUGUAAUUCACCAUGCAGAAAGGUUGUUUUAACAUCCAUCUGCUCUAGGUACAAGUCUUGAAUGGCAACUAAAGCUAAGAUGACUCUGAUGGAGGCAUGUUUCACAACUGGAGAGAAGAUUUCAUUGAAAUCAAUCCCCUCUCUUUGUGUGAAACCUCUUGCUACCAGCCUAGCCUUAAACCUACUAGGUUCAGCAUCAAAUAUCCCUUCCUUAAUUUUGAAGAUCCAUUUGCAGCUAACAGUCUUCCUUUUCUCUGGUCUAACUAUCAGUUUCCAAGUUCCAUUUUUCAUUAGUGAUUCAAUUUCCUCAUCCAUAGCCUUCUUCCAUUUCAGCUUAUCCCUGUUGUUUAUAGCUUCUUUAUAGGUUCUUGGCUCUUCUUCAUUUAUCUCUUGUGCAGCUGUUAAUGCAUAAGCUAUCAAAUAUGCUACUGCAUACCUCUUAGGUGGUCUUACAGCUCUCCUCUUUCUAUCCCUGACCAACUGAUAAGAGUUAUUUUCAUUCUCAGCUGGCUCUGACUCCUGAACACCAUCAGAUCCAUCAGCAACCCUUCCUGCAUCUUCUUCAGAUUCUGAUUCAGUCAUAUCUUGCUCAUGGGACUCCACCUGAAACUGAAUACUCCCAGGUUUUAUUUCUGAUCUAUACUCUUUGGAUUCAGUGGCUUUGGAAUUGUUCAAGAUUUCUGACUCAUUGAAAGUUACAUCCCUACUGAUAAUGCAUUUUGGUGGCUUCAGAUCAAUGCACCAUAGCCUAUAGCCUUUAACUCCAUCAGGGUAUCCCAAAAAUCUACACUUUAAGGCUCUUGGCUCCAAUUUGCCUUGUUUGACAUGUGCAUAAGCAACACAGCCAAAGAUUCUUAGUUUAGAGUAAUCAGCAACCCUUCCAGACCAUAGCUCGAUAGGUGUUUUGCAUUCUAUUGCUGUAGAUGGGCUUCUGUUUACCAAGUAGCAUGUUGUGUUUAAGGCCUCUGCCCAGAGUGACUUAGGCAGCUUUGAGUAUAGCAGCAUACACCUCACGUUGUCCAUUAAGGUUCUAUUCAUCCUCUCAGCAAGACCAUUUUGCUGAGGUGUGUGUAUGACUGUUUUGUGCCUCAUAAUCCCAUGUCUUUCACAGAAGUCCCCAAACUCUUUAUUGCAGAAUUCCAUUCCAUUAUCUAUUCUUAGAGCUUUUACUUUCAAACUUGUUUGUGUUUCUACCAGAAUUUUCCAUCUCUUGAACCUUUCCAAAACUUCAUCUUUGGUUUUGAGUACAUACACCCAAACCAUCCUUGAAUAGUCAUCUAUUAGGGAUAAGAAAUACCUACAGCCACCAAGGGAAUCUACCUGUGCAGGUCCCCACAGAUCAGAGUGUAUAUAUGCAAGCCUCUCUUUGGUAGAAUGAACUGCAGAUUCAAACUUGAGCCUGGAAGCCUUCCCUAGAAUACAGUCUUCACAGAACCCCAAAGAACUUAGCUUGUCACUUCCAAACACCCCCUUCUUUUGAAGCUCCUUCAGUCCUCUCUCCCUCAUGUGCCCCAACCUCAAGUGCCAUAGUUUUGCUUUAUCUUCACUCUUCUCAGUGACACUUGCCUCUCCAACAGUUGUAUGUCCAUUAAGCACAUACAAACCAUUUUGCUUGGUACCUUUCAUUAUGACUAUUGAGCCUCUGAUAACUUUUAAUGUCCCAUUUUCAGCCUUAAUGACACAUCCAGUUUGAUCAAGCAUGCCAAUAGAUAUUAGGUUCCUUUUGAGUUCAGGAACAUGCCUAACCUGAGUCAGUUCUCUAACCAUGCCAUCAUACAUCUUAAGGCUUACAGUCCCAAUCCCAACUACUUUACAAACUGAAUUAUUUCCCAUCAGCACCAUACCCCCAUCACAGGACUGAUAUGUAGUAAAGUAAUUUCUAUUUGGACUCAUAUGAAAAGUACAUCCAGAGUCUAGUACCCACUGACCUUGAGUUUUUUCUUUUGUGGCAAUGAGGACUUCAGCUGUCUCAAAACUGGUUUCUUCUGUGGCUAUUGCUGCAUUUCCAGAUUUUUCUUUUGAUUCCUUUUGUUUUGUUUUUCUCUCAGGGCAAUCCCUCUUGAAAUGCCCUUCUUUGUGGCAGUGAAAACACUUCAAGUGUUUUUGCUUUGACUUUGAUCUUCCUUGCUUCUUUCCUUUGUAUUCUCUUUUUUCAGAUCUUCCCCUUGCCAUCAGCCCUUCACUUGAUUCACUCUCUGAGUUAUCUUGUUUGUCUUUUAACUUCUUGGUACCAAGAGCAGAUUUAACCUCUUCCAAGGAGAGUGAUUGCCUUCCAUAUAACAAGGCAUCCACAAAAUGUUCAUACGAUUUUGGUAAAGAACUGAUUAACAGCAAAGCCUUGCUCUCAUCACUCAGUCCUUCAUCAAUUGUUUCCAGUUCAUCACAAACUUUAUUAAACUCAUCUAUGUGUUCAUCAAGUGAUGCUCCUUCAAUCAUCCUCAGUGAGAACAUCUUUUUCUUGAUGUAUAGCCUGUUUGCUAAAGACUUUGUCAUAUACAAUUGUUCCAGUUUUGCCCAGAGCCCAGCAACAGUCUUUUCUUUUGCAACUUCCCUUAUCACUGAGUCACCAAGACUGAGGAUGAUAGUGCUUCUUGCCUUUUUGUCAAUCUCAGCCAUCUGUUCUGGAGUUCUUGAAGAAGAAGCUUCUGCAUUUUCACUCUUGAUGACUGGAUCAAUGGCAUCUCCCAGACCUUGUGUGAUUAACAAUGCUUCCAUCUUGAUCCUCCACAUAUUGAAGUCAUUCUGACCCGUGAACUUCUCAAGAUCCACCUUGUUUGUCAUUUCUUGAACCUUGAUACAGAAAAGAGGGCUCUGAUACCAAUUUGUUGUGAAUUUGGCUUUGUUACGACUAACCAAAUUCUCCCCAAGACACUAAUUUUGUAUCAAAUGGUUUGAGAAUUAACAGCACAGAUUAUCCAGUAACAAAUCACAUGCAAGAACCAAAGCAUUAAAGAAACAAAGUGACACCAAGUAUAAGUGGUUCAGCACCAAGAUGUGGUGCCUACAUCCACUGGAAACAAAGCAACAGUCUUUCACUAUUUAGUUCACAAAACAAUACAAGAAUAAGAAUUGAUUACAGAGAACAAGAACUUGUAAACCCCUUUCUCUCUCUAUCUUCUCUCUACUCUCUGUGUUUCCCAAUUCAUGUGUAGACGAUGACAGAGCCUGCACUUUUAACCUCUGUUUCUGGGUUGUUACAUUAACUACCCUUCCCGCCAAAACUAACCAAGAAGCUCCUCUCUCACGUGCUUGUCACAAGUUGGCAUAAGUGAGCUUGAAACGGCAAUCACAGAUGUCGUUCUUGAGCUAACGAGAUUCCAGCUUCACCACACGUGCAAACCACGUGUAUUACUUAAAGGUUGAAUGACCAAAGAGAGGAUGUCGGUUUUACUCUGAAGAACUCCUCAAGCGACAAGUCGGCUGAGACUAACUCCUCUAAACGACUUGUAGCACUUGAGUUUCGAGUUCACUGUUUAUCAGAUCCUCCAUUAGCUCAGUAUUUGAUAAGCUCAGUUGGAUCAGACUUGGGGGAAAUUGGUAUUCAGACAGGACCAUCCGUGACGGCUUGCUCUCAUUCACCAGCUUCAAGCAUUCAAGUUUGUGGAGUUCGCAAAGGCUUUUGGAAACCCCAGAUUGAUAGUAACUCAAAUCUCCAGAUAUCCGAAGAGUCCGAACACUAGGUAGUCUGAACAAUAUAUCAGGAGUACAACUACUAGGGUUUAAAGCAGAUGUGAAAAUGAGAUUUUUCAGAGAGCUAGAAUAAUUUUUUGGAGGUGCGGGCAAAGUGAUAGAACCAAAGUUUAGAUGCAUGAGUUUUUGCAUCAUCCAAAUAUCCUCUGGUGACUGAUCUAUGUGGCUAGAUGGCAUUUCUAGUGUUUCAAGGUUUAAAAGGGUGCAUAGCAGUGAAGGAAGGCAUUUGAGCGAAGGGAUAUUCAAUUUCAAAUACUUCAAAAGAUAUAAAUUUUCUAAUCCGGGUGGAAAUUGGUCGAGAACUGCAGAACCGAAGUUCAAUACCCGAAGGUGUUUGAACCUUUUAAAAAAAUUCUCGCAAUCUUUCGGAUUAAGAUGAUUGCUUUUUGAACUGUGAUUCAGAAAAGAUUGGAGAUACAUGUAAGAAUAUUCUAAAGGAAAGAAGUCAAACUGAUUACCCAAAAUGAUGCACCGUUUAAAAUUUGCCGGCGGUUCCUCAUCCACGUCAUGCAUCCAGACAAAUCCCGUCGCCUGUGCCAACAAUAACAAUGAAGUAUAUACAAAACUUGGAACAUAACACGCUUUAAUUGUGCCGCCGGCGCUUCUCUUACUCACUUGAAUGAAGCCGCGAUGGAUUAAUUGUUUCAAGUAAUGUUCGGCAGUUUCUUCACUGUUGUAUGGUAUGAAACCUUCAGCUACCUACAACUGAUAUAAUUGCCUCGUGGAUAUCUCAAUACUUGGAGGGAAGACACACAAAUAGAUGUAGCAGACUUUCAAGUGAAAAGGUAACUCCAUCACAGAAAAAAUUUGUCUCUCAACUGUCAAGCCGAAUUUUCCUUGGGUCAGGGUUUCUAAUGGCAUACUUCCAUAGUGUAGGAUGAAAAAUUGCCAGGCUUCAUGCUUUAAUCUGAUCAAUGGUCCUCCAAUGAGCACCGAAUCAAGCCGAAUUUUCUCUCCAUUUUCCAUUUCCAACGACGUAAGGAGUGUUGGUUCAGUGACCAAUAUCAAUACUCUGCUUCCAUUCUGAUCAUCAGGAAGAAGUUCUACAACAUCACUCCACAUCUCACUGUAAUGGAAGACAUCAUCAAGCACAAUAAAGUACUUCUUGUUUGUUAGGUAAUCUCGAAGAAUAGAUUUCUUGAAUUGAUAAUCUUUACCGAUAAUUACUCUAACCCGAGAUGGAGGCAUCACAGAUUUGAUUAUGUCUUCCAAUAUCUUGCCAAAAUCGUAGAGUAGAGAAACCCUGACCCAAGCAAGACAGUCAAAAUAGAACUUGACAUAGUUAUUAUUGUAAGUAUCUGCAGCAAAAGCAGUCUUAUCGAAGCCACUGCUGUCGAGAAUUGCAACCACUGAAAGCCCAGAUGGUCCCUCAAUCAAUAGAUCAAAAAACUUCUCUCAGCCCCGUUCAAAUUCACUGAUAUCGAGCGGAGGUUGUCCCUCACUUAAUAGGCGAAUGAUUUCGUUACUUUUUUCACUGAUAUCAAAACCAUUGUCGCCGGGUGGAAGUUGUUGCGUCCGAUUUCUAAUAUCAAUGAGUUCACUGUGGAGUCCAUCAUGAAGAGCCAUAUUAGUGCUGCUUUCACUUUCGUUUUAACUGUUUUGCUGCUGCAUGAUGUUGAUGAAGAACGUGUCAAUGGCUUCCUCAGAUUCAUGGACAAAGUCAUUGAUGUCCUGAAGAAUUUCCAGAAUGUCUGAUCUUUCAUCGUCUUCUUCAUCACUUUCUUCUAAGUCCAACAGUUGCAAUAAAGGCAAAGACAUUUCGGAUUCAACGAAUUCUUGUCUGAUGAGUUGAGACAAAAUCCGAGCCAUGUCAGCUUCAUAGUUUCCCAACAGAGUAGUAGUAAUAAUUUCAGACUCCGUAAGAAGGUUUUGAAAAAACGGGGCUAAAUUUGUUGAAUCAGGCAACGUUAACGUGCCUUCUUCACCUGCUAACACCCUUCUCAACCUCUCACAAAACAGUCGGAGGUGGACGUCCAGCAUAUCUCCUUCUCUCUGUAGCACCCAGAGGUAUUGUUUUUUGCUCCAAGAAAUAUUAAAAGGAUUGGUUCUAUCUCAAAGUGGUUACUGGUGUAAAAUUAAACGCCAUGGGAGAAUUUGAAUGGAAGAUGCCAAGGAACUGGCGAAGUGGCUAAAUUCCACAAAUACGGCAUUAUUGCUCAUUUUUAACUCAAAAAAUUGAUACGCGUUCAUUUAGCGAAAAGUCCAAGACGCGUGCCUUUUGAAAAGAAGAGGUAUCCAAUAGAUAUCCAACCUUUAUCUUAUUUUAAUUACUACCACGACAUGAUUGAUGGUGGUUAAAUCAAUUGUUUCUUUUUUAAUUUAAAGAAAUUUUCAUUAAAAAAAUAUUUUAAUAUCAAAUUGCCUUCAAUAGCGUAACUGCCGCAGGCCCAGUAACAGGAUUAAUUAAAUUUUUUUGAAUUUUUGGGCAUGGAAAGAGUAGUAUUAGACUUCAGUAAGCUAAGGUUGUUAUGUUAAAGAAUUGAUAUUGACAUAAUUUUAUUUUAGCUUUCGGGGAAAAAAAUAUUUGUUGACAAGCAAGAAAAUAUUUUUGUAUUUUACAAUUUAUUAUACUUAGUUUAUCAUAUUAAAGUAAUUUUAAUAAUAAAUAGACACAUAAUAUUACAAUAAAUAAAGUAAAGUUUAAAUUAUUUUGAAUAUUAUAAAAAAUAAUUUUAAUAUUAUUAAUAGGAAGACAUUUUGUUAAUUUUAAAAUAUUUUUAACCUAAAGGUUUAUUUAAAAUCUUUAGAAAUCUCCAUCCCACAUCUACCCUAUUAAACAAGUUGAUGGAAAUUGAACAAUUGCUUUUUGAAGUGUACCCAUUGAGUUAUGUUCAUUACUGGUCAUUGUCUAUUCUUUCUAAGAGCCACUUGUUUUGAGCAUUAGCAAUCCUAUCUGGACUACUCCAAUUAUUGAUGUAACUCCAAUGGUUGCAUCAACAGUUGAAUGUAAGAUAGUGUUAGUUCUUUUUUGAGAAUUUCUUUAUUUGUUUCUCCGUUGCAGCGUAUUAGUAUAAAUUUCUUUACCUUACAGAUCCUACAGUCUUCCUGUUAAUGAAUUCGCUGAGGCAUUAUUGAUCCAAUCUCAGUGAAGUAAUUGUGGGUGAAAGAAAAAAUAAAGGAUAAGAGAACGUAGCUCAAGUGCGGCAAACCAUACAUGCAUGAACAAAAGCCAGCAAAUCCAAAUGAAAACUUAAACGGAAGAUCUUAUUCAAGUUUGUCCCCAAAAGACAGCUGAAAUGAAAAAUAUUGACUAUCGAGUGGAUCAAUGCUGAAUUACAUUUGACCUGGAAAGCUUGGCUGCCGUUGCGAUGUUCCCCCUCUGAUUUUCCCUAAAACAAAUUCAGUUGUAAACAAUAACUGGGGUAGCAACAAUUUAUUCAUUAUAGAAAAUACCUAAAUUUUCAACCACCAAAUCCUCGUGUCUAAACUAAAAAACUCAUAUCUCUAAAAUCUAUAUACAAAAUGUCAUAAAUGAGGGUGAUCUCUCAAUUCGGUAAAUAAAUUCAUGCAUAAUAUUACCAAUAAUGAUAAAUUACAUAAUAAUUAUUAUAAAGAAUCAUAAAUUGGAAACAUUAAUCAUUUUAAAAUGUAUUACAUAAUAAAGAUAAAUCUUAUAAUAAGUUACGUUAGAACAUAAUAAAUAUUUUCAAUAAUAUAUAUAAUUAUUUAAGAAGUCUUUUAGCAAUAAAAUAUAUAUUUUUUCUUUUUCAGUUGAUCAUGUCAUAGCGUUAUCUAAAAUGUUAGCGAUAUCAUUAUUCUUCACUUUUCUCAAAAAAAAAAAAAGAAAAAAAAAAGAAACAUGAUUAACGUUUGGAGAAAAGUCAUGCCUUUUAAAAAGAAUAUGUAUACAAUACCAAUCCAUACUUUAUCUGACCAUGACAAAAUUGUUUAAAAUAGAUUUAAUGCACAAAUAUGAUGACUUUUGGCAGAAAUUAGUUUCGGAAAUAUUGGGAUGAAAACCAUAUUGGUUGAGACUUAAAAUUACUUAACUACCAUUUAAUAGAUAAAAACCAUAUUAGUUGAAAGUUAAAUUAAGAUUUAAAUGUUGAGAUAUCUAACGUUACUUAAUCAGAAUAAACAAUAAUCAAUUCAAAUUAUGACUAUCAUGUAGAAGCAAAUGUUUAUGCUUGGGUCUUUUACUUCUUGAAUUUGAUUGGAAAAAUUUCUGAGACAGAGAAGUGAGUGUUUUGGAUAAUAUUUUUCGGGAUUGAAACCACAAAUUGGUCGAGGAAAAUAAUUUUGGACAAAUUUUUAUUAUAUUGUAGCACCUUUUUGGUUCCUUUUGUGUCGGCAGCCCCUCACUAUUCUCUUAACCCUGAGUUUUGAGAUAGAAAUUUCCCGAACUCCAACCCCACAUCCACAGACAAGUUGAUUGAAACAAUUGCUCUUGUAAUUAAGAGGAUGAGAUAGGGUUCAGUUCUUAUCAUUGUCUGUUAUUUCUUUGAAUCAUUAUCUUAAUUAAUUACAUCAAUUGUUUCUUUUUUUAAUUUAAAGAAUUUUUCUUUAAAAAAAUAUUUUAAUAUCAAAAUGCGUUAAAUGGUAUUACUGCCGCAAUCCCAGUAACAGGAUUAAUUAAAAAAAUAUUCUUAGGAAGAUAUUUUGUUUAUUGUAAAAUCUUUUUAAUCCAAAGGUUUAUUUAAAAUCGUUAUAAUAAAUAAAAAUAUAAAAACAAAAUAAAUAUCAUAAUUUAAAAUUUUAAUAUUAUUUUAAAUAUUAAAAAUACUUUAAUGCUAUUAGUCUACUACACAGGUUAUAUUACUUAUAUUAUAUUUGUAUAAAUUAAAACUUUUAAAGUUAAAUCUUUAAUUACUAUAUUGAAAAGGUAUUAUGGUUAAAAAAAGUUUUGGCAUUUUUUUUUGAAAAUUUGAGGGUCUGCAUGACAAUUUGUCCAAAUCCUAGAGGUAUAGGUGUAUUUUUUUUUCGAUAAUUCAUUUUACUUUUGAGGGAAUCCGAUGAGAAAUAAGAUAAGAGAAACUUCAAUUUAAUGUUCUCUAGGGAAAACCAAGAACUAUUCAACUUUGUAUUUUUUGUUUGUAAAACAAAAAACAGUUUGCCAAAAAAGGUACCAAACAUAUCCUUAAUGUCUCACAUGAUUUCUUAUUAAGUCCAUACUCGAUAUAUUUAUACAUUUUAGGUAUUUUAGUUAUAAAAGAAGUUGGUCCUCCCUCUGUUUAUAAAAGGUAACUUUAUUUCGAGAUUACCACUAAAGUCUUACAAAGAAUUAGUGUAAUGUUAAGAGAGACUAACACAGUUUUCCAUUACCAUUUUGAAAAUAGAAAGAUAUGGAUGUGUGCAUUUAAUGGUGAGUUUACUUGCCGGAUUGGGGAAUCAGAAUCUGGAAUCGGAAUGAUUGAUGGUGUUUACUUCGCAAAUAUGGAGCAGGAAUCAGAAUUGGAAUGGUGGAGCCCACCACUAUUUGGGAAUGGGAGAUUGAUUCCCAUGGGGGAAGGUGGGAAUGAGUCUCCCAUUCCCUGGAUUAACCAUUUUGCCCUCCCUCAAAAUUAAAAAUGCCUACUUUGUCCUCUUUUAUAAUUAAUUAAUAUAAUAUUAUAAUUAAUUAAUUAAUAUAUAAAUAUUUUAUUAACUAUAAUUAUUAAAAAUUAUAGUUCUUGAAUAAAUAAUCACAAUAAUUAAUUUAUUAUUAUUAUUGUUAAUGAAUUAAUAUAAUUAUUACUAUUAAUUAAUAUAUUAAUAUAUUAUUAACAAUAAUAUAUUAAUAAUUAUUUUUCGUGAAUAAAUAAUCACAAUAAUUAAUAUAUUAUUAUUGUAAUUAAUUAAUUAAUAUACUAUUAUAAUAAUUAAUUCAUAUAUUAUUAUUAAUUAAUUAAUAAAAUUAAAAUUAUUAAUUAAAUAAAUAAUAUAAUUAUUACUACUAAUUAAUAUAUUAUUAAAAAUAAUUAUUAAUAAUUAUAAUUUUUGAAUAAAUAAUCACAAUAAUUAAUAUAUUAUUUUAAUUAAGUAAUUAAUAUUAAUAUUAUUAGUUAAUAUAUUUUUAUAAUAAUUUUUGAUAUAGUUAUUAUAAUUAAUUAAAUUUUUUUACAAUUAAUUAAUAUAUUAGUUAAUAAUAAUUAUGACAAUAAUCCAUUAAGUACUUUUUAGUAAUUUGUUACAAUCUAAUUCAUUCUGAUUCCGAUUUCAAGACAAAGUAAACACAUUAAUGGCAAUCUAGCUCAUUUCGAUUUUGAUUCUUACAGUUCAAGUAAACAACUUAUUUUGAUUCCCAUUACCUAUUCCCAUUCCAGCCCAUUCUCAUUUCUGCCCAUUUCAAUUCCAGCUCAUUCCGAUUCCAGUUUAGUAAACGCAGCAUAAGAGUUAUCAUGAAAAUCAUACAAUUUAAUUUCCUGAAAUAUAUAUUUUAUUCACAUGUGCCAAAAGAAUAAAUAGAUAGAAAGUAAAUUUACAAUCCUCACUCCCUCAUAAUUGUUAAAGUGAAUAUGCAUUACAACUGUGAACUGUCACUACUUUAGCCCCUUUUUUUUUUUUUUCAAUUAUAGUGUGAUGGAGACAGUGAACAUUAAGGAUAAAGUGCUCUGCUGAAAGCCAAACUUCCUUUGGCUAAUUAAUUUAGAAGUAAAGCAGAGAAUAAAGUCCUUGAUGCCUUCUGAAAUUAGAAAUACAUUUUAUAUGCUUUAAUUAUGAUUAUUUGGUAGACUAUUGACCAAAAGACAUGUUAAAGUAUAAAACAGAGCGAUCAAAGAAAAAAAAAAAAGGAGCGUUUGUGACGUAGAAUAACAAUUUGUAAGUAAAGUCCUAAUUUGAGUUGUCAAAAAGCAAAUAUAACAGAGAAGGUAAGAGAGAUGCAAAAAGGGGAAAUUUACAGUAAUAACCAUUAAAGUUUUGAUUUUUUUCAUCUUAACCCCUUAAAAAUAUUUCUAUCAACAUUAGCCAUAAAACAACUUUUGAGACCAAAAUACCUCUCCUUCAUCUCUCCCCCAAAAAACUUGUUCUGUGGCCAAAAAGCUUGAUUUUUUUUUUAAAAAAAAAAUCUAAUCUUUUGCGGCUUGUUGCAUGAUUUUAAGAUGAAAAAUUUGUCAAGUUGUAUUCUAUCAGCAUUAUUAUUAUUAAUGCUUUCACCUGCAAAUUCAUUGAUAUUCAUUCCCCCUUCCAUAAUCUUCGUGCCCAAAUUGCUUCUAACUUUUCUCGACUUCGACGCGGGUGAGAGAUUGCUUUUCCUUUCACCUUUUUGUUUUCUUCCGUUUAGCUUCAUUAUUUUAAAAAAAAAAAAACCGAAACAGAACAGAAACAAAAGCUUCAGCCCGCGGCCACCGUCCAAGGCUGCCGGCUCUCGUUUUCCGUCACCGAUCCGGACGCAACCACCACUAAACGGAUCAUAAAUCGCCGGCCAUCAAACUCCAAGCAUCGGACACCGUUGAUUAGCCACAGAUCGCCGGAAAAGCAACCAAAACAGCCGCGCCAACCGUGCCGUCAUUCACCGGUUUCCGCCGCGAUUUAGCCAGCACCACCGUAAUCAAUCCACUCCUCUCCACGAGCUCAACCUCUUUCGUUAUUCCCCACCUCCGAUCGACCAACCCAUCGCCGGAAUCUAAGCAUCACCAAACAGUUACAACUUAUCUCAAAUUUCCGGCCAAAACGCCACCGUUUCCGACGAAUCACAAACAUCAUCAUGAACAACUUCAAGUUUUGGUGCGACAGGGUGCUUGUCGCACCAAAACUUGGUGCGACGGGUGCCUGUCGCACCAAGGCUUGGUGCGACGGGUGCCUGUCGCACCAAGGCUUGGUGCGACGGGCACCCUGUCAUCAGAUUCAUCCUCCGACUCAGAUCAAUAAGUUUGAAAAUAACUCAUGCCACGAUGCCGAUUAGUUUUGGUCUGUAAAGAAGGGUAAUUUAGGGAGAAAGGCUUGUGUUUGGCUAAUGUUGAUAGAAAAAAAUUCAGAGGAUUAGUUGCAAAAAUAACAAAAUAUUUAUGGUUAUUUUCGUAAAUUUCCCCAAAAAGAGAACUAUUAGCUUAUCUUGAUUUCCCCACUAUAUUCAUUUUCGAUGCUUUUCAAACGAGAUUCUUUUAAUCCUUCUGGCGUCUGCAGCCCCUGCUCUUCUUAUAAAUCUCCAUCCCACAUCUGCACUACGAACAAAUUGACUAAAAUUAAAUAAUGUUGGAGACGAGGGAUGAGCUGUCAACUUAUUAAAAAAAACUCAUGUAUAAUAUUAUCAAUAAUAUAAAAUAUAUAAUAAUUAUUAUAAAGAAUCAUAAAUUAGAAAAAUUAAUUAUUUUACAAUCUAUUUCUUAAGUAAGAUAAAUCUCGUAAUAAGUUAAGUUUAAUGUAAAAAAAUAUUUUCAAUUUAUAAUCAUUUAAGAAGUCAUUUAACAAUAAAAUCUUUCUUUUGAUCAGGUGGCCAUGCCAUAGAGUAUCAUCUAUAUUCGUGGUGAUAUUAUUAUUACUCAAUAUCCUCAAAAGACACGAUUUAACAUUUAGAGAAAAUUCCUGCCUUUUAAAAAGAACAUGUAUGCAAUAGCUAGCCACACUUUAUUUUACCACGACAAAAUUGAUAGUGAUUAAAUCAAUUUUCUCAAUUAAAGAAAUUUUUUUAAAUUGAUUUAAUGCACAAAUAUGAUGAGUUUUUGCAAAAAUUAGUUUUGGAAAAUAUAGUGAGAGAGAAUGGUGACGAUUAUUUUUCAGAUGUGCAAAUAGCCUAAACAUAAUCUCUAAUACCAAUAUCCUUGUGCAUCUUAACACCUUUCAUGAUAUUCUUUCAUUCAUGGCCAUUUGUUCAAUAUUUGAAUUUGAUUAUUAAAUUAUGUUCAAUAAUGUUAGAGACCCCAAUAAUUGGGUACCAACUUAAAUCCCAAUGCUAUGUGUCAUUAACAAAUGUUGUGUCAUUUAUCAUUAUUGAAUGAAUAAUUCGUUAAUUUAUUGAUAAAUGAAAAUUUAUUAAUUUAAAGAGAGAUUGUUUUUUUUUGGUUUUAAGAAGAGUUUUGUUGGUACAUGUACAUACUUAUAAAGAAAUAAACUUGUAAUUAUACUAUAUCUUUCUUUCUUUGUUCAGUUUGGUGGGAUAUUGUGAUAAAUCAUUGGAUUAAAAUGCAUUUCUAAAUUGAAACUUGUUAAAAUCUAAUUUAUUUAGGAAACACAUAUUAUUUGUCAGUCGUACUUCUCAAAUAAGAUUAAAACUCACCCAAUUCAAUCCAUCAGAUUCCGUAAGGAUAUAACUGGAUGUCAUACCGCCACUCCAUAUCCUCGAAAGUCCGUAGUCCUUGUCUCAACUGUGUCUGGGGCCAGUGUAAGUCCAAUUUGCGCAAGCUCUUUAUGCACCACAGCUCUUCUGGAAGCUUUCUGAAGUAAGCACAUGGGUUGACAAUUAAGCUUUCAAGUUUCGGCAUUGCUCCAGCCCCCAUCGUCCACUCAUCUAGCCAAUUUACUCAUGAAUUGUUGUUCAUAUUAGCAAUUUGAUUGAAAGUGUGGCUGCACUAAUUUUCUAGAUGAAUUUUUUCCUACAUGCUUGUUCCCGUGUGACCCAAAAUCCUGCUACAUCAGUUGUAUUAGAAAUUAAUCAACUGGGUUACAAUUAUGCAUCCCCACCAAUAUUUAAGCAAUUUAAUUACAGAAACAUUUCUUGAGGAAAAAAACUCAUAUCGCCACUAGGCUUUUAAUGAGGCUCAUUUUUAUGAAUUUGGAUGGCAUUAGAUAUCUCUCCGAAUAUUGGUGGGAGUAGAUCGCAGAUCUCUGGGCUAUACUACAAAGUGUAUGUACGUUGACUCUCAAUAAAUACAAACGAUUCUCUGAUAUGAUUCAAAACAUCAGUGCAUGCAUCAUUUUAAUGAGAAAGAAUAUUCUAAGAACGAAAUUGAACGUGCAAUCAGCAAUUAAAAUGAAGCCAGAAAUGUACAUGCAUGAGGAAUUUUUCUUAGAAGAUUGAUAUUUCUUUGACUAGCAAACCAUACAAGUCCAAAGCUAGCAAACCAUACCUGCAAGUCGGGGGUUUAAAUGGAGUACUUCUAAGCAUAAAACAUUGAUUAAAACAGAAUACACACAUACAUACCAGCAAAUUCAAAAUAGCAAAAGGAGUGCAAAAGUUCAAGUUUGUAGACAACAUUGCAACCAUGGCAUGUUUAUAGCAAAUCCUCGAAAUCUGCUAAAUAAAACAAUGCCCUGUCUCAUGAAUCAAUGCUGAAUUAAAAUUGAAACUGAAAGUCUGGCUGGCGUUGUUUCCCUCUCCAAUUUUGCCUACAUAAGUGAAAAUAAGAAUAAUAAAUGAAAAUCUGCUUUUACGGUUCUUCUUUGAUAGAUAAAAGGGGGAUCUUUCUUUGUUUCUCUGCUGCAAUGUGUGCCUAUCCCACUCUGUUUUGCCACCCAAGCUGAGUCUAUGUUGAGACAUAAUUUUGACAUCCGAAGCAAUCUCAAUUAGUUUGGCAAUUUUAUGACCUCCUUGAAGGUUUUAUGAUAAACAUAAAUCUACUGAGAAAGUGGGAAAAAAAGAAAAUGCAUAUAAAAAUAUGAGUUAUCAGAUAAGAUUAAAACUCACCCAAUUCAAUCCAUCAGAUUCCAUAAGGAUAUAACUGGAUGUCAUACCGCCACUCCAUAUCCUUGAAAGUCCGUAGCCUCUGUCUCAACUCUGUCUGAGGCCAAUGUAAAUCCAAUUUUCGCAAGCUCUGUAUGCACCACAGCUCUUCUGGAAGCUUUCUCAAGUAAGCACAUGGGUUGACAAUUAAGCUUUCAAGUUUCGGCAUUGCUCCUGCCCCCAUCGUCCACUCAUCUAGCCAAUACAUUGAUUUCAGGUGCAAAACCUUAAGUUCGGGAAAGCUACUCAAGCCAACACAAGCAAGCUUUCUUCCUAAAUACGAGUUCUGCUUCAGUUUCAGCACUCGAAGGAGUGGAAGAUUUUCCAGAAUUGGCGUGGGAUCCUCCAUUAGCUCAGUAUUUGAUAAGGUCAGUUGGCUCAGACUUGGGGGAAAUUGGUAUUCGGACAGGACCAUCCGUGAGGGCUUGCUCUCAUUCACCAGCUUCAAGCAUUCAAGUUUGUGGAGUUCGCAAAGGCUUUUGGAAACCCCAGAUUGAUAGUAACUCAUAUCUCCAGAUAUCCGAAGAGUCCGAACACUUGGUAGUCUGCCCAAUAUAUCAGGAGUACAACUACUAGGGUUUAAAGCUGAUAUGAAAAUGAGAUUUUUCAGAGAGCUAGAAUAAUUUUUUGGAGGUGCGGGCAGAGUGAUAGAACCAAAGUUUAGAUGCAUGAGUUUUUGCAUCAUCCAAAUAUCAUCUGGUGACUGAUCUAUGUAGCUAGAUGGCAUUUCUAGUGUUUCAAGGUUUAAAAGGGUGCAUAGCAGUGAAGGAAGGCAUUUGAGCGAAGGGAUAUUCAAUUUCAAAUACUUCAAAAGAUAUAAAUUUUCUAAUCCGGGUGGAUAUUGGUCCAGGACUGCAGAACCCAUGUUCAAUACCCGAAGGUGUUUGAACUUUUUACAAAAAUUCUCGCAAUCUAUCAGAGCGAGACGAUCGCUUUCUGAACUGUUAUUCAGAAAAGAUUGGAGACGCGUGUCAGAAUAUUCUAAAGAUAAAAACUGAAUCAGAUCUUCCCAAAUGAAGCACCGUUUAACAUUUGCCAGUGGUUCCCUUUUCCUUUCACGCAUCCAGACAAAUCCCGUAAUCUCUGCCACCAAAGCCAAUGAAGUAUAUACAAUACUUGGAACAUAACACGCUUUGAUUAUGCCUCCGGCUCUUCUCUUACUCACUUGAAUGAUGCCGCGAUGGAUUAGUUCUUUCAAGUAAUGUUCGGCAGUUUCUUCACCGUGGUAUGGUAUGAAACCUUCAGCUACCCACAACUGAUAUAAUUGCCUCGUAGAUAUCUCAAUACUUGGACAGAAGACAUACAAAUAGAUGCAGCAGACUUUCAAGUGAAAAGGUAACUCCAUCACAGAAAAAAUUUGUCUCCAAAUUGUCGGAAUCGCUUCGCCUCGAAAAUAAUUUUCUAAUGGCAUACUUCCAUAGUGUAGGAUGAAAAAUUGCCAGGCUUCAUGCUUUAAUCUGAUCAAUGGUCCUCCAGUGAGCACCGAAUCAAGCCGAAUCUUCUCUCCGUUUUCCAUUUCCAACGACGCAAGGAGGUUUGGAUCAGUGACCAAUAUCAAGACUCUGCUUCCAUUCUGAUUAUCAGGAAGAACUUCUUCAAGAUCAUCCCAUAUCUCACUGUGAUCAAAGACAUCAUCAAGCACAAUAAAGUACUUCUUGUUUGUUAGGAAAUCUCGAAGAACAGAUUUCUUCAAUUGAUAAUGUUCACCGAUAAUUACACUAACCCGAGAUGGAGGCAUCACAGACUUGAUUAUGUCAUCCAAUAUCUUGCCAAAAUCGUAGAGUAUAGAAACCCUGACCCAAGCAAGACAGUCAAAAUAGAACUUGACAUGAUUAUUGUUGUAAGUAUCAGCAGCAAAAGCAGUCUUGUCGAAGCCACUGCUGUCGAGAAUUGCAACCACUGCCAGCCCAGAUGGUCCCUCAAUCAAUAGAUCAAACAACUCCUCUCUGCCCCGUUCAAAUUCACUGAUAUCAAGCCGACGAUGUCCCUCACUCAAUAGGCGAAUGAUUUCGUUACUUUUUUCACGGAUAUCAAAACCAUUGUCGCCGGGUGGAAGUUGUUGCGUCCGAUUUCUAAUAUCAAUGAUUUUAGUGUGGAGUCCAACAAGAAGAGCCAUAUCAGUACUGCUUUCACUUUCGUUUUCACUGUUUUGCUGCUGCAUGAUGUUGAUGAAGAAUGUGUCAAUUGCAUCCUCAGAUUCAUGGACAAAGACAUUGAUGUCCUCCAGAAUUUCCAAAAUAUCUGCUCUUUCAACAUCUUCUUCAUCGCUUUCUUCUAAGUCCAACAGUUGCAAAAAAGGCAAAGAUAUUUUGGAGUCAUCGAAUUUUUCUCUAAUGAGUUGAAACAAAUGCCGAGCCAUGUCAGCUUCAUAUUUUCCCAGCAGAGUAGUAGCAAUAAUUUCGGACUCCGUAAGAAGGUUUUUAAAAAGUGGAGUUAAUUUUGUUGAAUCUGGCAGCGGCAACGUGCCUUCUUCACCUGCUAACACCCUUUUCAACCUCUCACAAAACAGUCGGAGGUGGAAUUCCAGCAUUUCUCCUUCUCUCCGUAGCACUCAGAGGUAUAGCUGAAAGAUUAAACACCAUGGAAGAAUUUGAAAGGAAAAUGCCAAGAAAUUGUGUAAGUGGCUAAAUUCCACAAAUAUGACAUUAUUGCUCAUUUUUUAACUCAAAAAAAGGGUACGCGUUCAUUUAGAGAAAAGUCCAAGACGCGUGCCUUUUGAAAAGAACAGGUAUCCCAAUCGGUAUCCAACCUUUAUCUUAUUUAAUUACUACCAUAACAUAAUUGAUGGUGCUUAAAUCAAUUGUUUCUUUUUUAAUUUAAAGAAUUUUUCAUUAAAAAAAUAUUUUAAUAUCAAAUACCCUUCAAUGGCAUAACUGCCGCAAGCCCAAAAACAGGAUUAAAUAAUUUUUUUUUUUGAAUUUUUGGUCAUGGAAAGAGCAGUAUUAAACAUCAGAAAGCUAAGGUCGUUAUGUUAAAGAAUUGAUAUUGACAUAAUUUUUUUUGGUUUUCGGGGAAAAAAAAAUUGUUGACAAGCAAGAAAAUAUUUUUAUAUUUUACAAUUUAUUAUACAUAUUUUAUCUUAUUAAAGUAAUUUAAUAAUAAAUAGAAACAUAAUAUUACGAUAAAAAAAUUAAAGUUUAACUUAUUUUGAAUAUUAUAAAAAAUAAUUUUAAUAUUAUUAAUAUGGGGACAUUGUAUUAAUUUUAAAAUUUUUUAACCCAAAGGUUUAUUUAAAAUGUUUAUUAUAAAUACAAAUAUAAAAUUAAAUAUCAUAAUUUAAAAUUUUUAAUAUUAUUUUAAGUAUUAAAAAUAUUUUAAUGUUAUUAGUCUACUACAUAGAUCAUAUUACUUAUAUAAUAUUUGUAUUAUUAAAAAUUCUUAAAAUCAAAUUUUUAGUUAGUAUAUUCAUGAGGUAUUAUGGUUAAAAAAAAAAAGACCUUAUUGUUACUUUUUAAAAAAUUGAGGGCCUUCGUGAUAAUUUUUUCAAAAAGAAAAUACUUGGUAUCUGGGAGGGAUAGAGAAAUAGGACUCCCAAAAUCUCUCACCCUUUUUUAAUUAAAAAAAUUAAAAUAUCAAUAAAAAAUAAUAAAGAAAAUAGAAUUUUAUCUACUCCUUACUUCAUUUUUGCAACUCUCUCACCAUCUCUGUCGAGCAGCCCUCUCUCUCACUCUCUCACUCACACAGUCUUUUUCACGAUUUGAAAUUCUUUGGCCCUUUGCAUUACAAGAAAUUAACGCUUUGGUUCUCCCAAGGGUAGAUUGGUUUUAUUGGGAAGCUAUUAAUUAGAAGGAGGAAAAAGGACUAUAUUUAGAAUAUGAUUUGUUGGAGAAUCUCAGAGUUAGUCAAUUUUCAAGCCACACUUUCAAUAGCCAACUGAUUUAGAAACCAUUAAUUACUUUAAUUUCCAUAAAUUGUAAUGACAGUGCAAAUGCAUCUGGUUGUGAUAGCUAAGGGUUAGCUUGAAGAAUUAAAUUUCAUAAGAUAUUACUGGAAAACGCUUUGCAGAUAACGUGUUGCUUCCUUUGCUAGGCUACAAUUUCAAAAUUCUCACGAGUUUUCCAUUGUUGUCACAAACCGAGAAAUUAUAAAAUACAUGGCCUGGUUCUUUGGCAAUGACCAUCUCAUCGUCGGCGGUCGCGUCGUCAUUGUCACUGGUCUUGCUGGACCGAGACAGUGAGAGAGAGGUUUGUUAGAUGGAGUUAGUGAGAGAGAGUUGUAAAGAUGGAAUGAUGAUAAAGGAUUUUAUUUUUUUUUAAUUGUUUUUAUUAAUAUUUUAAUUUUUAAAAUUAAAAUUUGCUGCCGUUUCUCUCGACUCUCAUAAUUUAUUUCAUUUUUAGGGAAUCCAAUGAGAAAUAUGAUAAAAGAACGUCAAUUACUUGUCAUUUUCAAUUUUUUUCUAUAAGCUAUUUAUUUCGAGCAUUAGUGAUCUUGUCUGGCUACUCCAAUUAUUGACGUAACUCCAGUGGCUGCAUCCACUGGAAAAAGUGGAUGAGAACCAUUUUUUUUUCAUAAAGGUAACUGCUCCAAUUAUUGACAUAAUUGAUGGUGCUUAAAUCAAUUUUUUUUUUUAAUUUAAAGAAUUUUGCUUUAAAAAAUAAUUAAUAUCAAAAUGCCUUCAAUGUUGUUACCGCCACAAGCCCAGUUAGAGGACUCAUUAAAAAUUUUAGAAUUUUUAGGCCUGGAAAGCGUAGUAUUAAACAUCAGAAAGCAAAGGUUGUUAUGUCGAAGAAUUGAUGUCGACAAAAUUUUAUUUUAGUUUUCGGAAAAAAAAAUAUUUUGUUGACAAGCAAGAAAAUAUUUUUUAUACUUUACAAUCUGCUAUACAUAUUUUAUCAUAUUAAAGUAAUUUUAAUAAUAUAUGGAAACAUAAUAUUAUAAUAAAUAAAUUAAAAUUAAAAUUACUUUGAAUUAUUGAAUAUUACAAAAAGAUAAUUUUAAUAUUAUUAAUAGGAAAACAUUUUUUAAUUGUAAAAUCUUUUUAAUACAAAAAAUCAUUUAAAAUCUUUAUAAUAAAUACAAAUAUAAAAUUAAAAAAUAUCAUAAUUUAAAUUUUUUAAUAUUAUUUAAAUAUUAAAAAUACUUUAAUAUUAUUAGUCUACUACAUAAAAUAUAUUAUUUAUAUUAUAUUCGUAUUGAUUAAAACGUUUUAAAGUCAAAUUUUUAAUUAGUGUAUUCAAAGGUAUAAAAGAUUUUAGUAUUAUUUUUUAAAAAAUUUCAGGAUAUGAAUGAUAAUUUUUUUCAAAUUUUAAAGAUGUAAGAAUCUUUUUUUCUGAUAACUUAUUUCACUUUUGAGAGAAUCCGAAAACGUUAAUUUAACAUUCUUUACCUUUAUCUUUUCAAAAAAAAAAAAAACAUUCUUUUUUUGAUAAGAAUGUUUUUUUUUUCUUUAAAAAAUAAUUAAUAUCAAAAUGCCUUCAAUGUUGUUACCGCCACAAGCCCAGUUAGAGGACUCAUUAAAAAUUUUAGAAUUUUUAGGCCUGGAAAGCGUAGUAUUAAACAUCAGAAAGCAAAGGUUGUUAUGUCGAAGAAUUGAUGUCGACAAAAUUUUAUUUUAGUUUUCGGAAAAAAAAAUAUUUUUUUACCUUUGUGAAAAAAGUGAAAAUCAAGAACUAUUCAAUUUUGUUUUUAUUUGUAAUUCAAAAACUUUAUUCAUUUUUGGAUGCUUUUCAAAAGAGAUUCCUUUAAAUCCUUUUGGUGUCUGCAGCUCCUGCCAUUCUCAUAAAUCUCCAUCCCACAUCUACACUAUCAAACAAGUUGAUGGAAAGUCUUAUAAAAAAAAAAAAGUUGAUGGAAAUUGAUCAAUUGCUUUUUGAAGUGGACCCAUUGAGUCAUGUUCAUUUCUGAUCAUUGUCUACUCUUUCUAUCAGCCAUUUAUUUUGACCAUUUGCGAUCUUAUCUGGACCUACUCCAAUUAUUGUUGGAACUCCAAUGGUUGUAUCUACAGUCGAAUGUAAUAUAGUGACAGCUCUUUCUUUGAGAAACUAGAGGGACCUUACAGUUCAUAUAAAUUUCGCUACCUUACAGUUCAUACGGUCUUGCUGUUAAUGAAUUUGCUGAGGCAUUAUUGAUCCAAUCUGAGUGAAGUAAUUGUGGCUGAAAAAUAAAUAAAGGAUAAGAGAACGUAGCUGAAGUGCUGAAGGGGCUAUUAAAGAAGAGUGUCACUUGAUCACAAUCACAUUGAUGCACAAUUCACUUGGCAAAUUUCGACUAUGCGUACUGCAAAUUCAGCCAAACCAUACAUGCAUGAACAAAACUAAAAUGUAGUUCUAAUCACAACUGCAGUUAUGAUGUUUACCCCUCUGAUUUUUCUCCAAAACAAAUUCAGUUCAAAACAAUAAUCAAAAUAGCCACAUUUUGUUCGUCAAAAUAAAUGCCCAAAUUUUCAAUUAACAAAUCAUCUUCUCUAAACUAAAAAGCCCACAUCUCUAAAAUCAAUCUACAUAAUGUUGGACAUGAGGGGUGAAUUGUUAACUCAGUAAAAAAACUCAUGCAUAAUAUUACUAAUAAUAAAAAAUAUAUAUUAAUCAUUAUAAAGAAUCAUAAAUUAGAAAAAUUAAUCAUUUUAUAAUUUAUUACACAAGUAAGAUAAAUCUCAUAAUAAGUUAUAACAUAAAAAAAACGUUAUCAAUAUAUAAUCAUUUAAGAAGUCAUUUAACAAUAAAAUCGUUCUUUGAUCAGUUGGUCAUGUCACAUAAUAUCAUCUAUAUUUAUGGUGAUAAUAUUAUUACUCAGUAUUCUCAAAAAACAUGAUUUAACAUUUAGAGGAAAUUCUUGCCUUUUAAAAAAAACAUGUAUGCAACAGCUACCCAUGCUUUAUCUUGCCAUGACAAAUAUUUUCUCAAUGAAAGAAAUUUUUUUAAAAAUUGAUUUAAUGCACAAAUAUGAUGAUUUUUCCAAAAAUUAAUUUUGGAAAAUAUAGUGAGAGAAAAUAGUGACGAUUAUUGUUUAGAUGUAUAAAUAGCCUAAACAUAAUCCUUAAUACCAAUAUCCAUAUGCAUCUUAUCAUCUUUCAUGAUGUUCUUUCAUUUAUGUCCAUUGGUUCAAGAUUUGAAUUUGAUCAUUAAAUCAUGUUCAAUAAUAUUAGAGAUUCCAACAAUUGAGUACCAACUUAAAUCCCAAUGUUAUGUGUCAUUGACCAAUUAUGUGUCAGUGACCAAUUUUGUGUCAUUUUGUUAUUAACUAGGUGAUGAAUUUCUAGUUGAUAAAAUCACUUAAAAAUAUCUUAAAAAUUAGACAAUAGUUUGCUUAAUUUUUCCAAGUUAACUGCUCAAGAUGCUCUAUUAUAAAUGAUAACCUAAUUAUAUUCAUAAAAAAUGAUAUAUUUUUUUGUGGUGUUGAUAAUGAGAUUAUCAUUCAACGUUUUAAAAUGUGAAAACAUAUGGAAGACGGUUGUAAAUUGAUUGAAUGAAAAUAUUUCAGUGAAGUCUCAAAAAUUUGGUACUUGUUGUCUUAUCGAAAGUUUUCUAAAUUAUAUUCGUGGCACAGCCACUAUCCAAACCAUACAAGUCCAAAGCUAUCCAAACCAUACCUGCAAGUCCGGGGCUUAAAUGGAGUACUUCUAAGCAAAAAAACAUUGAUUAAAAUAGAAUAUAUACAUACAGACACACAUACAUACCAGCAUAUUCAAAAUAGCAAAAGGAGUGCAAAAGUUCAAGUUUGUAGACAACAUUGCAACCAUAGCAUGUUUAUAGCAAAUCCUCAAAAUCUGCUAAAUAAAACAAUGCCCUGUCUCAUGAAUCAAUGCUGAAUUAAAAUUGAAACUGAAAGUCUGGAUGGUGUUGUUUGUUGAGAAUGUCAAAUAAAACGGCAUUGAAGGAAGUUUUCAAAGGCAGAAUCCGCACUUGUCAAAGACACGAUCCGCACCGAACGGAUCGACACAUUUCCUUCCGUAUUCACAUAUGUAAUCUUUGAAAAAAUGUAGCUUCUGCAUCUAUAAAUAACGCUCAGUGUAUAAUGUUUUAUUCAAGAAAUAAAAACAAGUUUCUACAUGGUAUCAGAGUCAUGAAUGCGCUCAAGUUUCUUCAAGUUUCGCUGCUCUGUUUGUCACAAAAACAGAGGAAACCAAAUUCGUCCCACAACCAUUUUUUCCACCAUUUUCUUCCUUAAAAUCAUUCCUAACAUUACAGAAAUCCAUGCCGAUCAAAAAACAUGAAAGACAAAUUACACAUGUGCAGUAACCAAUGAUCAUAUUUCGUUACUGUCAAACACAAUGCAUCUGAGCAAAACAUUGGAAGCCAACACCAGAAUACAUAUGAAUAAACAAUUAAAGAUAGAGAAAAAAGGCUUAAACCUUGGGGGAAAAAAGUGAAAAAACAUGAAAGACAAAUUACACAUGUGCAGUAACCAUCGAACUUAUCAGUGACAGCUGCAUCCAUUACAUUGCUCCAACAACACAAUGGCAAACCACCAGUUUCAAAUUGAGGAUAGCUAUCGAGAAUGAGAAAGUGUCCAAAACAUCAUAAAUAGACAUGUUCCUAUUGUGCAUAAUUUACAUUAUAGGCAAAUAUUCUUAUACCAUCAAAGGCAAAACAUGACACUAACAAUUGAUCCCCCCCCCCCCCCCCCCCCCCAACAACCAAAAAAAAAGGAAAAACAAUACAGAAAAGAUUGAAACAGAUAAGGCUACACUGAGCACAGGAUGCCAUGAAACAUAAUCCAGGAACCAAAUUAAUAAAAAAGGAAGCCAAACCAUUAUUUAACAAUCUGUUUUGUAUUUGGGAAAGUCUGAUAAAAUCUACUUAGGGAUAAUUAGAGAACUUCAACUAUUAAUCACACCUCAUAAAUGAACUAACAUUAACCAUCUACCAUCCCCACGUCACACAAACAUUCUCUAUACUUCUGAACCUAAUACUUCCAUCUUCAAUUGGGGGUUUUUUUUCUUUUUUUUUUUGGGUGGGGGGGGGGGGGGGGGGGGGGAAGCUAUCAAUUUUCUAAGCUUGCUUAGCUUCUGUGUGGGAUUGAAAUGCUGAUUUCGAAUCACUAACAGUAAAAUUGGAAGCUCAUGAAAAAACAGUUUUAUCUCAAAAUUACAUCUCGAUAUAAAUUCUCUUUUCAUUUCCUUCAACUUUCUAAUUAAGCUUAAAAAAUGUACCUUCAACCACAAAGGGGUUUAAAAUUUAAAAUAUAAAAAAUAAAUUCAGAUAACAAUAAUUAAUUUAAUUAAAAAUAUAAAUAGAGUUACAGAGAAAGAGAAAAUAGAGAAAGACCUAAUGUUGAGUCCUUUGGCGCAUGUCUCUUCAUAGGUCCGAACCAUUUCUUCGGGCGUGGGUUACGGCCGAGAUUGGAUAAUGAUGGAGUAGGAUAAGAUUAGCGAUAACGACGCCGAUGAAAUGGAAGGGUUUACCAGAGGAGUGGAUGCGAAGAGUGCAGGGACCGCCGCAGAGAGAGAGCGGCGGAGAGCGGCGACGGACGGUAGUGACCAGCGGAGGCGGAAGAUGGCGGUAUGGGCCAUUGCUUGCGCGUCGGUGAGUGUCUCGAGUGAGAGAGUGAAGGGUUUUGGGAAAUGAAAAAUGCAAAUGUUUGAUUUUGUUGCUAGAAACUUCUUCUGCCGCUGCCUUUUAUUUUCGCUAUAAUAAUAAUAAUAAUUUGUUAAUCAAAUAUUUUCUUAAAAAAGAUAAAUUUCUACAAGAAAAUUUAUAUUAAAUCAAAUUGUAAAAAUGUCUAUUAGGGUUAAUUUCUCCUUAAUAUUAUUAUUAGUUGAAGUAGAUUUUCGAAUUAGUCUUGAUAUAUUUCAGAGUUGUAUUAUAAAUGUAUAAGUAUCUGGAUUGCAAUUAUAUUUUUAAAAAAUAUAAUUUUUUUAAUUAUUGCACAAUAAAUGUAGAUAGUAUCUAUAAAAUAAUAUUAUUAGGACUAUGAAAAAAAUAUUAUUUUAGAGAAGUUAUUUAUUUAUUAUUGAAUGAAUAAUUUAUUAACUUAUUGGUAAAUGAAUAUUUACUAAUUUAAAGAGAGAUUUUUUUUUUGAUUUUAAGAAGAGUUUUGUUGGUACAUAUUCAUACUUAUAAAGAAACACAAAAAGUAGUUCCUCAAGUCAAUUGUAUUUGCUUUAAUUCGUAAUAAUAUAUCUUAAUCAAGAAACUUGUAAUUAUACUAUAUCUUUCUUUCUUUGUUCAGUUUGGUGGUACAUUGUGAUAAAUCAUUGGAUUAAAAUGCAUUUCUAAAUGAAAACUUGUUAAAACCUAAUUUAUUUGGGAACCAUAUUUUAUUUGUCAGUCGUAUUUCUCAACUUAGCAAGUUAUUUCUAACUUAUCGGUCUCUAUUGGUUUUCUUAAGUGCCUGUUUGAUAUGACUUAUUUAAUGGCAAUAAGUGCUUAUUUAAUCUCAUAAGCUCUUAUCAUAAUUUUUGUUAUUGUUUGGUUGUUUUUCUAAUAAAGUUUUUGAAGCUUAAAUAAGUAAUUUUACCUCUCUUAACAAAAGCUCAAAUUUUGAGUUUUUUGGGAGUAGAGAUUGAAAAACUUUUUCAAAUGUCAAAAUAUCUAUAAUAUCCUCUACUUAUUUAACAAUCUUAUUUAUUAUUUUCAUAAUAUAACUUUAAAAGACUUGUCUAUUAAAGUAAUUUCAUAAAUUUUUAAUAAAAACUCUUAUUGACAACCAAACAACUAAUUUUUUUUAGCAAAACCUCUACUUAAAUAAGUUCUACUUGAAAAACUGUAUCAAACGGAGCUUAAAGUUAAUAGUCUCUUAUCUCCCACAUUUGAUAUCUUAAUGGUAUCAGCGUGUUACCUAAGAUUGGGAUUCAUUAAAAUCCUCAAUGUAAUCGGUGGAAUGAAAUGGAUUUUUAUAACCUCCUUGAAGGUUUUACGAUAAACAUAAAUCUAUUGACAAAGUGGGCAAAAAGAAAAUGCAUAUAAAAAUAUGAGUUAUCAGAUAAGAUUAAAACUCACCCAAUUCAAUCCAUCAGAUUCCGUAAGGAUAUAACUGGAUGUCAUACCGCCACUCCAUAUCCUCGAAAGUCCGUAGUCCUUGUCUCAACUGUGUCUGGGGCCAGUGUAAGUCCAAUUUGCGCAAGCUCUUUAUGCACCACAGCUCUUCUGGAAGCUUUCUCAAGUAAGCACAUGGGUUGACAAUUAAGCUUUCAAGUUUCGGCAUUGCUCCAGCCCCCAUCGUCCACUCAUCUAGCCAAUACAUUGAUUUCAAGUGCAAAACCUUAAGUUCGGAAAAGCUACUCAAGCCAACACAAGCAAGCUUUCUUCCUAAAUACGAGUUCUGCUUCAGUUUCAGCACUCGAAGGCAUGGAAGAUUUUCCAGAAUUGGCAUGGGAUCCUCCAUUAGCUCAGUAUUUGAUAAGCUCAGUUGGAUCAGACUUGGGGGAAAUUGGUAUUCAGACAGGACAAUCCGUGAGGGCUUGCUCUCAUUCACCAGCUUCAAGCAUUCAAGUUUGUGGAGUUCGCAAAGGCUUUUGGAAACCCCAGAUUGAUAGCAACUCAAAUCUCCAGAUAUCCGAAGAGUCUGAACACUAGGUAGUCUGCCCAAUAUAUCAGGAGUACAACUACUAGGGUUUAAAGCUGAUAUGAAAAUGAGAUUUUUCAGAGAGCUAGAAUAAUUUUUUGGAGGUGCGGGCAGAGUGAUAGAACCAAAGUUUAGAUGCAUGAGUUUUUGCAUCAUCCAAAUAUCCUCUGGUGACUGAUCUAUGUAGCUAGAUGGCAUUUCUAGUGUUUCAAGGUUUAAAAGGGUGCAUAGCAGUGAAGGAAGGCAUUUGAGCGAAGGGAUAUUCAAUUUCAAAUACUUCAAAAGGAAUGAAUUUUCUAAUCCGGGUGGAUAUUGGUCCAGGACUGCAGAACCCAUGCUCAAUACCCGAAGGUAUUUGAACCAUUUAAAAAAAUUCUCGCAAUCUUUCGGAUUAAGAUGAUCGCUUUCUGAACUGUGAUUCAGAAAAGAUUGGAGAUAGAUGUAAGAAUAUUCUAAAGAAAAGAAGUCAAUCAGAUUUUCCCAAAUGAUGUACCGUUUAACAUUUGCCCUUGAUUCCUUUUCCAUUCCAGGCAUCCAGAGAAAUCCCGUCUCCUGUGCCAACAAUAACAAUGAAGUAUAUACAAAACUUGGAACAUAACACGCUUUAAUUGUGCCUCCGGCGCUUCUCUUACUCACUUGAAUGAAGCCGCGAUGGAUUAGUUCUUUCAAGUAAUGUUCGGCACUUUCUUCACCGUUGUAUGGUAUGAAACCUUCAGCUACCCACAACUGAUAUAAUUGCCGCGUGGAUAUCUCAAUACUUGGAGGGAAGACACACAAAUAGAUGCAGCAGACUUUCAAGUGAAAAGGCAAGUCCAUCACAGAAAAAAUUUGCCUCCAAAUUGUCGGAAUCGCUUCGCCUUGAACAUAAUUUUCUAAUGGCAUACUUCCAUAGUGUAGGAUGAAAAAUUGCCAGGCUUCAUGCUUUAAUCUGAUCAAUGGUCCUCCAAUGAGCACCGAAUCAAGCCGAAUCUUCUCUCCAUUUUCCAUUUCCAACGACGCAAGGAGGUCUGGAUCAGUGACCAAUAUCAAUACUCUGCUUCCAUUCUGAUUAUUUGGAAGAACUUCUUCAAGAUCAUCCCAUAUCUCAAUGUUAUCGCAGACAUCAUCAAGCACAAUAAAGUACUUCCUGUUUGUUAGGUAAUCUCGAAGAAUAGAUUCCUUGAAUUGAUAAUCUUCACCGAUAAUUACACUAACCCGAGAUGGAGGCAUCACAGACUUGAUUAUGUCAUCCAAUAGCUUGCCCAAAUCGUAGAAUACAGAAACCCUGACCCAAGCAAGACAGUCAAAAUAGAACUUGACAUGAUUAUUGUUGUAAGUAUCUGCAGCAAAAGCAGUCCUAUCGAAGCCACUGCUGUCGAGAAUUGCAACCACUGAAAGCCCAGAUGGUCCCUCAAUCAAUACAUCAAACAACUUCUCUCUGCCCCUUUCAAAUUCACUGAUAUCGAGCCGAGGUUGUCCCUCAUUCAAUAGGUGAAUGAUUUCGUUACUUUUUUCACUGAUAUCAAAACCAUUGUCGCCGGGUGGGAGUUGUUGGAUCCGAUUUCUAAUAUCAAUGAUUUUACUGUGGAGUCCAAAAAGAAGAGCCAUUUUAGUACUGCUUUCACUUUCGUUUUGACUGUUUUGCUGCUGCAUGAUGUUGAUGAAGAAUGUGUCAAUGGCUUCCUCAGAUUCAUGGACAAAGUCAUUGAUGUCCUCCAGAAUUUCCAAAAUACCUCCUCUUUUAACGUCUUCAUCGCUUUCUUGUGCCUGCAACAGUUGCGAAAAAGGCAAAGAUAAUUUGGAUUCAUCGAAUCGUUCUUUAACAAGUUGAAACAAAAGCCGAGCCAUGUCAGAUUCAAAGUUUCCGAGCAGAGUGGUAGCAAUAAUCUCGGACUCCGUUAGAAGGUUUUGAAAAAGGGGAGUUAAAUUUGUUGAAUCAGGCAAAGUCAACGCGCAUUCUUCACCUGCUAACACCCUUUUUAACCUCUCACAAAAUAGUCGGAGGUGGACGUCCAGCAUAUCUCCUUCUGUCUGUAGCGCCCAGAGGUAUUGUUAUUUGCUACAAGAAAUGUUAAAACAUAGAGUAAUGAUACAGCCACAAACUCUUGUACAAACUUAUUUUGUACAAACUAAAAUGGCAUUAAUUCAUUGGUUGAAUGAAAAUAUAAAAUAAUAAAAACAAAUCAUGUGGGCCAAGUGAUAUUUAAUUCAACCAAUCUUAUCAUGCCACGUCAAUUUGUACAAAAUAAGUUUGUACAAGAGUUUGUGGCUAUAUCAUUACUCUAAAACAUAUCUCCUUCUGUCCUAUCUCAAAGUGGUUAGUGGUGUAAAAUUAAACACCAUGGAAGAAUUUGCAAGGAAUAUGCCAAGAAACUGGCCAACCCGCUUAGCUAAAUUCCACAAAUAUGACGUUAUUGCUCAUUUUUCUCUCAAACACAUAAUACACGUUCUUCGAGGCGCGUGCCUUCUGAAAAGGACAGGUAUCCAACCUCAUCUUAAUUUAAAGAAUUUUCCUUUAAAAAAAAUUUAAUAUCAAAAUGCCUUCAAUGUUAUUACUGCCGAAAGCCAAACUUCCUUUGGGUAAUUAAUUUAGAAGUUAAGCAGAGAAUAAAGUCCUAGAUUAAAUGUUUAGGUAGUUUUACAAAAUGAUAACAGCAUGCCAAAACUCGUUGUUGUCAUAUUCGACAUUUCAAAUUGAAAAAUAUGCAAGCAAUCUUCAGUGAACAUUACAUGUUUAUUGAAUAAUUUAAAUGGCCAGUAAAUCAACAGUCCGUGAGUUUUAAAUCUAUUAUGACUUAAUGUAUCUUUCUGUAUUCGUACACAGGUUAUAUUAUCAUAGUUUAAAAUUAUUUUAAAUAUUAAAAAUACUUUAAUGCUAUUAGUCUACUACACAGGUUAUAUUAUUUAUAUUAUAUUUGUAUUAAUUAAAACUUUUAAUGUCAAUUUUCUAAUUAUUAUAUUAAAAAAGUAUUAUGGUUAAGAAAAAGUUUUGGCAUUUCUUCUUGAAAAUUUGAGAGUCUGCAUGAAAAUUUUUCCAAAUUCUAAAGGUAUAGGUUUGAAAAUUUAACGUUCUGUAAAUUAAUGAAACAAAAGGGGGGAAACCAAAAACUAUUCAAUUUUGUAUUUUUUGUUUGUAAUUCAAAAAAUACAUCCACCAAACAAGUUUUACGCAUUAAUGCUGUCAUAAAACGAAAAACAGUUUGCCAAAAAAUGGUACCAAACAUUUCCUUAAUGUCUCACAUGAUUUCUUAGUAAGUCCAUAUUAGAUAUAUUUAUACAUUUUAUGUAUUUUAGUUAUAAAAGAAGUAGGUCCUCCCCCUGUUUAUAAAAAAUAACUUUAUUUCGAGAUUGCCACUAAACUCUUACAUAGAAUUAGUGUAAUGUUAAGAGAGAGUAACACAGUUUUCCAUUACCAUCUUUGAAAAUAGAGAGAUAUGGAUGCAUGCAUUUAAGAGUUAUCAUGAAAAUCAUACAAUUCAAUUUCCUGACAUAUAUAUUUAUGCACGUAUACCAAAAGAAUAAAUAGACAGAAAGUAAAUUUACAGUCCUCACUUCCUCACAAUUGUUAACGUGAAGAUGCAUUACAACUGUGAACUGUCACUACUUUAGCCUUUUUUUUUAAAAAAAAAAAAUUAUAGUGUGAUGGAGACAUCAAGGAUGAGCAUAAAAGUUAAAGAUGACUCAUUUUCUUUUUAAAGUGCUCUGCUGAAAGCCAAACUUCCUUUGGCUAAUUAAUUUAGAAGUAAAGCAGAGAAUAAAGUUCUAGAUGCCUUCUGAAAUUAGAAAUACAUUUUAUAUGCUUUAAUUAUGAUUAUUUGGUAGACUAUUGACCUAAAAGACAUGUUAAAUUAUAAAACAGUGCGAUUAAAAAAAAGAGAGUAUUUGUGACGUAGAAUAACAAUUGGUAAAUAAAUCCUAAAUAUUUGAGUUGUUAAAAGCAAAUAUAACAGAGACGGUAAGAGAGAUGCAGAAACAGAAAACUAUUAGCUUAUCUUGAUUUUCCCACUAUAUUCAUUUUCGAUGCUUUUCAAACGAGAUUCUUUUAAUUCUUCUGGUGUCUGCAGCCCCUGCUCUUCUUAUAGAUCUCCAUCCCACAUCUGCACUACGAACAAGUUGAUUAAAAUUAAAUAAUGUUGGAGACGUGGGGUGAGCCGUCAACUUGGUAAAAAAACUAUGUAUAAUAUUGUUAAUAAUAUAAAAUAUAUAGUAAUAAUUACAAAGAAUCAUAAAUUAGAAAAAUUAAUUAUUUUACAAUCUAUUUCUUAAGUAAGAUAAAUCUCAUAAUAAGUUAAGUUAUAAUGUAAAAAGUAUUUUCAAUUUAUAAUCAUUUAAGAAGUCAUUUAACAAUAAAAUCUUUCUUUUGAUCAAUUGGUCAUGCUACAAAGUAUCAUCUAUAUUUGUGGUGAUAUUAUUAUUACUCCGUAUUCUCAAAAAACAUGAUUUAACAUUUAGAGAAAAUUCAUGCCUUUUAAAAAGAACAUGUAUGCAACAACUACCAAUACUUUAUCUUACCACAACAAAACUAAUGGUGACUAAAUCAAUUUUCUUGAUUAAAGCAAAAUUUCUUAAAAUUGAUUUAAUGCACAAAUAUGAUGACUUUUUGCAAAAAUUAGUUUCGGAAAAUAUAGUGAGAGAAAAUAGUGACGAUUAUUGUUUAGAUGUGUAAAUAGCCUAAACAUGAUCGCUAAUACCAAUAUCCACGUGCAUCUUAACACCUUUCGUGAUAUUCUUUCAUUCAUGGUCACUGGUUCAAGAUUUGAAUUUAAUCAGUAAAUCAUGUUCAAUAAUAUUAGAGAUCCCAACAAUUGAGUACCAAUUUAAAUCCUAAUGCUAUAUGUCAUUGACCAAUAUUGUGUCAUUUUUUGUUAACUGGGUGAUGAAUUUCUAGUUGAUAAAAUUACUUAAAAAUAUCUUAAAAAUCAGACAAUAGUUUGCUUAAUUUUUUGAAGCUAACUGCUCAAGAUGCUCUAUUAGAAAUGAUAACCUAAUUAUAUACAUAAAAAAUGAUGUAUUUUUUGCGGUGUUGAUAGUGAGAUUAUCAUUCAACAUGUUAAAAUAUGAAAACAUAUGGAAGAUGGUUGUAAAUUGGUUGAAUGAGAAUAUUUCAGUGAAGUCUCAAAAAUUUGGUACUUGUUAUCUUAUCGAAAGUUUUCUAAAUUAUAUUCGUGGCACUGCCACUGCUUCUAUGUGAAGGUCAUUAAAAUUUGUGUUAGCUACCUAUAGGUUGAAUAACAAUUUUAUUCAUCAAUUGUUGCUCAAUAUAGCAAUUUGAUUGAAAGUGCCGCUGCACUAAUUUUCUAGAUGAACUUUCCUACAUGUUUGUCCUCAUAUGACCUAGAAUGCUGCGAUAUCAAUUGUAUUGGAAAUUAUUCAGGUGGGUUAGUGCUCUACAUCCCCACCAAAAUAUAAGCAAUGAACAAAACAUUCCUUGUGGAAAUAAACUUAAUUAUUUCGCUACUAGACUUCUAAUGAGGCCCAUUUUCCAGAAUCUGGAUACAAGUUAGAUGUCUCCCAAAAUAUUGGUGGGAGUAGACUAUAGUAGCACUCGACAACAUACUAACGACGCUAUGGUCCACCAGAAAGACCGGUCUCCGGUCAGCCGAAAAAUCUCACGUUCAGUCUCUUCUCAAUCUCCCUUCUCCCAGCCAAGUCGAUCCCGUAACAUGAUACUAAUCCACAGUUGAAUACAUGAUACUAUUAGAUCUUAUUUGAGAAUAUAAAGGGAUCUUUCUAAUUUGAGAACAUAAAUUGCCCAAUAAAGUUGAACUACGUUACCCCGCUCCAUGCACAUACAUUAAAUGUUAACAGCAUGCCAAAACUUGAUGUUGUCAUAUUCGACAUUUCAAAUUAAUAUGCAAGCAAUCUUCGGUGAACAUUACGUUUUUAUUGAAUAAUUUAAAUGGCUAGUAAAUCUAGAGUUCUUGAGCUUUAAUCUAAAUCAAAUCUAUUAUGACUCAAUGUAUUUUUUUGUAUUCGUACCAGUAAUGCAGGGGAUUAUUUACGGAACUCUUAUUAUUGACUGAUAUGUUCACCUUCAUCCAAUUAGAGAAAGAGUGACUGUAGAGGUGGCAAAAAUACCCGUCCGGUUCGGACCCGGACCGUACCCAUUACCCAGCCCGGGUAUGAAGCCGGGUCGGUCUUGGGUAUUACUUGAUAAACCCGGAACUCGGAUUUUAUUAAAAAAAUUAUAAAAUAUAUAUUAUUUUAAAUAUUUUAUAUUUAUUUGACUCAUUUAUUAUACAUAUAUAAAGUUUUAAACACUUAAAGUAUAUAUUUUCUUGUCAAAUUUUAUUGAAAUAAAUUUAAAACUUAUAAAAUUACUAAAAAAUAAAAAAUAUAUACACAUAAAAUAUUAAAAAAUAUAAAAUUCGGGUACUCGAAUUAAAACCCAGCCCGAACCCGGACCCAGACCGGUUGCAUCCGGUAGGGUCCGGUCAUGGCAAUACCCUGACCCCGCCCGGGGUUUUGCCAUCUCUAAGUGACUGGGUUCCUAUAAAGGGACUCUUAACCGUUACGAGAGUAUUCAGACUAAAAAUCUUUAUAAUUAAAUUCAAAGGUGAAGAUCUAUGCUUAUUAUCUAUUUAACAACUAAUAUAUAGUUAUCUAUUCAUUUAAAUAUCAAGGGCUAUGCUAAUAAUUAAGUUGAAAUGUUGAUGAAAGUAGCCCUACAUCUGUAUAUUACUCAUCUACUCUAAUCUUUUUUUUUUUUUAACUUAAUGUACUUUUUCUAAUGUUGUUUACUCUUCCCCCCCCCCCCCUCCUCUGACAAAAUAAUAAGAGUUUAGACUUGAAAAUAUCUUAAAGAUCAAACAGUAAUUUACCUAAUUUUUUGAAGCUAACUGCCAAAGAUAUUCUAUUAGACAUUGAUAACGUAGUUAUAUACAUUUAAAAUGAUUUUUUUUUUUUGUGGAAAGGGAUUAUCAUUCAACAUUUUAAAAUAUGAAAACAUAUGGAAGAUGAUUGUAAAUUGAUUGAAUGAAAAUAUUUCAAUGAAGAUGGUUGUAAAUUGUUAUCUUAUUGAAAGUUUUCUAAAUUUACUACUAUUUGAACUUAGCCCUCCUGGUACCGCCACCAUUUCUGCUUGAAAGUCAUUUAAGUUUGUGUUAGCUGCCUAAAGCUUUUUUUUUUUCUUUUUCUUUUUGAAAAGAGCUGCCUAUAGCUUGAAUAACUAUUUUGCUCACGAAUUGUUGUCCAUUAUAGCAAUUUAUUUAAUUGAAAGUGCGGCUGCAAUAAUUUUCUUGAUGAACUAUUCCACAUGUUUGUUCUCAUGUGAGGCAGUUUUUCUAGAAGAUUGAUAUUUCUUUAAGUCUUUAACUAGCAAAGCAUACCAGUCCAAAGCUAGCCAAACCAUACCUGCUGGUCCAGGGCUUAAAUGGAGUACUUCUAAGCAUAAAACAGUAACAAAAACACAAUAUAUGCAUACAUACAUACCAGCAAAUUCAAAAUAGAAAAAAGAGUGCAACUAUUCAAGAAAUUGGUUAUUGUAGACAAACACACAUACAAACACAUACCAGAAAAUUCAAAAAAUAGAGAAAGGAGGCCAACUAUUCAAGUUUGUAGACAAUAUUGCAAUCAUGGCAUUACUUAUAGCAAGUCCUUGAAAUCUACUAAACAAAACAAUGCUCUGUCUCAUGAAUCAAUGUUGAAUUACAGACGAAAUUGAAAGUCUAGCAGGUGUUGUUUCCCUCUUCGAUUUUGCCUACACAAGUAAAGGGAAAUAAGAAUCAUAAAUGAAAAUCAGCUUUUACAGUUGUAAUUAUUAGAUAGAUCUAGAACGAUCUUUCUUUGUUUCUCUGCUGCAAUGUGCUAUCCCACUCUGUUUUGCUACUAAAAUUGAGUCUAUGUUGAGACAUAAUUUCGACACUAGGAGCAACCGCAAUUAGUUUGGCAUUGCAUUACCCCUUGAAGGUUUUACAAUAGUUGUAAACUUACCGAGAAAGUAGAAAAAAAAGGGCAUAUGGAAUUAGGCAAGUAACUAAAGUAUGAGUCAUCAGAUAUGAUUAAAACUCACCCAAUUCAAUCCAUCAGAUUCCGUAAGGAUAUAACUGGAUGUCAAAACGCCACUCCAUAUCCUCGAACGUCCGUACCCUUUGCCGCAACUCUGUCUGGGGCCAGUGUAAGUCCAAUUUGCGCAAGCUCUUUAUGCACCAUAGCUCUUCUGGAAGCUUCCUCAAGUAAGCACAUGGGUUGACAAUUAAGCUUUCAAGUUUUGGCAUUGCUCCUGCCCCCAUCGUCCACUCAUCUAGCCAAUACAUUGACUUUAGGUGCAAAAUCUUAAGUUCCGGAAAGCCACCAGAGUCAACACAGGCCAACUUUCUUCCUAAAUACGAGUUCUUCUUCAGUUUCAGCACUUGAAGGCGUGGAAGCUUUUCCAGCUUUGGCAUGGGAUCCUCCAUUAGCUCAGUAUUUGAUAAGCUCAGAUGGCUCAGACUUAAAGGAAAUUCGUAUUCAGACAGGACAAUCCGUGAGAGCUUGCUCUCAUUCACUAGUUCCAAGCAUUCAAUUUUGUGGAGUUCGCAUACGCUUUUGGAAACCCCAGAGUGAUGGCAACUCAAAUCUCCAGAUAUCUGAAGCGUUUGAACAUUAGGUAGUCUGCCUAAUAUAUCUGGCGUGCAACUACUAGGGUGUAAGGAUGAUAUGAAAAAAAGAUUUUUCAGAGAGCUGGAAUAAUUUUUUGGAGGUGCAGGCAGAGUGAUGGAACCAAAGUUCAGAUGCAUGAGUUUUUGCAUCUUCCAAAUAUCCUCUGGUGUUUGAUCUACGUAGCUAGAUGGCAUGUCUAGUGUUUGAAGGUUUGAAAGGGUGCAUAGCGGUGAAGGAAGACAUUUGAGCGAAGGGAUAUUCAAUUUCAAAUACUUCAAAUGGAAUAAAUUUUCUAAUCCGGGUGGAUAUUGGUCCAGGACUGCAGAACCCCUGUUCAAUACCCGAAGGUGUUUGAACAUUUUACAAAAAUUCUCGCAAUCUAUCGGAUUAAGAUGAUCGCUUUCUGAACUGUAAUUCAGAAAAGAUUGAUUAGUUCUUUCAAGUAAUGUUCGGCCGUCCCCUCACUGUUGUAUGGUAUGAAACCUUCAGCUACCCACAACUAAUAUAAUUGUGUGGUAGAUAUCUGAAUGCCUGGAGGGAAGACAAACAAAUAGAUGCAGCAGACUUUCAAGUGAAAAGGUAACUCCAUCACAGAAUAAAUUUGUCUCCAAGCUGUCGGAAUCGCUUCGCCUUGAAAAUAAUUUUCUAAUGGCAUACUUCCGUAGUGUAGGACGAAAAAUUGCAAGCCUUCAAACUUUAUUCUAAUCAGUGGUCCUCCAACGAGCACUGAAUCAAGCCGAAUCUCCUCUGCGUUUUCCAUUUCCAACGACGUAAGGAGUCUUGGAUCAGCGACCAAUAUCAAUACUCUGCUUCCAUUCUGAUUAUCAGGAAGAACUUCUUCAAGAUCAUCCCAUAUCUCACUGUCAUCGAAGACAUCAUCAAGCACAAUAAAGUACUUACUGUUUGUUAGGUAAUCUCGAAGAAUAGAUUUCUUCAAUUGAUAAUCUUCACCGAUAAUUACCCUAACCCGAGCUGGAGGCAUCACAGACUUGAUUAUGUCAUCCAAUAUCUUGCCAAAAUCGUAGGCAAUAGAAACCCUGACCCAAGCAAGAGUCAAAAUAGAACUUGACAUGAUUAUUGUUAAAAGUAUCAGCAGCAGAAGCAGUCUUAUCGAAGCCACUGCUGUCGAAAAUUGCAACCACUGAUAUCGAUAGAUCAAACAACUUCUCUCUGCCCUUUUCAAAUUCACUGAUAUCGAGCCGAGGUUGUCCCUCAUUCAAUAGGCGAAUGAUUUUGUUACUUUGUUCACUGAUAUCAAAACCAUUGUCGCCGGGUGGAAGUUGUUGCAUCUGAUUUCUAAUAUCAAAGUGAAAAAUUGCUGCUUUCACUUUCGUUUUCACUGUUUUGCUGCUGCAUGAUGUUGAUAUUGACAUAAUUUUAUUUUAGUUUUUGGGGAAAAAAAUAUUUGUUGACAAGCAAGAAAAUAUUUUUAUAUUUUAAAUUUAUUAUACAUAUUUUAUCAUUUUAAAGUAAUUUUAAUAAUAAAUAGAAACAUAAUAUUACGAUAAAUAAAUUAAAGUUUAAAUUAUUUUAAAUAUUAUAAAAAAUAAUUCUAAUAUUAUUAAUAGGAAGACAUUUUGUUAAUUUUAAAAUUUUUUAACCCAAAGGUUUAUUUAAAAUUUUUAUUAUAAAUAAAAAUAUAAAAUUAAAUAUCAUAAUUUAAAUUUUUUAAUAUUAUUUAAGUAUUAAAAAUAUUUUAAUGUUAUUAGUCUACUACAUAGAUCAUAUUACUUAUAUUAUAUUUGUAAUGAUUAAAAAUUUUUAAAAUCAAUUUUCUAGUUACUAUAUUCACGAGAUAUUAUGGUUAAAGAAAAGACCUUGGUGUUACUUUUUACAAAUUUGAGUGCCUACAUGAUAAUUUUUUCAAAAUUUAAGAAUGUAUGUAUCCUUUUCUCCAAUAAUUUAUUUCACUUUUGAGGGGAAUCCAAUGAGAGAUAUGAUAAGAGAACGUCAAUUAGUUGUCAUUUUCUACUUUUUCUGUAAGCUAUUUAUUUUGAGCAUUAGUGAUCUUGUCUGGACUACUCCAAUUAUUGAUGUAACUCCAGUGACUGCAUCCACAAUUGAAUAUAUGAUAGUGUUAGCUCUUAUUUGAGAAUUUAUAUAGUCUUGCUGUUAAAGAACUCACUGAGGCAUUAUUGAUUCAAUUUCAGUGGAGCAAUCGCGGGUGAAGGAUAAAUAAAGGAUCAGAACAGAGCUGAAGUGCUAAAUUGGCUAUUGAAGAAGGAUGUCACAUGAUCACAAUCACAUUGAUGCACAACUCUCUGGAGGCAAAUUUUGUCUUUAUGUACUCUAAAUUCAGCCAAACCAUACAUGCAUGAACAAAAAUUAAACCGUCGUUCUAAUCACAACAGUAAUUGAAGCUCCAAAAGCAAGAAAAUCUGAACAAAGACUUAAAAGAAAGAUCUUAUUCAAGUUUGUCCCCAAAAGACAGCUGAAAUGAAAAAUAUUGACUAUUGAAUGGAUCAAUGCUGAAUUACAUUUGAAAUGGAAAGCUUGGCUGCAUCUAUGAUGUUUCCCCCUCUGAUUUUCCCCCAAAACAAAUUUAGUUGUAAACAAUAACGGAAGCAGCAAUAAUUUAUUCACCAAAGAAAAUGCCCAAGAUUUCAACUAACAGAUCCUCUUAUCUAAACUAAAAGAACUCAUAUCUCUAAAAUCUACCCGCAAAAUGUUGGAAAUGAGGGAUGAUCUGUCAACUCGAUAAAUAAACUCAUGCAUAAUAUUAACAAUAAUGGUAAAUUACAUAAUAAUUAUUAUAAAGAAUCAUAAACUGGAAACACUAAUCAUUCUACAAUCUAUUAUAUAAGUAAGAUAAAUCUCAUGAUAAGUUAAGUUAUAACGUGAUAAAUAUUUUCAAUAUAUAAUUAUUUAAGAAGUCAUUUAAUAAUAUAUAUUUUUUAUUUUGUUGAUCAUGUCAUAUAGCGUUAUCUAAACUCCUGACAAAAUUAUUAUUACUCACUUUUCUCAAAAAAACAUGAUUAACGUUUAGAGAAAAGUCAUGCCUUUUAGAAAGAAUAUGUAUACAAGCUAUCCAUACUUUAUCUUACCGUGACAAAAUUGAUGGUGAUUAAAUCUAUUUUUAAAAUAGAUUUAAUGCACAAAUAUGAUGACUUUUGGCAAAAAUUAGUUUCGGAAGAUAUAGUGGUAGAAAAUAGUGAUGAUUAUUGUUUAAAUGUGUAAAUAGCCUAAGCAUAGCCCGUAAUACCAAUAUCCAUUUGCACCUUCAUUUGGAUUAUCACAUUUCAUGAUAUUUUUUCAUUCAUGUCCAUUGAUCAAGAUUUGAAUUUGAAUAUAAAUUAAGCUGCAAGGGAGCUUACUUCGGUUUCUAAGCUUUCCAAUUGUGAUUCCUGCAUGCCUUGCUCUGAUACUAUUUUGUUACAUACCAAUGUAACCAACCUUGUAAUUGGUCUGUAUAAGAAAUCAAGCCCUUUUAGAAUCGUUUUCUUUUGUUUCCCCAUUGUAGUAGUCAACUAAAUAAAGAAUGAACAACUGAACUUGAUCUAUUUUGAUGAAGACCAAGGCCUUCAAUACUAGAUGAACUUUGAAGAAGAUUAAUCUACUGCUUUUAUUCAUCUUUGGACUAUGAAUUUAUACAAAGACUUUAACAGAAAAUAACAAAGACACAACUAAAUGAUAGCAACAAGUGUUGACUUACUGGACCACUUCUACAAGUAAAAAAAAACUAAAUAUUUAUUUUGACUAUAACAACAACUACCCUGAUGAACAACACUCCACAGCAGCCACGUGACAACUAAUUUCUCCUUAAUAUUAUUAUUAGUAGAAGUAGAUUUUCAAACUAGUCUUGAUAUAUUUCAAAGUUGUAUUAACAAUUUAUAUGUAUCUAGAUUGUAACUAUAUUUUUUAAAAAUAAAAUAUUUUAAUUAUUGCACAUUAAAUGUAGAAGAAUAUCUGUAAAAUAAUAUUAUUAGGACUAAAAAAUAUUAUUUUAGAUAAGUUAUUUAUUUAUUAUUGAAUUAAUAAUUUAUUAAUUAUUAGCAGAAGUAUAUUUUCGAACUAGUCUUGAUAUAUUUCAAAGUUGUAUUAACAAUGUAUAGGUAUCUAGAUUGUAACUAUAUUUUUAAAAAAUAAAAUAUUUUAAUUAUUGCACAGUAAAUGUAGAAGAAUAUCUGUAAAAUAAUAUUAUGAGGACUAAAAAAAUAUUAUUUUAGAGAAGUAUUUUUUUAUUAUAGAAUUAAUAAUUUAUUAAUUAAUUUAUAAAUGAAUAUUUAUUAAUUUAAAGAGAGACUUUUUUGGUUUUAUGAAGAGUAUGUUUGGUACAUGUUCACACUUAUAAAGAAACACAAAAAAUGCUUCCUCAAGUCAACGGUAUUUGCUUUAAUCGCUACUGUUCAUAAUAAUAUAGCUUAGUUAGGAAAUUUGUAAUUAUAAUAUGACUCUUUUAGUACAACUUUUCAAGUAGAGUUUAUUUAGGUAGAGAUUUUGUUAGGAGAGGUAUUAUAAAUAGAGAUUUCACUAAAAAAAUUUAAUUAUUUGAUUAUAAUAUCCAAAUUGAAGAACUUUUGUUCUUUUGUUAACAUCUGUUUGUUUUACUUAAUAAUAAAAGUUUAGUUUACAAUUACACCGGUGUCAAAUCAGCAGAGCAUCGGCAAGAGUUUUCGAUUGUUGCAAUUUGCAAUGCAUGCGGUACAUGCACGCACUAAUAAAGAAACACAAAAAGUGCAUUCUCAAGCCAAUAGUAUUUGUUUUUAAUCGCUACUUUGCAUAAUAAUGUAGCUUAGUUAGGAAAUUUGUAAUUAUAUUAUGCCUCCAUUUGGUAUAAUUUUUUAAUUAGAACUUAUUUAAGGAGAACUAUUGUUUGUAGAGUUUUUAUAAAUAGAAAUUUUAAUUAAAAAAAAUUAUAAUUAUUUAGUUGUCAAUGUCCAAAUUGAUGAACUAUUGUUCUUUUUGUUAACAUGUGUUUGUUUUACUUAAUAAUAAAACUUUAGUUUACAAUUACACCGGUGUCAAAUCAGCAGAGCAUUUUUGCAGCCCGUCACAUUAUACAUUAUACUAAUAGCAUCGGCAAGAUUUUUCGAUUGUUGCAACUUGCAACGCACGCGAUGCGAGAAAAUGAGAAUCUUGUUUAAUUGUGAAUAAUGACAAACCUAAUCCUUUCAUUAGGAGCAAUUUAAUAAUCGUUUGUUAUAAUUGAAUAGGUAUAAAGAAAGGACAACUCUAUUCAUAGAUUCGGCUUAUUUUUUGUUUAAAGUAAUUAAUCCUCUAAAACUGAAUUUUAUUUUAUCUGGUGCAUGUUAAAUGAUGUGAGGCCUAAUUUAGGUUUUUGGUUAGCGAAUCAAUUUCAAAGUGUGCUUAAACGGUAUAGGACUUUAUUUCCUGGUCCAUACAUUACUCUGUUAGCUAUAAACCUAUGUGUGCUUGAUCCCGACAAUAAUGAUUUGCAUCCUGCUUGCAAAAAGGAAUUUUUGGAUAUGUCUGUGUUUGAAAGAACAGGUGUGGUCGAAUUCAAGAAGGGGAGAUUUUAGUUUACUGAACCAGGACCCACUCAACUUCCGAAGAAGCUUUAUGCUAGGAGUGGUGCUACCUCUGAUGACGAGUUUGACGACGACACUGCUGCCCCGCCAACUAUUCCUUCUACAUCCGCACCACCUUUGAGCAUUCAGUUAGAGAAAAUGGAGCACAAGCUGAACAAGAUGGAGCAGAAUUUGGCCGCAUACUUCGAGAGUGUGGGAUUUACCCCACCAUUUUCGCCAAGCCCAUAGACGUUAUGUGGAUCAAAGCUCACAAUUCAGGGAAGUUUCUUUUUGCCCUUAAUCUUUUAUCCUUACGCUUUAAUUUUUAUGUGAGCUUUGAUUAUCUUACAUUGGGGACAAUGUAAGUUCUUGGUGUGGGGGAGGGAUUUUGAUGUCUGGAAUUAUUAUUUUCACUCUACUCAUAUAUUUUCACUCUACUCAUCCUUAAAUGAUUUUGGAGUUAGUAUGCUUCAUACAUUAUUAAUUUUCUUUUCCUCUCUCUCUCACUACUCUUUUCCCAUCUAUCUCAAAUUAUUUACAUCUAUUUUUAUUCUAUCAUACUCUUUCAUCACUCACAUUUUAUCUUUCACUUUUCAUAUUACUACAUACAUCUUUCUCACUUCUUAUCAUUUUUACAUUUUCUUUUAUAUAUCACUCAUACCUUCUUCUCAUUCUACACCACUAUUGAUGGUUGAUUCAUUUGAAGAGUGUACAUGAUUUGAUGGCAAAUUUACCAACUUUGUGAGGAUUUGAGCCUAUGAGCAACCACUUUGCUCUAAUAUUUUUGUUGUGUGAAUAUCAAUCUUAGUUUGUUUAUUGUAGAACUUGCUUUGUUAUGCAUGUUGAAGCCGCAUUACGGGAUUUUAUGCAUUAAAAUGAUAAGGGCAAACCCUUUUCCAUUUUUCUAUUCUCGCAUUUUUUUUUCUCUACCCGAAGACCUUUAUUUGCUAUCUUUGUUUGAGCCUUAACCAUUACCCACCUAAUUUUCUCCGUCUACUUAACCAUUUUUCUUCUUUUUGAGCCUCAAUUUACGGAGAUUUUUGGACUCAUUGUGUGGAUGUAUUUUGUUGCUUUUUCUACCUUGUAAUAAAGUUUCUCAAUUAGAUCAACAAGCAUUAUGCUUGAAUUAAAUUGUGCAAGGUUCGUUUCUUUUGUUUGAUUCAAAAAUAAAAAAAAACAACAAAAAAAAAGAAAAAGAAAAAUCCAAAAAAAAGAAAAAAAAAUGUUUACAUUCUUGGUGACUUGAGUAGAAAUAAGUAUUUUGAUAUCAUAAGUUCAUUCAAUGAGUUCAUUCUUCUCAUUUUGAUCUCUUUUUCUUUCGUAAACCUUUCUUUUUCAUUCAACCUAUUUAACCCCAUUACAACCCUUUUAAGACCCUUAGAUUUUUGCAUUUUAUUCAUGUUUUGUGGAUUGAGAUGUGAUAUAUGAGCAAGCUUAUGGUAAUAGCAUUCUUUGAUUUGAUUUGAGUGAAUAAAUGACACCCUAAACACUUUGAGUGCAUGGAGUGAAGUUAUUGAGAGGGCUAUUAAAUCUUGUUGCACUUGAAUUUUGAAUGGAUCUUCUUGGUGGUUGAAUGUUCUUAUUCUAUCUUAUGAAAUUCUAUGCUUUAAAAUCCUUGUCUCUUGAAUGUUGAUCGACUUAAUUUCUUGAGGUAUGCUUGCUUAAAAUUGUUUUUGGAUGAGUUGAGAUGAGAAUUGAGUGGAGAUUUGAGAUUAAUCUUGAGUUAUAUGCUUGAGGACAAGCAUCAUCUUGGUGUGGGGGAAUUUGUUAGAGUGCAAUUUAUGCACUAGUUUUGCAUUGUUUACUUCCCUUAAUAUCGAUGUUUUACACUUAAUAAUAGUGAUUUACUUGUGUUUUACUUUUGUAGGUGCAAUUCUAUUGAUUGGUGAUAAAAUUGAGCUAUAAGAUGAUGUUUAAGGAUGAUUGUUCUCUUGGAGAAAUUAUGAGCGGCAGAAGAACUUUGUUGAUAAGGCGUGGGCGCGUGCUGUCAACUGCGGACCUGCAGUUUUUAGUUUAACAUGUUUUGUAUUUUUGUAAUUACGAAUUUAAUAUUUCAGAUAUUAGUAUUUUAUUUUAAAUAGAAUUCUAAAAGAGAGGAGAGAGAGAGAGUAUUUAAGGGAGGAAUCUAUUGUGAAAAAGGGGGAUUUAGAUUGGAGAAAAGAAAAUAAACCCUAAAUCUAAUUUUUCUCUUCUCUCUAUGAAGAACUAAACUUAUUUUUUCUGGUUGAAGGUUAAUGAAGCUUUGAUUCAUCACUACUGUGAGAUCUUUUUUAUGCUUUAAUUGUUUUAUUACUUUUUGGGUAAUUGUUUAUUCUCUGAAUUAGUUUCAUGAUUAUGUUUGUUAAUUAGGUAAUUGGCCACUAUUUAAUUAUCAACUUAAUCUAUUGUCAAUUAAAGGAUUCAUCGUAUGAAGAUUUUAAUGUUUGUGACAAAUAACAUAGCAGUGAGUUGUGUUAUGAGAAUAAACAAUCUAAUUUAAAUGAAUCAUCAUAUGUGUUGAUUAGGAUUUGGAUCUCUCUGGUUUUUCAGGCUGUCAAUUGAUUAAAUCCUAUGAUCGUAUCUAGGGUUGUCUAUUGAUUAGGGAAAUAUCCAACGGUCGUACCUUGGUUAUCGACUAGUUAAGGAGAGAUUGGCUAUUAGAGGGUCUCAAUAGCUAUAACCGGUCUAUUCAUAAGUAAUAAUAAUCUAUAUUUGAAUCAAUGAUCAGUAGUCGAAUCAAGCUGAGUUAAUUCCUUCAACCAGAGCUUUCUCUAAUUUGAAUUACAACUUUAAUUUGCAUUCUUGUUAUUUUAAUUUGAUUUUUAUUAUUGUCAACAAUUCCCCCAUUUUACUUUUUACGUUUCAAAAGGAUUUAAAUAAUUACCGAUCUCUGUGGACACGACCCUGCUCAAUCACUAUACACAAUUUAUUUAGAGUAUGAAUUUAUUUUUGUUGGCUUCGACAACCAUCGGUAGUAAAAGAAUUUUACUCCAAUUUGGUAAGCCCUGGUCAGCACAACAUUUGGGUAAGAAACUCACUUGUUCCAUUAGACUCUCGAGUUAUAAAUGUUUUUUAUAAUUUACCUGCUGAAAUUAAUUGUGAGUAUGCCAAGUUGCUUGACAAAUUGACCCCGCAACAAUGGAACACGAUUUUCACGACACUUACAGUAGAGGGUGCAUCGUGGGCUAAUGAGGACGGGCGUGUAAUUAACAGGAUAGAUUUAAAACUCAUUGCUAAGGUGUGGGUGAAAUUUCUGAAAUCUAGGCUUAUGCCAACCACCCACACCACUACUGUUUCACAGGAAAGGUUGGUGUUGUUAGAUGCUAUUGUUAGAGGGCUUCCCAUAGAUGUGGGAAGUAUUAUCGAAAAAGAAAUUCGAGUUUGUACCAUGAAAAACCACAAGGCUGCUGCCUUGUUAUUUCCUUCACUCAUAACCAGCAUAUGUAUAGUAUCAGGUGUUCAUCUUGAUGCAAAGGAUGAAAUUUGUAAUUAUAUUAUGGCUCCAUUUGGUAUGACUUUUUAAUUCGAACUUAUUUAAGGAGAAUUUUUAUUAGUAGAGUUUUUUAUAAAUAGAGAUUUUACUAAAAAAAUAAUUAUAAUUAUUUAGUUGUCAAUGUCGAAAUUGAUGAACUAUUGUUCUUUUUGUUAACAUGUGUUUGUUUUACUUAAUAAUAAAAGUUAAGUUCACAAUUACACCGGUGUCAAAUCAGCAGAGCAUUUUUGCAGCCAGUCACAUUAUACAUUUUUGCAACUUGCAAUGCAAGCGACGAGAGAAAAUGAGAAUCUUGUUUAAUUGUCAAUAAUGACAAACCUAAUCGUUUCAUUAGGUGUAAUUUCAUAAUCGUUUGUUAUAAUUGAAUCUGUAUAAAGAAAGGAAAAUUAUAUUCGUAGAUUCGACUUAUUUUUUGUUUAAGGUAAUUAAUCAUUCAACCAUCUUCAUUUGCCCCUGGCCACUGCCCUUGUAGAUUAGUUGAAGCGUUAAUUACUUAAUUUAGAUAAUUACAACGUCCUUUUCGCUAAUUAAUUAUGAUUAUAUACGUUUUCAUAUAGCAAGUGGCAUUGUAGAUCUAAAUUAUGUUGCUAUUUCAAUACGUUAAUUAAGUGAUUCUCCUCAUUGUCAUCAAGUGGAAAAUAGCUCAAUUGUUUCCCUGCAUCGAUUUUCAUUGGUAAGUGAUUUCUUAUGAUAUUCGUUUGAGCUUUCCUUAUUAAAAAAGCUUGAGCCUUGAUCACCUAAUACUGAUAUCAAUUUACUUGUGAACGAUUUUGUAAUGAAAUUAGGAGUUAAAUAUAUAAGAUUUUUACCUGAUGAAUUUUGAUUUUUUUUUUAAUUUUUUGAUGUAGUCAAUUUGCGAAUUUUAUAUGUUUCAUAUUCAACGGAAUUUGGGCACGGAAAGUUUGGAUUCUAAUAUUUAUAUAUUUAGCUUUAAUCAGUUUGACUUUAGCAAUCUUUUUCCCUCAUCAUUAAGGGAUUCAGAAUUAGAGAAACGCUAGGAAGAGGAAGAAAAUAACUUUGGAAAUAAGUAAGGGGGAAAAAUUAUGAAAUUUUGAAUUAUUUUUUGUAAAAUAUGUUGCGUUUACUAAACUUGAAUUAGAAUGAGCUGAAAUUAGAAUGAUUAGGAAUGCAAAUGUGCUGAAAUCGGAAUAGGUAAUGAGAAUAAGAAUAAGUUGUUUACUUGAACUGUAAAAAUCAAAAUCGAAAUGAGCUGAAUUGCAAUUACUUUAUCUUGGAAGCGGAAUUGGAAUCGGAAUGAGUUAGAUUGUAACAAAUUACUAAAAAGUACUUAAUGAAUUAUUGUCAUAAUUAUUAUUUUAUAUUUUAAUUAUAGUGAUUAUUUAUUCAAAAAUUAUUAUUAUUAAUUAUUUUCAAUAAUAUAUUAAUAUGUUAAUUAAUUUUAAAAAUUAUUAAUUAAUUUAUUAUAAUAAUAUACUAAUUAAUUAUAAUAAUUAUAAAAAUAUAUUAAUAAUAAAAUUACUAAUUUAAUUAUAAUAAUAUAUGAAUUAAUUAUAAUAAUUACUAAAUUAAUUAUAAUAAUUAUAUUAGUAAUUAUUAUAAUAGUAUAUUAAUUAAUUAUAAUAAUAAAAAUAUAUUAAUUAUGUGAUUAUUUAUUCAAAAAUUAUAAUUAUUAAUAAUUAUUGUUAAUAAUGUAUCAAUAUACUAAUUACAUAUAAUAAUUAUUAUAAAAAUAUAUUAAUUAUUAAUAAUAAAAUUACUAAUUUAAUAAUAAUAAUAAUAAUAUAUUAAUUAUGUGAUUAUUUAUUCAAAAAUUAUAAUUAUUAAUAAUUAUUGUUAAUAAUGUAUCAAUAUAUUACUUAAUUAUAAUAAUAUAUUAAUUAAGUAUAAAUGAGGACAAAGGGGGUAUUUUUAAUUUCACGUAGGGGCAAAAUGGUCAAUUCUAGUAAUGGGAGACUCACUCCCACCCUCUCCCUUGGGAAUGAGUCUCCCAUUCCUCAUUCCCAAAUUGUGGUGGGCCCCAUGAUUUUGACUCUGAUUUUUGACUCAAUUUUGCGAAGUAAACGCUACUAAUGAUUCUGAUUUUGGAUUCUGAUUCACUUAUCCGAGAAGUAAAAGCAACAUAAAUGUGUAUGAAUAAUUGAUACCUAUGAAUAGUUUUGGGAGUUUUAGUUAGGAGUCAUUUAUUGAAGAUGUUUAGCAAUUAAAGAUCUCUGACUCAGUAGUUUUCCCAAUCAAAAUCAAGAAGCAAAACAACUUGCCAUUUUUCUACUUGAUAAUUAAUUGAAAUUUAAGAAAAUACAAUGGCAUUUCAAUUAGAAAUGGUAAUUGUUUAUCUUUUUUCAUUGAUCAAAUUCUAAUCGUGAUCCAAUAGUUAUGGAUGAAGGAAAUAUUAUGAGAGGCGAUAGGCCAAGUGAAGACGUACCAGCAAAUUCAAAAUAGUCGGGAGGUGGACGUCCAGCAUAUCUCCUUCUCUCUGUAGCACCCAGAUGUAUUGUUAUUUGCUCCAAGAAAUGUUAAAAGGAUUGGCCCUAUCUCAAUGUGGUUAGUGGUGAAAAAUUAAACACCAUGGAAGGAUUUGCAAGGAAUAUGCCAAGAAACUGGCUAAGUUCCACAAAUAUGGCAUUAUUGCUCUUUUUUUUUAAAGAAAAAUUAUACACGUUAAUUUAGCAAAAAGUCUAAGACACAUGCCUUUUGAAAAGAAUAGCUAUUACCAUGACACAAUCGAUGCGGCUGAAACCAAAAUUUUCUUUUCUUAAUGUAAAGAUUUUUUUUAAAUAGAUUUUAAUAUUAAAAUGCCCUUCGAUGUUAUUACUGUCACAAGCCCUGUAACAGGAGUAAUAAAAAUUUUUAGAAUUUGUUGGGCAUGAAAAAAGUAGUAUUAAACAUCAGCAAGCAAAGGUUGUUCUGUUAAAGAAUUGAUAUUGACGUGAUUUUAUUUUGGUUAUCGAGAAAAAAAAAUAUAUUUGUUGAUAAGUAAGAAAAUAUUAUUAUAUUUUACAAUCUAUUAUACAUAUUUUAUUAUAUUAAAUAACACUAAAUAGAAACAUAAAAUUAGAAUAAAAUAAAUUAAAAUUAAAAUUAUUUUGAAUAUUAUGUAAAAAAUAAUGUUAAUAUCAUUGUUACUUGUAAAAUAUAUUUAGCCCAAAGAUUUAUUUAAAAUUUUAUAAUAAAUAAAAAUAUAAAAAUAAAUUAAAUAUCAUAGUUUAAAAUCUUAAUAUUAUUUUAAAUAUUAAAAAUACUUUAAUGUUAUUAAUCUACUACACAUGUUAUAUUAUUUAUAUUAUAGUUGUAUUAAUUAAAAAUUUUAAAGUCAACUUUCUAGUAACUAUAUUCAAAGGUAUUAUGGUUAAAUAAAGGUCUUAGUGUUUCUUUUCAAAAUUUGAGGGUCUACAUGAUAAUUUUUCCAAAUCCUAAGGUAUAGGUGUCCUUUUUAUCAAUAAUUUAUUUCACUUUUGAGAGAAUAUGAUGAGAAAUAAGAUCAGAGAAAUGUCAAUUUAAUGUUAUCUAGCUUAAUGAUAAAAAAAUGGAAACCAAGAACUAUUCAAUUUUGUAUUUUUUGUUUGUAAUUCAAAAAAUCCAUCCACCAAACAAGUUUCACGCAUUUAUGUUAUCAUAAAACAAAAAAAAAAACAGUUUGUGAAAAAAUGGCACCAAACAUACACUUAAUGUCCCACAUGAUUUCUUAUGAAGCCCAUAUUAGAUAUAUUUAUACAUUUUACUGCAUUUAGGACAUGUUUGAUAGCCUGCAUUAUAUAGGAUAAAAACACAAUUUUGUAUUAAAUUAAUGCACACUCACGUUUGGCGCUAAAAGUAACUCCAGCCACAUUGCAUUAAUGGACUGCUAAUGCGGCAAUUGCCGCACUAGCUUGCCUCUUUUUCUUUUUAAUUUUAUUUAUAAUAAUAAUAAUUACAUAAUAUAACUUUUUAUUUUAAUAUAAUAUUAUAUAAUAUUAAGUAUAAUUUUUUUUACAUUAUAAUUAUUGAUAUAAAUUAAUAAAUUAAUUAUUUAUUAUUCAAUAAUAUUAUAUUAUAUAUUUUUUUUAUUUUUACAUUAUAAUUUAUUAGUAAAUUUAUAAUUUAAUAUAAUUAAUAAUAAUAGAAAAUAUCAUUACAUGUACUACAAAACUCUUACUUGGAUUAUUUAACACAAUUUAUUUUAUUCGUGAAUAUGUUAUAACAAUUGUAUCACUUUAUUAUUUUGUUAUUAUUUUGUGGUAUGUAUAAAUUUUUGUUCUAUUAUCCUAAGAUGACUUUUGAACUAAUCUUAUAAGUUUUAACUAUUUAUUUAUGUUGUUAUAUUAUUAGAGAUUAUUUGCUUCGAUCUUUAUUUUACAGGUCAUAUAUUUAGAAAUUACUGAAAAAUAAAUGUUAUACUUCCCAAAAUUUAAGGCUAGAAGCUCGAUCUUUAUGAAGAAUUUUGAUAUUUUUUAACAUUUACACUAAAAAAAAUUGUUAAAUUUCUAAAAUUUAAGACUUCUAUAUUUAAUAUUUUUCUAAUUACUAAUAAGUAUUAUUUUCUAAAUAUAUAAUUUAAAUUAAUCACAAAAAAUUAAUAUAGUACAGUGCAAUAUCAAAUAUAGUAUAAUUAAAAAUUAUACAGUGCAAUAUAGCACCAAAUAUUGUACACUAUUAUUAUAAUAUAGUACUAAUGCAAUACAAUAUAAUACAAUAUAGUGUGCCAAACGCACCCUCAGAAUGUGUUUGGAACAUGGGAUUAUAGGGUAUUAAAACACUGUUCACAUUAGCUUAAUACCAAUCUCAUGUUUGGAAAGAAAUUUUAAGGGAUUAAAGGGGGGUGAGCUAAUGUCAUAACUGCGUCAUUAGUGUCUUGGUUUUUUUUAAAUAAUAAAAAAAAUAUAAAUUCCUAAUUUUAUGUAAAAUUAUAUAAUAUUAAUUUUUAUUUUCUUUGAUCUUUACAUCAUAAUUAUUAAUAUAAGUUAAUAAAUUUAUAAUUUAUUAUUCAUAUUUUAAUUUUUAUUAUAUUAAAAAUAUAACUAAAUAAUUUAAUUUUAAUUCUAUAAUAAUUAAUGUAUAAAAUUGAUUAAUAUUUAAUAAGUCAAUACAACUAGUAAUAAGUGCUUAAAUAAUAUAUAAAAAUAAAAAUAUAACAUAAUAUUACAUUAUUUAAUUAUAUUACAAUAACUAAUAUAUAAAAAUUGAUUAUUAUUUAACAAUUUAAUAUAGCUAAUAAUAGAUACUUAAAUAAUAAUUUAAUAUAACUAAUAAUGAAUAUUUAUAUAUGAAUAUAUUUAAAUAAUAUUAAUUUAAAAUUAAUACCAAUAUAUAUAAUAAUAUAAAAUAUUAUUACAUGUACUGUAGUAUUCUUACUUGGAUUAUUUAGCGCAAUUUAUUUUAUUAGUGAAUAUGUUACAAUUAUUGUAUCACUUUAUUAUUUAAAUUAAUCAAAAAAAUUAAUACAGUACAAGAUAGCACUAAACAUUAUAUAACAUUAUUAAAAUACAGUGUUAAUGCAAUAUAAUGUAAUACAAUACAUCUAUAUUAAAAUAAUAUAAUAUAAUAUAAUUUAAUAUAAUACAAUAUGUCAAAUGCACCCCGUGUAUUUUAAUUUCAAAAGAAGUUGGUCCUUCCUUUAUUUAUAAAAGAUAACUUUAUUUUCAGAUUACCACUAAUUACGAUUAUUUGGUAGACUAUAGACCUAAAAGACAUGUUAGAUUAUAAAACAGUGCGAUUAAAAAAAAAAGAGUAUUUGUGACGUCAAAUAACAAUUGGUAACUAAAAUCCAAAAUAUUUCAGUUGUUAAAAGCAAAUAAAAAAAAGAAGGUAACAGUGAUGCAGAAACACAAUAUUAGCUUAUCUUGAUUUUCCCACUUUAUUCAUUCUCAAUGCUUUUCAAAAGAAAUUCUUCUAAUCCUUCUGGUGUCUGCAGCCCCUUAUCACGGGACGAGAGGUUUUGAGCCCGCGUGGCACUCUCGCAUCCCAUACUACGAGAGUAAACCUAGUGGAAGUGGCACAAUAUCGACUGGUUUCACCCUGCCUUGGGCUCAUCAGGAGAACGGCUCCAGUUCCCAACCAGUGUGUGUAGGGCUUCGCUUAGACUCCUCUUCAACGUUAAAUCCUCGACUAGCAACAAGCUCCCCAAAGUCAACUGGGUUGGCCUGCCUGAACUCCAAGAAAUCUAGGAUCAUUGUAUUCCCCACACGCACGCCCCUGAAGCACGUCUCCUGCAAUCAGCACAACUAUUAUCGAUACUAGUGUACAAGCGCAUAUCUUCGGCAUCACAAUUGCAGUCCGUGACACCCUGCUCUUCUUAUAAAACUCCACCCCAAAUCUAUACUACAAACAAGUGGAUUGAAAUUAAAAAAUUGCUUUUUGAAGUGGACCCAUUGAGUCGUGGUCAUUACUCGUCAUUGUCUAUUUUUUCUAUGAGCCAUUUAUUUUGAGCAAUAGUGAGCUUCUCUGAACUACUCCAAUUAUUGAUGUAACUCCAGUGGCUGCAUCCAUAGUUGAAUAUAUGAUAGUAUUAGCUCUUAUUUGAGAAUAUAGGGGGAUCUUUCUUUGUUUCUUUGUUGCAAUGUUCUAGUAUAUAGUCUUGCUGUUAAUGAAUUCACUGAGGCAUUAUUAAUUCAAUUUCAGUGAAGUAAUUAUGGAUGAAAAAUAAAUAAAGGAUAACAGAAUAGAGCUGAAGUGCUGAAUCGGCUAUUAAAGAAAGUGUCACGCGAUCACAAUCACACUGAUGCACAACUCUCUCGAGGCAAAUUUUGUCUAUAUGUACUCCAAAUUCAGCCAAACCAUACAUGCCUCAACAAAAUUAAACCGUAGUUCUCAUCACUACAGUAAUUGAAGCCCACAAAGACAGCUGAAAUGGAAACUUAAAACGAAGAUCUUAUUCGAGUUUGUCCCCAAAAGACAGCUGAAAUGGAAAAUAUUGACUAUUGAAUGGAUCAAUGCUGAAUUACAUUUGAAAUGGGAAGCUUGGCUGCGGUUACGAUGUUUCCCCCUCUGAUUUUUCUCCAAAACAAAUUCCGUUGUAAAUAAUAUUCAAUGUAGCAACAAUUUAUUCAGCAAAGAAAAUACCUAAUUUUUCAACUAACAAAUUCUCUUGUCUAAACUAAAAAAACUCACAUCUCUCCAAUCUAUCUACAAAUUUGGAGAUGAGAGGUGAUUUGUCAACUCGGUAAAUAAAUUCAUGCAUAAUGUUACCAAUAAUUAUAAAUUACAUAAUAAUUCUUAUAAGAAUCAUAAUAAAGGAACCUUAACCAUUUUACAAUCUAUUACAUAAGUAAGAUUAAUCUUAUAAUAAGUUAACUUAUAACUUAAUAAAUAUUUUCAAUUCAUAAUUAUUUAAGAAGUCACUUAACAAUAAAAUAUUUUUUUAUUUAAUUGAUCAUGUCAUAUAACGUUAUCUAAACUCCCGACGAUAUUAUUAUUACUCACUUUUCUCAAAAAAACAUGACUAACGUUUAGAGAAAAGUCAUGUCUUUUAGAUUGAUAGAAUACGAUUACAAACUAUCCAUACUUUAUCGUAGGCUAUAGAAACCCUUACCCAAGCAUGACAGUCAAAAUAGAACUUGACACGGUUAUUAUUGUAAGUAUCUGCAGCAAAAGCAGUCUUAUCGAAGCCACUGCUGUCGAGAAUUGCAACCACUGAAAGCCCAGAUGGUCCCUCAAUCAAUAGAUCAAAAAACUUCUCUCUGCCCCUUUCAAAUUCACUGAUAUCGAGCCGAGGUUGUCCCUCACUCAAUAGGCGUAUGAUUUCGUUCCUUUUUUCACUGAUAUCAAAACCAUUGUCGCCGGGUGGAAGUUGUUGCAUCCGAUUUCUAAUAUCAAUGAUUUUAGUGUGGAGUCCAACAAGAAGAGCCAUAUCAGUACUGCUUUCACUUUCGUUUUCACUGUUUUGCUGCUGCAUGAUUUUGAUGAAGAAUGUGUCAAUGGCUUCCUCAGAUUCAUGGACAAAGUCAUUGAUGUCCUCCAGAAUUUCAAAAAUAUCUGCUGUUUCAACGUCUUCUUCAUCGCUUUCUUCUAAGUCCAACAGUUGCAAAAAAGGCAAUGAUAUUUUGGAGUCAUCUAAUUCUUCUCUAAGGAGUUGAAACAAAUGCCGAGCCAUGUCAGCUUCAUAGUUUCCCAGCAGAGUAGUAGCAAUAAUUUCGGACUCCGUAAGAAGGUUUUGAAAACGUGGAGUUAAAUUUGUUGAAUCUGGCAAAGUUAACGUGCCUUCUUCACCUGCUAACACCCUUUUCAACCUCUCACAAAACAGUCGGAGGUGGAAUUCCAGCAUAUCUCCUUCUCUCCGUAGCACUCAGAGGUAUAGCUGAAAGAUUAAACACCAUGGAAGAAUUUGAAAGGAAAAUGCCAAGAAAUUGUGUAAGUGGCUAAAUUCCACAAAUAUGACAUUAUUGCUCAUUUUUUAACUCAAAAAAAGGGUACGCGUUCAUUUAGAGAAAAGUCCAAGACGCGUGCUUUUUGAAAAGAACAGGUAUCCCAAUCGGUAUCCAACCUUUAUCUUAUUUAAUUACUACCAUGACAUAAUUGAUGGUGCUUAAAUCAAUUGUUUCUUUUUUAAUUUAAAGAAUUUUUCAUUAAAAAAAUAUUUUAAUAUCAAAUUGCCUUCAGUGGCGUAACAACUGCCUGAAGCCCAGUAACAGGACUAAUUAAAAAUUUUACAAUUUUUGGGCAUGGAAAUAGUAGUAUUAAACAUUAGAAAGGUGAGGUUGUUCUGUUAAAGAAUUGAUAUUGACAUAAUUUUAUUUUGGUUUUCGUGGAAAACAAAAAUAUUUGUUGACAAGCAAGAAAAUAUUUUUAUUUUUUAAAAUUUAUUAUGCAUAUUUUAUCAUAUUGAAGUAAUUUUAAUAAUAAAUAGAAACAUAAUAUUACAAUAAAUAAAUUAAAAUUUAACUUAUUUUGAAUAUUAUAAAAAAUAAUUUUAAUAUUAUUAAUAGGAAGACAUUGUAUUAAUUUUAAAAUUUUUUAACCCAAAGGUUUAUUUAAAAUCUUUAUUAUAAAUACAAAUAUAAAAUUAAAUAUCAUAAUUUAAAAUUUUUAAUAUUAUUUUAAGUAUUAAAAAUAUUUUAAUGUUAUUAGUCUACUACAUAGAUCAUAUUACUUAUAUAAUAUUUGUAUUAUUAAAAAUUUUUAAAAUCAAAUUUUUAGUUAGUAUAUUCAUGAGGUAUUAUGGUUACAAAAAAAAGACCUUAUUAUUACUUUUUAAAAAAUUGAGGGUCUGCGAUGAUAAUUUUUUCAAAAAGAAAAUACAUGGUAUGUAGGAGGGGUAGAGAAACAGGACUUCCAAAAUCUCUCACCCUUCUUUAAUUAAAAAAAAAAUUAAAAUAUUAAUAAAAAAUAAUAAAGAAAAUAGAAUUUUAUCUGCUCCUUACUCCAUUUUUGCAACUCUCUCAACAUCUCUGUCGAGCAGCCUUCUCUCUCAUUGUCUCUCACUAUUUCACGAUCUCUCUCUCACUCACACAGGCAAUGACCAUCUCAUCAUCGGCGGUCGUGUCGUCAGUGUCACUGGUCUUGCUCGACCGAGACAGUGAGAGAGAGGUUUGUUAGAUGGAGUGAUGAUAAAGGAUUCUAUUUUUUUUAUUAAUAUUUUAAUUUUUAAAAUUAAAAUGUGCUGCCGUUUCUCUUGUCUUUUUAGCUGUUUAGCAGCACUCUUUUCAAAAUUUAAGAAUGUAGGUGUCCUAUAAGAGAUCGAUAAAAGAACGUCAAUUAAAUUUAUAAAAAUAUGAUAAAAGAACGUCAAUUACUUGUCUUUUAGGGAAUCCAAUGAGAAAUAUGAUAAAAGAACGUCAAUUACUUGUCAUUUUCAAUUUUUUUCUGUAAGCUAUUUAUUUUGAGCAUUAGUGCUCUUGUCUGGACUACUCCAAUUAUUGACGUAACUCCAGUGGCUGCAAUUAAUGAUAUAAAGCUGAGACUUUUGACCAAGUUAUCUAGUUGGGAAAGCAAAUUUUUUUCCAGUGGGGGCAAAGAAGUGUUGAUUAAAACUGUUGCUCAGGCUGUGCCAGUCUAUGCAAUGAGUGUUUUUAAGAUCCCUCAUAGCUUUUGUGAUGACAUUGAGAAGGCUAUUGCUCGUUUCUGGUGGGGUUCCUCUGAAACAAAAAGAAGCAUUCACUGGACAAGGUGGGAACGGUUGUGCCACGCCAAGAUAAGGGGGGGAUUGGGUUUUAGAGAUUUCUCUAGUUUUAACCAAGCCUUAAUUGCUAAGCAGGGGUGGAGAAUUCUGCAGCACCCUGACUCUUUAAUGGCAAAGAUUCUGAAAGCAAAAUAUUUUAAGCAUACUGGUUUUAUGGAUGCGAAAUUGGGUUCACACCCCUCUUUUGUUUGGAGAAGUAUAUUAUGGGGUAGGCAAGUGCUCCAUAACGGCCUAAGAUGGAGAAUCGGCUGUGGGAGUCAGGUUUUAAUUUCCAGUAGCAAUUGGAUAAAAAACCAUAAGCUUCACAGUUUGGUUCCAUAUUCAAAUCUACCUCCUGAAACUGUAGUUGUUGACCUUAUUGAUGAAAGUCACCAAUGGAAAGAAGAUAUGGUUUUCCAACAUUUUCCAAUGGAUGUUGCAAAGAGGAUCACAAGAACCCCUCUCCCAAAAACUCCCCAGCAGGAUCUUCUCAUUUGGAAAUAUGAUAAGCACAGAAUUUACUCGGUGAAGAGUGGGUAUCAAUUGGCUGUUAAGCAAAAAUUCCAAAAUUAUCCAAGUUGUUCAGAUGUUACCAAGUCAAGGUGGGAGGUGAUAUGGGCUACGGAUCUUCUAGGAAAAGUCAAGAUUUUUAUUUGGAGGGCUGCUCAAAAUCUUCUCCCUACAGUUGGAAAUCUAUGGAGGAGGAGGGUGGUGAAGGAUUAUUUUUGCCAAAGAUGUAAUUGCAGAGGAGAGGAUGUCUUCCAUGCUUUAAUAGAGUGCAGGGCAGCUAAAAGGGUUUGGAAGUUGACUGAAUUUUAUGAGGAUGUAAAGCAAUUAGCUCGGCAAGACAUGUUGAGUGUGCUGCAGGAUUUAGCUGUGAAGAGAAAAAAGAAUGAGCUGGAGCUUGUUGUUGCGGUGUGCUGGGCCAUCUGGUACUCUAGGAAUCGUUUGGUGUUUGAAGGAAAGGAAGAAGAUCCAAAAACUUCAGUGGCCAGAGCAAUUGCUAUGGUGGAAUCAUACAGGCGAAUAAAAGUUCCAAAUGAACAAAAUUCUCCAGGCCAUAGCAGAAUCAGUCAACUAGAAUGGGCAAAUCCUCCAAAGGGGUGUUAUAAAGUCAACGUUGAUGCUGCAAUUAAUGUUUCAAACCAAAAGGCAGGGUUGGGUGUAGUGUUUAAGAGUGACUAACUAUCCCAAUCAACUCAAAACACUUCCCAAGAUCACACCCAAACAAACAAGAUGUACCAAGAAUCAAUCCAGUAGAAUACACACAGAUUAUUAGAACUGAAAGAAUUAAAGAAAAGGACAAGAAUUAACGUGGUUCAGCUAGCUUCAGUCUAGCUUACAUCCACGGGAGAAACAGAACCCAAUUGUAUUGAUUGUUUAAAGGAGUUACAGAGAGUUCAUCAAGCUUGUUACAGAGUCUCUCAAGAAGCCUUUUGUUAUUAAUCUUCUCAACUCACAAUAGCUCUCUCUUCUUUUUUCUCAGUUGCCAGAAUCAGCUGUAUAUAACAGCUUGUUAACGAAUCAGCAACCAACCCAGAAACCCACGUGACAGUCAUGUGAGUUAACUGAUUCUAACGAACCAAGAACGCAACUUAUCCAUGCACGUGAAACUCUCGUGCAUCACUUAACCAAAACGACCUUCAUACAUGUCGUUCCAGGAGAUACGAGUUUGACUUUCCAAAACGCAGCAUCAGCUGACGUUUUCACAAACAGAUUUGCUUCACAUCACAACAAUUCUCCACCUUGAACAAAUCACUCUCUGAUCCUGAUUUCUCCAACCUGAGUAUUUAGAAUUCACUCAGCCCAGCUUUGUCCAAGCCGCUCUUGAACUUAGCUGUAGUUACAACCUUAGUAAGCAUGUCAGCAGGAUUAUCAUCUGUAUGCACUUUCACCAUGCUAAUCACACCUUUAGAGAUCACAUUUCUGAUAAAAUGUAACUUGAUAUCUAUGUGUUUAGUUUUUUCAUGGUGAGCUGGGUUCUUACUCAAGUAAAUUGCACUUGAGCUGUCACAAUGAACUUCCACAGUCUCCUGCUUCAUCCCCAGUUCUGUUAUCAACCCUCUCAGCCACAGAGCUUCCUUGACAGCUUCUGUUGCAGCAGUAUAUUCAGCCUCUGUUGUUGACAAAGCUACAACAUGCUGCAAUCUUGCCUUCCAGUUAACAAGGCAACCAUCCAAGAAAAACAUAUAGCCAGUUAAAGAUCUCCUUCUGUCUAAGUCCCCAGCAUAGUCUGAGUCAACAUAACCACAGAGACCUGCAAUCUUUCCAGCUGAUUUUCCAUAUACCAACCCAUACUGUUGUGUACCUUUCAGAUACCUCAGCACCCAUUUAACAGCCUUCCAGUGCUCCUUUCCAGGUGUAGCCAUAAACCUACUUACAACACUUAAAGCAUGAGCUAAGUCUGGUCUUGUAAGUACCAUUGCAUACAUCAUGCAACCAACAGCAUUUGCAUAAGGAACCUUUGUCAUUUCAUUCCUCUCUUCAUCUGUACUGGGGCAUUGUGAACAUGACAGCUUGAAGUGAGAUGCAAGAGGGGUUACUACUGACUUGCUGUUUGACAUCCCAAAAGUUCCCAGUACCUUCUCUAGAUACUUCCCUUGAGACAGAAUCAUAGUACCCUUCUUCCUGUUCCUUAUUAUUUCCAUACCCAAAAUCUUCCUAGCUGGACCCAAGUCUUUCAUAUCAAAUUCUGAAUUGAGCAGUUGCUUCAAAGCCUCAAUCUCUUCCCUUUCAUUACAAGCAAUCAACAUAUCAUCUACAUAUAACAGCAGAUAUAUGUAGUUGCCUGAUUGUAUGAUCUUGUAGUAAACACAUACAUCAUAGCUGCACCUUAGAUACCCAUGAGUGACCAUAAACUCAUCAAAUCUAAGGUACCACUGUCUGGGUGAUUGUUUCAGCCCAUACAGUGACCUCUUCAGCAGACACACACAGUCAGCAGAUUCAGGACUUGUGUACCCUUCAGGCUGUGUCAUCAAGAUGUCCUCAUUUAAUCUUCCAUGUAGAAAGGCUGUCUUGACAUUGAGUUGAUCAAGCUCCAUGUCUUUUACAGCUGUUAAAGCCAGUAGCACUCUGAUUGAUGUGUGUCUGACUACUGGUGAGAACACCUCUUUGAAAUCCACUCCAGCCCUCUGUGUGUAACCCUUGGCCACUAACCUAGCUUUGAAUCUUCUAGGUUCAGUAGCUGUUAGUCCAUCUUUGACUUUGUAGAUCCAUUUACAUCCUACUGUUCUGCUGUUGGCAGGUCUUUUAAUCAGCUCCCAUGUAUUGUUCUUCUUCAGUGAAUAGAUUUCCUCAUCCAUGGCCUUUUUCCACUCAUCUUUGUAUGGUCCCUGGAUAGCCUCUUUGUAGUUCUUGGGUUUAUCAUCAUCAAUUUGAUGAGAUGCUGUUAAUGCAUAGGCUAUCAGAUCUGCAUAUCCAUAUCUGACAGGUGCUUUUGCUUUCCUUCUUUCUCUGUCUCUUGUCAGCUGGUACUCCUGAUGCUGAGCUUCAGUCUGCUUUACAUGAUCAGUUUCUAGAUCAGUAGCUCCUUGAUAAGAGUCAUCUUCAUCUUCUGAAGCUUCUCUAGUGUAGGGCUCCACCUCAAACUGAAUCUUGGUUCUCUCCUUCUCCUUUGGUGUAUCUGUGUCAGUAGGUUUCUUCAUUUCCAGUGCAGCUUUCUCAUUGAAUAUUACAUCUCUACUGAUUAUGCACUUGGGGGGAUUAAGGUCUGUACACCACAGUUUGAAGCCUUUAACACCUUCAGGAUACCCAAUGAACUUUCCUUUAAGGGUUCUUGGAGCUAACUUCCCUUGGCUCACAUGUGCAUAAGCUGGACAUCCAAAUACUUUGAGGCUGCCAUAGUCUGCUGGUUUUCCAUGCCAUUUCUCAAAUGGGGUUUUGAAGUCAAGUGCUGCAGAGGGACUUAGAUUUACCAGAUAGCUUGCUGUUAACAGAGUCUCAGCCCACAAUCCUUUUGGAAGUUGUGACUGGAUCAUCAUGCUUCUUACUCUGUCCAUCAGGGUUCUGUUCAUUCUUUCGGCUAACCCAUUUUGUUGAGGAGUCAGCCUUACAGUUCUAUGCCUUGCAAUGCCAUGAUCUGCACAGUAGCUAUCAAACUCCUGAUUGCAAAACUCAAGACCAUUGUCUGUUCUGAGUUUCUUUACCUUCAAUCCAGUUUGAUUUUCAACCAGGGAUUUCCACUCUCUGAAUUUUCCAAAUACCUGAUCCUUGUGCUUUAAGACAUAAACCCAUACUCUCCUUGAAUAAUCAUCUAUUAAAGACAAGAAAUAGGUGUUGCCACCUAGUGACAUUGUCUGUGCUGGUCCCCAUAAAUCUGAGUGUAUGUAUUCAAGGAUGCCUUUUGUUGAAUGAACUGAUUUUCCAAAGCUACUUCUUGUAGCUUUGCCUAGUACACAGUCUUCACAAAAAUUCAGUUCUGAGAUUUGACUGCUGCCUAGAACCCCUUGCUUCUGUAAUUCUUUCAGACCUCUCAAGCUCAUAUGUCCUAAUCUAAGGUGCCACAGCAGAGUGUUAUCACAGCUUGAACUGAUUAACACUCCUGACACACCAGUUAUAGCUUCCCCAUUCAAAACAUAAACCCCAUUUCUCUUGUAACCUUUCAUAACUAUCCCAUCUUCAUUUGAAAUUCUCAGCUCACCAGAUUCAAGCUUAAUGCUAAGCCCCAUUUGGUCAAGCAUACCUAGAGAUAUUAAGUUCCUUUUAAGUUCAGGAACAUACCUAACUUCCCUUAAUUCUCUUAUUGUUCCAUCAUGCAAUUUUAGGUUUAUAUUUCCUAUCCCCGCAAUUUUACAAACAGCAUUGUUACCCAUCAUAACUUUUCCUCCAUCAGUUUCAUGAUAGUUUAAUAGGUAAUCUUUAAAGGGGCACAUAUGAAAUGUACAACCUGAGUCUAGAAUCCAGGUACCUUUUUGCACAUGCUCUGUAGCCACACAUACUCCUGCUGACUCAUACCCCUCUUCCUCAGCAGUAGCAGCAGCUCCAUUUUGUUCCCUUUUCUUGUUCUUGAGUUCUGGGCAAUCUCUCUUGAAAUGCCCUUCUUUCUGGCACUGAAAACAUUUCUUGCCUUUAGUCUUUUGUUUGUUGUUCCCUUGCUUCUUUUUCUUUCCAUCAUACUUAUCAGUUCUUGCUUUUACUGCCAAUACUUCUCCAGAGUUCAUAUUCCCUGACUUUUCUUGCAGCCCUCUAGUAUUCAGGGCAGCCUUAACUUCAUCCAAUGAUAAAGUCUGUCUCCCAUACAUGAGUGCAUCCACAAAGUUUGAAUAUGAGGAUGGAAGUGAACUAACCAGAAGCAAUGCUUUACCUUCAUCAUCUAAACCUUCAUCAAUUAUUUCCAAUGUAUCACAGACCUGAUUGAAUUCAUCAAUGUGGUCUUCGAGAGAUGACCCUUCAGCCAUCUUUAGUGUGAACAUUCUUUUCUUGAUGUAAAGUCUGUUGGCUAAUGAUUUAGUCAUAUACACCCUUUCAAGCUUUGCCCACAGAUCAGCCACUGUUCUUUCUCUUGCAACUUCCCUGAUCACCGAGUCUCCAAGACUCAAGAUUAUGGUACUCCUUGCCUUUUUGUCAAUCUCAGCAGCUUGUUGUGGUGUUAGUGAUGAUGAAGAUGUGGAGGCUUCUAAUCCUUCUUUCUUGAUGAUAGGUUCUAAGGCAUCACCUAGCCCUUGAGUGAUCAGUAAUGCCUCCAUUUUAACCUUCCACAUGUUGAAGUCAUUCUUCCCUGUAAACUUCUCUAGAUCGAUCUUUGAACCAACCAUACUUGUGUCUGAUUUGUAAUCCAAGCUCUGAUACCAAUUGUAGUGUUUAAGAGUGACUAACUAUCCCAAUCAACUCAAAACACUUCCCAAGAUCACACCCAAACAAACAAGAUGUACCAAGAAUCAAUCCAGUAGAAUACACACAGAUUAUUAGAACUGAAAGAAUUAAAGAAAAGGACAAGAAUUAACGUGGUUCAGCUAGCUUCAGUCUAGCUUACAUCCACGGGAGAAACAGAACCCAAUUGUAUUGAUUGUUUAAAGGAGUUACAGAGAGUUCAUCAAGCUUGUUACAGAGUCUCUCAAGAAGCCUUUUGUUAUUAAUCUUCUCAACUCACAAUAGCUCUCUCUUCUUUUUUCUCAGUUGCCAGAAUCAGCUGUAUAUAACAGCUUGUUAACGAAUCAGCAACCAACCCAGAAACCCACGUGACAGUCAUGUGAGUUAACUGAUUCUAACGAACCAAGAACGCAACUUAUCCAUGCACGUGAAACUCUCGUGCAUCACUUAACCAAAACGACCUUCAUACAUGUCGUUCCAGGAGAUACGAGUUUGACUUUCCAAAACGCAGCAUCAGCUGACGUUUUCACAAACAGAUUUGCUUCACAUCACAACAUUGGGGGUAGUCAUUAGAAACUCUGUGGGUAAGGUUGUUGCUGCAGCAGUCCAAAGAGCUCCAUAUAGGGGAGAUGUGGCGUGUAUGGAGGUUGAAGCUGUUCUGUUUGGUAUUCAGAGUGCCCAACAAGCAGCUGUUUUCCCAAUAAUUAUUGAGUCGGAUUCAAAGGAAGUGGUGGAUCUAUCCUUAAAGAAAAAGAUCAGCAAGACUGAAAUUGAGUGGAAAAUUGCAGAAAUCCAAGCAAAUCUGGAAAAUCAGAAUGUGUCCUCGCUGUCAUAUGUCCCUAGAAGCUGUAACUCUAUUGCUCAUUCUAUUGCAAAGAUAGCUCUAGGUUUUGAAAGUCAAGUCUUUUGGCUGGAAAACUUUCCAGAACAUAUCAGGUGUACUCUUGCUAAGUUCAUCAAUUGAAAAGCUUUACUUUGCUCAUCAAAAAAAAAAAAAAAAAAAAACUCCAGUGGCUGCAUCCACUGGAAAAAGUGGAUGAGAACCAUUUUUUUUUCAUAAAGGUAACUACUCACAUAAUUGAUGGUGCUUAAAUCAAUUUUUUUUUUAAUUUAAAGAAUUUUGCUUUAAAAAAUAAUUAAUAUCAAAAUGCCUUCAAUGUUGUUACCCUCACAAGCCCAGUUAGAGGACUCAUUAAAAAUUUUAGAAUUUUCAGGCCUGGAAAGCGUAGUAUUAAACAUCAGAAAGCAAAGGUUUUUAUGUCGAAGAAUUGAUGUCGACAAAAUUUUAUUUUAGUUUUUGGGAAAAAAAAUAUUUUGUUGACAAGCAAGAAAAUAUUUUUUAUACUUUACAAUCUGCCUUCUCUCUCAUUGUCUCUCACUAUUUCACGAUCUCUCUCUCACUCACACAGGCAAUGACCAUCUCAUCAUCGGCGUUCGUGUCGUCAGUGUCACUGGUCUUGCUCGACCGAGACAGUGAGAGAGAGGUUUGUUAGAUGGAGUGAUGAUAAAGGAUUCUAUUUUUUUUAUUAAUAUUUUAAUUUUUAAAAUUAAAAUGUGCUGCCGUUUCUCUUGUCUUUUUAGCUGUUUAGCAGCACUCUUUUCAAAAUUUAAGAAUGUAGGUGUCCUAUAAGAGAUCGAUAAAAGAACGUCAAUUAAAUUUAUAAAAAUAUGAUAAAAGAACGUCAAUUACUUGUCUUUUAGGGAAUCCAAUGAGAAAUAUGAUAAAAGAACGUCAAUUACUUGUCAUUUUCAAUUUUUUUCUGUAAGCUAUUUAUUUUGAGCAUUAGUGCUCUUGUCUGGACUACUCCAAUUAUUGACGUAACUCCAGUGGCUGCAAUUAAUGAUAUAAAGCUGAGACUUUUGACCAAGUUAUCUAGUUGGGAAAGCAAAUUUUUUUCCAGUGGGGGCAAAGAAGUGUUGAUUAAAACUGUUGCUCAGGCUGUGCCAGUCUAUGCAAUGAGUGUUUUUAAGAUCCCUCAUAGCUUUUGUGAUGACAUUGAGAAGGCUAUUGCUCGUUUCUGGUGGGGUUCCUCUGAAACAAAAAGAAGCAUUCACUGGACAAGGUGGGAACGGUUGUGCCACGCCAAGAUAAGGGGGGGAUUGGGUUUUAGAGAUUUCUCUAGUUUUAACCAAGCCUUAAUUGCUAAGCAGGGGUGGAGAAUUCUGCAGCACCCUGACUCUUUAAUGGCAAAGAUUCUGAAAGCAAAAUAUUUUAAGCAUACUGGUUUUAUGGAUGCGAAAUUGGGUUCACACCCCUCUUUUGUUUGGAGAAGUAUAUUAUGGGGUAGGCAAGUGCUCCAUAACGGCCUAAGAUGGAGAAUCGGCUGUGGGAGUCAGGUUUUAAUUUCCAGUAGCAAUUGGAUAAAAAACCAUAAGCUUCACAGUUUGGUUCCAUAUUCAAAUCUACCUCCUGAAACUGUAGUUGUUGACCUUAUUGAUGAAAGUCACCAAUGGAAAGAAGAUAUGGUUUUCCAACAUUUUCCAAUGGAUGUUGCAAAGAGGAUCACAAGAACCCCUCUCCCAAAAACUCCCCAGCAGGAUCUUCUCAUUUGGAAAUAUGAUAAGCACAGAAUUUACUCGGUGAAGAGUGGGUAUCAAUUGGCUGUUAAGCAAAAAUUCCAAAAUUAUCCAAGUUGUUCAGAUGUUACCAAGUCAAGGUGGGAGGUGAUAUGGGCUACGGAUCUUCUAGGAAAAGUCAAGAUUUUUAUUUGGAGGGCUGCUCAAAAUCUUCUCCCUACAGUUGGAAAUCUAUGGAGGAGGAGGGUGGUGAAGGAUUAUUUUUGCCAAAGAUGUAAUUGCAGAGGAGAGGAUGUCUUCCAUGCUUUAAUAGAGUGCAGGGCAGCUAAAAGGGUUUGGAAGUUGACUGAAUUUUAUGAGGAUGUAAAGCAAUUAGCUCGGCAAGACAUGUUGAGUGUGCUGCAGGAUUUAGCUGUGAAGAGAAAAAAGAAUGAGCUGGAGCUUGUUGUUGCGGUGUGCUGGGCCAUUUGGUACUCUAGGAAUCGUUUGGUGUUUGAAGGAAAGGAAGAAGAUCCAAAAACUUCAGUGGCCAGAGCAAUUGCUAUGGUGGAAUCAUACAGGCGAAUAAAAGUUCCAAAUGAACAAAAUUCUCCAGGCCAUAGCAGAAUCAGUCAACUAGAAUGGGCAAAUCCUCCAAAGGGGUGUUAUAAAGUCAACGUUGAUGCUGCAAUUAAUGUUUCAAACCAAAAGGCAGGGUUGGGUGUAGUGUUUAAGAGUGACUAACUAUCCCAAUCAACUCAAAACACUUCCCAAGAUCACACCCAAACAAACAAGAUGUACCAAGAAUCAAUCCAGUAGAAUACACACAGAUUAUUAGAACUGAAAGAAUUAAAGAAAAGGACAAGAAUUAACGUGGUUCAGCUAGCUUCAGUCUAGCUUACAUCCACGGGAGAAACAGAACCCAAUUGUAUUGAUUGUUUAAAGGAGUUACAGAGAGUUCAUCAAGCUUGUUACAGAGUCUCUCAAGAAGCCUUUUGUUAUUAAUCUUCUCAACUCACAAUAGCUCUCUCUUCUUUUUUCUCAGUUGCCAGAAUCAGCUGUAUAUAACAGCUUGUUAACGAAUCAGCAACCAACCCAGAAACCCACGUGACAGUCAUGUGAGUUAACUGAUUCUAACGAACCAAGAACGCAACUUAUCCAUGCACGUGAAACUCUCGUGCAUCACUUAACCAAAACGACCUUCAUACAUGUCGUUCCAGGAGAUACGAGUUUGACUUUCCAAAACGCAGCAUCAGCUGACGUUUUCACAAACAGAUUUCGUUCACAUCACAACAUUGGGGGUAGUCAUUAGAAACUCUGUGGGUAAGGUUGUUGCUGCAGCAGUCCAAGGAGCUCCAUAUAGGGGAGAUGUGGCGUGUAUGGAGGUUGAAGCUGUUCUGUUUGGUAUUCAGAGUGCCCAACAAGCAGCUGUUUUCCCAAUAAUUAUUGAGUCGGAUUCAAAGGAAGUGGUGGAUCUAUCCUUAAAGAAAAAGAUCAGCAAGACUGAAAUUGAGUGGAAAAUUGCAGAAAUCCAAGCAAAUCUGGAAAAUCAGAAUGUGUCCUCGCUGUCAUAUGUCCCUAGAAGCUGUAACUCUAUUGCUCAUUCUAUUGCAAAGAUAGCUCUAGGUUUUGAAAGUCAAGUCUUUUGGCUGGAAAACUUUCCAGAACAUAUCAGGUGUACUCUUGCUAAGUUCAUCAAUUGAAAAGCUUUACUUUGCUCAUCAAAAAAAAAAAAAAAAAAAAAACUCCAGUGGCUGCAUCCACUGGAAAAAGUGGAUGAGAACCAUUUUUUUUUCAUAAAGGUAACUACUCACAUAAUUGAUGGUGCUUAAAUCAAUUUUUUUUUUAAUUUAAAGAAUUUUGCUUUAAAAAAUAAUUAAUAUCAAAAUGCCUUCAAUGUUGUUACCCUCACAAGCCCAGUUAGAGGACUCAUUAAAAAUUUUAGAAUUUUCAGGCCUGGAAAGCGUAGUAUUAAACAUCAGAAAGCAAAGGUUUUUAUGUCGAAGAAUUGAUGUCGACAAAAUUUUAUUUUAGUUUUUGGGAAAAAAAAUAUUUUGUUGACAAGCAAGAAAAUAUUUUUUAUACUUUACAAUCUGCUAUACAUAUUUUAUCAUAUUAAAGUAAUUUUAAUAAUAUAUGGAAACAUAAUAUUUUAAUAAAUAAAUUAAAAUUACUUUGAAUUAUUGAAUAUUACAAAAAGAUAAUUUUAAUAUUAUUAAUAGGAAAACAUUUUUUAAUUGUAAAAUCUUUUUAAUACAAAAAUUCAUUUAAAAUCUUUAUAAUAAAUACAAAUAUAAAAUUAAAAAAUAUUAUAAUUUAAAAUUUUUAAUAGUAUUUAAAUAUUAAAAAUACUUUAAUAUUAUUAAUCUACUACAUCAAAUAUAUUAUUUAUAUUAUAUUCGUAUUGAUUAAAACGUUUUAAAGUCAAAUUUUUAAUUAGUGUAUUCAAAGGUACAAAAGAUUUUAGUAUUAUUUUUUAAAAAUUUCAGGAUAUGAAUGUUAAUUUUUUUCAAAUUUUAAAGAUGUAAAAAUCUUUUUUUCUGAUAAUUUAUUUCACUUUUGAGAGAAUCCGAAAACGUUAAUUUAACAUUCUUUACCUUUGUGAAAAAAGUGAAAAUCAAGAACUAUUCAAUUUUGUUUUUAUUUGUAAUUCAAAAACUUUAUUCAUUUUGGAUGCUUUUCAAAAGAGAUUCCUUUAAAUCCUUUUGGUGUCUGCAGCUCCUGCUAUUCUCAUAAGUCUCCAUCCCACAUCUACACUAUCAAACAAGUUGAUGGAAAUUCUUAUAAAAAAAAAAAAAAAGUCGAUGGAAAUUGAUCAAUUGCUUUUUGAAAUGGACCCAUUGAGUCAUGUUCAUUUCUGGUCAUUGUCUACUCUUUCUAUCAGCCAUUAAUUUUGACCAUUUGCGAUCUUAUCUGGACCAACUCCAAUUAUUUAUGUAACGAACUCCAAAGGUUGCAUCUACAGUUGAAUGUAAGAUAGCGAAGGCUCUUCUUUGAGAAAAUAGAGGAACCUUUCUCUGUUUCUCCGUUGCAACGUGCUCAUAUAAAUUUCUUUACCUUACAGUUUAUACGGUCUUGCUGUUAAUGAAUUCGCUGAGGCAUUAUUGAUCCAAUCUGAGUGAAGUAAUUGUGGCUGAAAAAUAAAUAAAGGAUAUGAGAACGUAGCUGAAGUGCUGAAGGGGCUAUUAAAGAAGAGUGUCACUUGAUCACAAUCACAUUGAUGCACAACUCACUCGUGGCAAAUUUCGACUAUACGUACUGCAAAUUCAGCCAAACCAUACAUGCAUGAACAAAACAUCUUCUCUAAACUAAAAAGCCCACAUCUCUAAAAUCAAUCUACAUAAUGUUGGAGAUGAGGGGUGAAUUGUUAACUCAGUAAAAAAAAAAAACUCAUGCAUAAGAUUACUAAUAAUAUAAAUUAUAUAUUAAUCAUUAUAAAGAAUCAUAAAUUAGAAAAAUUAAUCAUUUUAUAAUUUAUUACACAAGUAUGAUAAAUCUUAUAAUAAGUUAUAACAUAAAAAAACGUUAUCAAUAAAUAAUCAUUUAAGAAGUCAUUUAACAAUAAAAUCGUUCUUUGAUCAGUUGGUCAUGUCACAUAGUAUCAUCUAUAUUUAUGGUGAUAAUAUUAUUACUUAGUAUUAUCAAAAAACAUGAUUUAACAUUUAGAGGAAAUUCUUGCCUUUUAAAAAAAACAUGUAUGCAACAGCUACCCAUGCUUUAUCUUACCAUGACAAAUAUUUUCUCAAUGAAAGAAUUUUUUUUUAAAAUUGAUUUAAUGCACAAAUAUGAUGAUUUUUGCCAAAAAUUAAUUUUGGAAAACAUAGUGAGAGAAAAUAGUGACGAUUAUUGUUUAGAUGUAUAAAUAGCCUAAACAUAAUCCUUAAUACCAGUAUCCAUGUGCAUCUUAGCAUCUUUUAUGAUAUUCUUUCAUUUAUGUCCAUUGGUUCAAGAUUUGAAUUUGAUCAUUAAAUCAUAUUCAAUAAUAUUAGAGAUUCCAAAAAUUGAGUACCAACUUAAAUCCCAAUGUUAUGUUUCAUUGACCAAUGUCGUGUCAUUUUCUUAUUAACUAGGUGAUGAAUUUCUAGUUGAUAAAAUCACUUAAAAAUAUCUUAAAAAUCAGACAAUAGUUUGCUUAAUUUUUCCAAGUUAACUGCUCAAGAUGCUCUAUUAUAAAUGAUAACCUAAUUAUAUUCAUAAAAAAUGAUAUAUUUUUUGUGGUGUUGAUAAUGAGAUUAUCAUUCAACAUUUUAAAAUGUGAAAACAUAUGGAAGAUGGUUGUAAAUUGAUUGAAUGAAAAUAUUUCAGUGAAGUCUCAAAAAUUUGGUACUUGUUGUCUUAUCGAAAGUUUUCUAAAUUAUAUUCGUGGCACAGCCACUAUCCAAACCAUACAAGUCCAAAGCUAUCCAAACCAUACCUGCAAGUCCGGGGCUUAAAUGGAGUACUUCUAAGCAAAAAAACAUUGACUAAAAUAGAAUAUAUACAUACAGACACACAUACAUACCAGCAUAUUCAAAAUAGCAAAAGGAGUGCAAAGUUCAAGUUUGUAGACAACAUUGCAACCAUAGCAUGUUUAUAGCAAAUCCUCAAAAUCUGCUAAAUAAAACAAUGCCCUGUCUCAUGAAUCAAUGCUGAAUUAAAAUUGAAACUGAAAGUCUGGAUGGUGUUGUUUGUUGAGAAUGUCAAAUAAAACGGCAUUGAAGGAAGUUUUCAAAGGCAGAAUCCGCACUUGUCAAAGGGAUGAUCUGCACUUGUCAAAGACACGAUCCGCGCUGAACGGAUCGACACAUUUCCUUCCGUAUUCACAUAUGUAAUCUUUGAAAAAAUAUAGCUUCUGCAUCUAUAAAUAACGCUCAAUGUAUAAUGUUUUAUUCAAGAAAUAAAAACAAGUUUCUACAUGGUAUCAGAGCCAUGAAUGCGCUCAAGUUUCUUCAAGUUUCGUUGCUCUGUUUGUCACAAAAACAGAGGAAACCAAAUUCGUCCCACAACCAUUUUUUCCACCAUUUUCUUCCUUAAAAUCAUUCCUAACAUUACAGAAAUCCAUGCCGAUCAAAAAACAUGAAAGACAAAUUACACAUGUGCAGUAACCAAUGAUCAUAUUUCGUUACUGUCAAACACAAUGCAUCUGAGCAAAACAUUGGAAGCCAACACCAGAAUACAUAUGAAUAAACAAUUAAAGAUAGAGAAAAAAGGCUUAAACCUUGGGGGAAAAAAGUGAAAAAACAUGAAAGACAAAUUACACAUGUGCAGUAACCAUCGAACUUAUCAGUGACAGCUGCAUCUAUUACAUUGCUCCAACAACACAAUGGCAAACCACCAGUUUCAAAUUGAGGAUAGCUAUCGAGAAUGAGAAAGUGUCCAAAACGUCAUAAAUAGACAUGUUCCUAUUGUGCAUAAUUUACAUUAUAGGCAAAUAUUCUUAUACCAUCAAUGGCAAAACAUGACACUAACAAUUGAUCCCCCCAACACCCCCCCCCCCCACCAACCAAAAAAAAAAAGGAAAUAACAAUACAGAAAAGAUUGAAACAGAUAAGGCUACACUGAGCACAGGAUGCCAUGAAACAUAAUCCAGGAACCAAAUUAAUAAAAAAGGAAGCCAAACCAUUAUUUAACAAUCUGUUUUGUAUUUGGGAAAGUCUGAUAAAAUCUACUUAGGGAUAAUUAGAGAACUUCAACUAUUAAUCACACCUCAUAAAUGAACUAACAUUAACCAUCUACCAUCCCCACGUCACACAAACAUUCUCUAUACUUCUGAACCUAAUACUUCCAUCUUCAAUUGGGGGGUUUUUUUCUUUUUUCUUUUUUUUGGGGGGGGGGGGGGGGGGGGGGGGAAGCUAUCAAUUUUCUAAGCUUGCUUAGCUUCUGUGUGGGAUUGAAAUGCUGAUUUCGAAUCACUAACAGUAAAAUUGGAAGCUCAUGAGAAAAUAGAGAAAGACCUAAUGUUGAGUCCUUUGGCGCAUGUCUCUUCAUAGGUCCGAACCAUUUCUUCGGGCGUGGGUUACGGCCGAGAUUGGAUAAUGAUGGAGGAGGAGAAAAUAGAUAAUGAUUGCACUAAUUUUCUAGAUGAAUUUUUUCCUACAUGCUUGUUCCCGAAUGACCCAAAAUCCUGCUACAUCAGUUGUAUUAGAAAUUAAUCAACUGGGUUACAAUUAUGCAUCCCCACCAAUAUUUAAGCAAUUUACAGAAACAUUUCUUGAGGAAAAAAACUCAUAUCGCCACUAGGCUUUUAAUGAGGCUCAUUUUUAUGAAUUUGGAUGGCAUUAGAUAUCUCUCCAAAUAUUGGUGGGAGUAGAUCGCAGAUCUCUGGGCUAUACUACAAAGUGUAUGUACGUUGACUCUCAAUAAAUACAAACGAUUCUCUGAUAUGAUUCAAAACAUCAGUACAUGCAUCAUUUUAAUGAGAAAGAAUAUUCUAAGAACGAAAUUGAAGGUGCAAUCAGCAGCUAAAAUGAAGCCAGAAAUGUACACGCAUGAGGAACUUUUCCUAGAAGAUUGAUAUUUCUUUGACUAGCAAACCACACACGUCAAAGCUAGCCAAACCAUACCUGCAUGUCGGGGGUUUAAAUGGAGUACUUCUAAGCAUAAAACAUUGAUUAAAACAGAAUACACACAUACAUACCAGCAAAUUCAAAAUAGCAAAAGGAGUGCAAAAGUUCAAGUUUGUAGACAACAUUGCAACCAUGGCAUGUUUAUAGCAAAUCCUCGAAAUCUGCUAAAUAAAACAAUGCCAUGUCUCAUGAAUCAAUGCUGAAUUAAAAUUGAAACUGAAAGUCUGGCUAGCGAUGUUUCCCUCUCCAAUUUUGCCUACAUAAGUGAAAAUAAGAAUAAUAAAUGAAAAUCUGCUUUGACAGUUCUUAUUAGAUAGAUAUAAAAAGAUCUUUCUUUGUUUCUCUGCAGCAAUCUGUGGCUAUCCCACUCUGUUUUGCCAGUCAAGCUGCGGCCUCAAUUAGUUUGGCACUUUUAUGACCUCCUUGAAGGUUUUACGAUAAACAUAAAUCUACUGACAAAGUGGGCAAAAAGAAAAUGUAUAUAAAAGUAUGAGUUAUCAGAUAAGAUUAAAACUCACCCAAUUCAAUCCAUCAGAUUCCGUAAGGAUAUAACUGGAUGUCAUACCGCCACUCUAUAUUCUUGAAAGUCCGUAGUGUUUGUCUCAACUGUGUCUGGGGCCAGUGUAAGUCCAAUUUGCGCAAGCUCUCUAUGCACCACAGCUCUUCUGGAAGCUUUCUCAAGUAAGCACAUGGGUUGACAAUUAAGCUUUCAAGUUUCGGCAUUGCUCCAGCCCCCAUCGUCCACUCAUCUAGCCAAUACAUUGAUUUCAGGUGCAAAACCUUAAGUUCGGGAAAGCUACUCAAGCCAACACAAGCAAGCUUUCUUCCUAAAUACGAGUUCUGCUUCAGUUUCAGCACUCGAAGGAGUGGAAGAUUUUCCAGAAUUGGCAUGGGAUCCUCCAUUAGCUCAGUAUUUGAUAAGCUCAGUUGGAUCAGACUUGGGGGAAAUUGGUAUUCAGACAGGACCAUCCGUGAGGGCUUGCUCUCAUUCACCAGCUUCAAGCAUUCAAGUUUGUGGAGUUCGCAAAGGCUUUUGGAAACCCCAGAUUGAUAGUAACUCAAAUCUCCAGAUAUCCGAAGAGUCUGAACACUAGGUAGUCUGCCCAAUAUAUCAGGAGUACAACUACUAGGGUUUAAAGCUGAUAUGAAAAUGAGAUUUUUCAGAGAGCUAGAAUAAUUUUUUGGAGGUGCGGGCAGAGUGAUAGAACCAAAGUUUAGAUGCAUGAGUUUUUGCAUCAUCCAAAUAUCCUCUGGUGACUGAUCUAUGUAGCUAGAUGGCAUUUCUAGUGUUUCAAGGUUUAAAAGGGUGCAUAGCAGUGAAGGAAGGCAUUUGGGCGAAGGGAUAUUCAAUUUCAAAUACUUCAAAAGGAAUGAAUUUUCUAAUCCGGGUGGAUAUUGGUCCAGGACUGCAGAACCCAUGUUCAAUACCCGAAGGUAUUUGAACCUUUUAAAAAAAUUCUCGCAAUCUUUCGAAUUAAGAUGAUUGCUUUUUGAACUGUGAUUCAGAAAAGAAGUUUCUGCAGAACCCAUGUUAGAAUGUUUCAAAGAAAAGAAGUCAAUCUGAUUACCCAAAAUGAUGUACCGUUUAACAUUUUCCGGUGGUUCAUCUUCCAUGUCAAGCAUCCAGACAAAUCCCGUCUUCUCUGCCACCAAUAACAAUGAAUAAUAUACAAUACUUGGAACAUAACACGCUUUAAUCGUGCCUCCGGCGCUUCUCUUACUCACUUGAAUGAAGCCGCGAUGGAUUAGUUCUUUCAAGUAAUGUUCGGCCGUCUCCUCACUGUUGUAUGGUAUGAAACCUUCAGCUACCCAUAACUGAUAUAAUUGCCUCGUGGAUAUCUCAAUACUUGGAGGGAAGACACACAAAUAGAUGCAGCAGACUUUCAAGUGAAAAGGUAACUCCAUCACAGAGAAAGUUUGUCUCCAUACUGUCGGAAUCGCUUCGCCUUGAAGAUAAUUUCCUAAUGGCAUACUUCCAUAGUGUAGGACGAAAAAUUGCCAGGCUUCAAGCUUUAAUCUGAUCAAUGGUCCUCCAAUGAGCACCGAAUCAAGCCGAAUCUUCUCUCCGUUUUCCAUUUUCAGCGACGUAAGGAGUUCUGGUUCAGUGACCAAUAUCAAUACUCUGCUUCCAUUCUCAUUAUCAGGGAGAACUUCUUCGAGAUCACUCCAUAUCUCACUGUAAUCGAAGACGUCAUCAAGCACAAUAAAGUACUUCUUGUUGGUUAGGUAAUCUCGAAGAACAGAUUUCUUCAAUUGAUAAUGUUCACCGAUAAUUACACUAACCCGAGAUGGAGGCAUCACAGACUUGAUUAUGUCAUCCAAUAUCCAUACUUUAUCGUAGGCUAUAGAAACCCUUACCCAAGCAUGACAGUCAAAAUAGAACUUGACACGGUUAUUAUUGUAAGUAUCUGCAGCAAAAGCAGUCUUAUCGAAGCCACUGCUGUCGAGAAUUGCAACCACUGAAAGCCCAGAUGGUCCCUCAAUCAAUAGAUCAAAAAACUUCUCUCUGCCCCUUUCAAAUUCACUGAUAUCGAGCCGAGGUUGUCCCUCACUCAAUAGGCGUAUGAUUUCGUUCCUUUUUUCACUGAUAUCAAAACCAUUGUCGCCGGGUGGAAGUUGUUGCAUCCGAUUUCUAAUAUCAAUGAUUUUAGUGUGGAGUCCAACAAGAAGAGCCAUAUCAGUACUGCUUUCACUUUCGUUUUCACUGUUUUGCUGCUGCAUGAUUUUGAUGAAGAAUGUGUCAAUGGCUUCCUCAGAUUCAUGGACAAAGUCAUUGAUGUCCUCCAGAAUUUCAAAAAUAUCUGCUGUUUCAACGUCUUCUUCAUCGCUUUCUUCUAAGUCCAACAGUUGCAAAAAAGGCAAUGAUAUUUUGGAGUCAUCUAAUUCUUCUCUAAGGAGUUGAAACAAAUGCCGAGCCAUGUCAGCUUCAUAGUUUCCCAGCAGAGUAGUAGCAAUAAUUUCGGACUCCGUAAGAAGGUUUUGAAAACGUGGAGUUAAAUUUGUUGAAUCUGGCAAAGUUAACGUGCCUUCUUCACCUGCUAACACCCUUUUCAACCUCUCACAAAACAGUCGGAGGUGGAAUUCCAGCAUAUCUCCUUCUCUCCGUAGCACUCAGAGGUAUAGCUGAAAGAUUAAACACCAUGGAAGAAUUUGAAAGGAAAAUGCCAAGAAAUUGUGUAAGUGGCUAAAUUCCACAAAUAUGACAUUAUUGCUCAUUUUUUAACUCAAAAAAAGGGUACGCGUUCAUUUAGAGAAAAGUCCAAGACGCGUGCUUUUUGAAAAGAACAGGUAUCCCAAUCGGUAUCCAACCUUUAUCUUAUUUAAUUACUACCAUGACAUAAUUGAUGGUGCUUAAAUCAAUUGUUUCUUUUUUAAUUUAAAGAAUUUUUCAUUAAAAAAAUAUUUUAAUAUCAAAUUGCCUUCAGUGGCGUAACAACUGCCUGAAGCCCAGUAACAGGACUAAUUAAAAAUUUUACAAUUUUUGGGCAUGGAAAUAGUAGUAUUAAACAUUAGAAAGGUGAGGUUGUUCUGUUAAAGAAUUGAUAUUGACAUAAUUUUAUUUUGGUUUUCGUGGAAAACAAAAAUAUUUGUUGACAAGCAAGAAAAUAUUUUUAUUUUUUAAAAUUUAUUAUGCAUAUUUUAUCAUAUUGAAGUAAUUUUAAUAAUAAAUAGAAACAUAAUAUUACAAUAAAUAAAUUAAAAUUUAACUUAUUUUGAAUAUUAUAAAAAAUAAUUUUAAUAUUAUUAAUAGGAAGACAUUGUAUUAAUUUUAAAAUUUUUUAACCCAAAGGUUUAUUUAAAAUCUUUAUUAUAAAUACAAAUAUAAAAUUAAAUAUCAUAAUUUAAAAUUUUUAAUAUUAUUUUAAGUAUUAAAAAUAUUUUAAUGUUAUUAGUCUACUACAUAGAUCAUAUUACUUAUAUAAUAUUUGUAUUAUUAAAAAUUUUUAAAAUCAAAUUUUUAGUUAGUAUAUUCAUGAGGUAUUAUGGUUACAAAAAAAAGACCUUAUUAUUACUUUUUAAAAAAUUGAGGGUCUGCGAUGAUAAUUUUUUCAAAAAGAAAAUACAUGGUAUGUAGGAGGGGUAGAGAAACAGGACUUCCAAAAUCUCUCACCCUUCUUUAAUUAAAAAAAAAAUUAAAAUAUUAAUAAAAAAUAAUAAAGAAAAUAGAAUUUUAUCUGCUCCUUACUCCAUUUUUGCAACUCUCUCAACAUCUCUGUCGAGCAGCCUUCUCUCUCAUUGUCUCUCACUAUUUCACGAUCUCUCUCUCACUCACACAGGCAAUGACCAUCUCAUCAUCGGCGGUCGUGUCGUCAGUGUCACUGGUCUUGCUCGACCGAGACAGUGAGAGAGAGGUUUCUUAGAUGGAGUGAUGAUAAAGGAUUCUAUUUUUUUUAUUAAUAUUUUAAUUUUUAAAAUUAAAAUGUGCUGCCGUUUCUCUUGUCUUUUUAGCUGUUUAGCAGCACUCUUUUCAAAAUUUAAGAAUGUAGGUGUCCUAUAAGAGAUCGAUAAAAGAACGUCAAUUAAAUUUAUAAAAAUAUGAUAAAAGAACGUCAAUUACUUGUCUUUUAGGGAAUCCAAUGAGAAAUAUGAUAAAAGAACGUCAAUUACUUGUCAUUUUCAAUUUUUUUCUGUAAGCUAUUUAUUUUGAGCAUUAGUGAUCUUGUCUGGACUACUCCAAUUAUUGACGUAACUCCAGUGGCUGCAAUUAAUGAUAUAAAGCUGAGACUUUUGACCAAGUUAUCUAGUUGGGAAAGCAAAUUUUUUUCCAGUGGGGGUAAAGAAGUGUUGAUUAAAGCUGUUGCUCAGGCUGUGCCAGCCUAUGCAAUGAGUGUUUUUAAGAUCCCUCAUAGCUUUUGUGAUGACAUUGAGAAGGCUAUUACUCGUUUCUGGUGGGGUUCCUCUGAAACAAAAAGAAGCAUUCACUGGACAAGGUGGGAACAGUUGUGCCACGCCAAGAUAAGGGGGGGAUUGGGUUUUAGAGAUUUCUCUAGUUUUAACCAAGCCUUAAUUGCUAAGCAGGGGUGGAGAAUUCUGCAGCACCCUGACUCUUUAAUGGCAAAGAUUCUGAAAGCAAAAUAUUUUAAGCAUACUGGUUUUAUGGAUGCGAAAUUGGGUUCACACCCCUCUUUUGUUUGGAGAAGUAUAUUAUGGGGUAGGCAAGUGCUCCAUAACGGCCUAAGAUGGAGAAUCGGCAGUGGGAGUCAAGUUUUAAUUUCCAGUAGCAAUUGGAUAAAAAACCAUAAGCUUCCCAGUUUGGUUCCAUAUUCAGAUCUACCUCCUGAAACUGUAGUUGCUGACCUUAUUGAUGAAAGUCACCAAUGGAAAGAAGAUAUGGUUUUCCAAUAUUUUCCAAUGGAUGUUGCAAAGAGGAUCACCAGAACCCCUCUCCCAAAAACUCCCCAGCAGGAUCUUCUCAUUUGGAAAUAUGAUAAGCACGGAAUUUACUCGGUGAAGAGUGGGUAUCAAUUGGCUGUUAAGCAAAAAUUCCAAAAUUAUCCAAGUUGUUCAGAUGUUACCAAGUCAAGGUGGGAGGUGAUAUGGGCUACGGAUCUUCUAGGAAAAGUCAAGAUUUUUAUUUGGAGGGCUGCUCAAAAUCUUCUCCCUGACUUUUCUUGCAGCCCUCUAGUAUUCAGGGCAGCCUUAACUUCAUCCAAUGAUAAAGUCUGUCUCCCAUACAUGAGUGCAUCCACAAAGUUUGAAUAUGAGGAUGGAAGUGAACUAACCAGAAGCAAUGCUUUACCUUCAUCAUCUAAACCUUCAUCAAUUAUUUCCAAUGUAUCACAGACCUGAUUGAAUUCAUCAAUGUGGUCUUCGAGAGAUGACCCUUCAGCCAUCUUUAGUGUGAACAUUCUUUUCUUGAUGUAAAGUCUGUUGGCUAAUGAUUUAGUCAUAUACACCCUUUCAAGCUUUGCCCACAGAUCAGCCACUGUUCUUUCUCUUGCAACUUCCCUGAUCACCGAGUCUCCAAGACUCAAGAUUAUGGUACUCCUUGCCUUUUUGUCAAUCUCAGCAGCUUGUUGUGGUGUUAGUGAUGAUGAAGAUGUGGAGGCUUCUAAUCCUUCUUUCUUGAUGAUAGGUUCUAAGGCAUCACCUAGCCCUUGAGUGAUCAGUAAUGCCUCCAUUUUAACCUUCCACAUGUUGAAGUCAUUCUUCCCUGUAAACUUCUCUAGAUCGAUCUUUGAACCAACCAUACUUGUGUCUGAUUUGUAAUCCAAGCUCUGAUACCAAUUGUAGUGUUUAAGAGUGACUAACUAUCCCAAUCAACUCAAAACACUUCCCAAGAUCACACCCAAACAAACAAGAUGUACCAAGAAUCAAUCCAGUAGAAUACACACAGAUUAUUAGAACUGAAAGAAUUAAAGAAAAGGACAAGAAUUAACGUGGUUCAGCUAGCUUCAGUCUAGCUUACAUCCACGGGAGAAACAGAACCCAAUUGUAUUGAUUGUUUAAAGGAGUUACAGAGAGUUCAUCAAGCUUGUUACAGAGUCUCUCAAGAAGCCUUUUGUUAUUAAUCUUCUCAACUCACAAUAGCUCUCUCUUCUUUUUUCUCUGUUGCCAGAAUCAGCUGUAUAUAACAGCUUGUUAACGAAUCAGCAACCAACCCAGGAACCCACGUGACAGUCAUGUGAGUUAACUGAUUCUAACGAACCAAGAACGCAACUUAUCCAUGCACGUGAAACUCUCGUGCAUCACUUAACCAAAACGACCUUCAUACAUGUCGUUCCAGGAGAUACGAGUUUGACUUUCCAAAACGCAGCAUCAGCUGACGUUUUCACAAACAGAUUUGCUUCACAUCACAACAUUGGGGGUAGUCAUUAGAAACUCUGUGGGUAAGGUUGUUGCUGCAGCAGUCCAAGGAGCUCCAUAUAGGGGAGAUGUGGCGUGUAUGGAGGUUGAAGCUGUUCUGUUUGGUAUUCAGAGUGCCCAACAAGCAGCUGUUUUCCCAAUAAUUAUUGAGUCGGAUUCAAAGGAAGUGGUGGAUCUAUCCUUAAAGAAAAAGAUCAGCAAGACUGAAAUUGAGUGGAAAAUUGCAGAAAUCCAAGCAAAUCUGGAAAAUCAGAAUGUGUCCUCGCUGUCAUAUGUCCCUAGAAGCUGUAACUCUAUUGCUCAUUCUAUUGCAAAGAUAGCUCUAGGUUUUGAAAGUCAAGUCUUUUGGCUGGAAAACUUUCCAGAACAUAUCAGGUGUACUCUUGCUAAGUUCAUCAAUUGAAAAGCUUUACUUUGCUCAUCAAAAAAAAAAAAAAAAAAAAAACUCCAGUGGCUGCAUCCACUGGAAAAAGUGGAUGAGAACCAUUUUUUUUUCAUAAAGGUAACUACUCACAUAAUUGAUGGUGCUUAAAUCAAUUUUUUCUUUCUUUUUUUUUUAAUUUAAAGAAUUUUGCUUUAAAAAAUAAUUAAUAUCAAAAUGCCUUCAAUGUUGUUACCCUCACAAGCCCAGUUAGAGGACUCAUUAAAAAUUUUAGAAUUUUUAGGCCUGGAAAGCGUAGUAUUAAACAUCAGAAAGCAAAGGUUUUUAUGUCGAAGAAUUGAUGUCGACAAAAUUUUAUUUUAGUUUUCGGGAAAAAAAAUAAUUUGUUGACAAGCAAGAAAAUAUUUUUUAUACUUUACAAUCUGCUAUACAUAUUUUAUCAUAUUAAAGUAAUUUUAAUAAUAUAUGGAAACAUAAUAUUAUAAUAAAUAAAUUAAAAUUACUUUGAAUUAUUAAAUAUUACAAAAAGAUAAUUUUAAUAUUAUUAAUAGGAAAACAUUUUUUAAUUGUAAAAUCUUUUUAAUACAAAAAAUCAUUUAAAAUCUUUAUAAUAAAUACAAAUAUAAAAUUAAAAAAUAUCAUAAUUAAAAUUUUUAAUAAUAUUUAAAUAUUAAAAAUACUUUAAUAUUAUUAAUCUACUACAUAAAAUAUAUUAUUUGUAUUAUACUCGUAUUGAUUAAAACGUUUUAAAGUCAAAUUUUUAAUUAGUGUAUUCAAAGGUAUAAAAGAUUUUAGUAUUAUUUUUUAAAAAUUUCAGGAUAUGAAUGAUAAUUUUUUCAAAUUUUAAAGAUGUAAGAAUCUUUUUUUCUGAUAAUUUAUUUCACUUUUAAGAGAAUCCGAAAACGUUAAUUUAACAUUCUUUACCUUUGUAUAAAAAGUGAAAAUCAAGAACUAUUCAAUUUUGUUUUUAUUUGUAAUUCAAAAACGUUAUUCAUUUUCGAUGCUUUUCAAAAGAGAUUCCUUUAAAUCCUUUUGGUGGCUGCAGCUCCUGCAAUUUUCAUAAAUCUCCAUCCCACAUCAACACUAUCAAACAAGUUGAUGGAAAUUCUUAUCAAAAUUCCACAAAUAUGACGUUAUUGCUCAUUUUUCUCUCAAGACGCGUGCCUCCUGAAAAGAGAUACAUUGAAUAAGUCAAUUGAUUACAUUGUGGGUAAUUAAUUUAGAAGUGAAGCAGAGAAUAAAGUCCUAGAUGCCUUUAGAAAUUAGAAAUACAUUUUAUAUGCUUUAAUUAAUGAAUUCACUGAGGCAUUAUUGAUCCAAUCCCAGUGAAGUAAUUGUGGGUGAAAAAAAAAAAUAAAGUGCUGAAUUGGCUAUUAAAAAAGAGUGUCACUUGAUCACAAUCACAUUGAUCCACAACUCACUCGAGGCAAAUUUCAUCUAUGUGUACUGCAAAUUUAGCCAAACCAUGCAUGCAUGAACAAAAUUAGGCCGUAGUCCUCAUCACAACAUUAAUUGAAGCCACAAAAGCCAGCAAAUCCAAACGAAAACUUAAAAGGAAGUCUUUUAACUAUUGGAAACAUUAAUCAUUUUACAAUCUAUUACAUAAUAAAGAUAAAUUUUAUAAUAAGUUAAGUUAGAACUAGGGAAGGCAAAUUUUCCCGAUGGGAUGGGAUCCUGCGGGAUCCCAUCCCAUUUGGGACGGGAUUGAGACAUAUUUUUGUCCCAUAAAAAAAUUUAGGACGGAAUUGGGAUUUUUUUUAUCCCAAUUACAUAUGCGGGACAUGAGUGGGAUUGACAAAUUCCGUCCCAUCCCAUCUCAUUACCGAUUAAUAAUGGAAAUUUUUCCAAUUGGGAUGGGAUCCCGCGGGAUCCCAUCUCUUUUAGGACGGGAUUGGGACAUAUUUUUGUCCCAAAAAAAUAUAAGGACGGGAUUAUGACAUUUUUUCAUCCCAUUUGCAUAUACGGGAUGGGACUGGGAUUGGUAAAUCCCAUCCCAUCCCAUCCCAUUGCCAACCCUAGUUAAAACAUAUCAAAUAUUUUCAACAUAUAUAAUUAUUUAAGAAGUCUUUUAACAAUAUUUUUUUUUCUUUUUCAGUUAAUCAUGUCAUAUACCGUUAUCUAAAACGCUGGCGAUAUUAUUAUUCCUCACUUUUCUCAAAAAAAAAAAAGAAAAAAAAAAGAAACAUGAUUAACGUUUAGAGAAAAGUCAUGCCUUUUAAAAAGAAUAUGUAUACAAUAGCAAUCCAUACUUUAUAAAAUUGAUGGCGAUUACAAAGAAAAAUUGUUUAAAAUAGAUUUGAUGCACAAAUAUGAUGACUUUUGGCAAAAAUUAGUUUCGGAAAUGUUGAGAUGAAAACCAUAUUAAUUGAGAAUUAAAAUUAUUUAACUACCAUCUAAUAGAUGAAAACCAUAUCAAUUGGGACUUAAAUUAAAAUUUAAAUAUUGAAAUAUCUAGCAUUACUCACAAUAACCAAUUCAAAUUAUGACUAUCAUGUAGAAGCAAAUGUUUAUGCGUGGGUUUUUUACUUCUUGAAUUUGAUUGGAAAAAUUUCUAAGAUAGAGAAGUGUUUUGGAUAAGCUUUUCGGGAUUGAAACCACAAAUUGGUAGAGGAAAUUAAUUUUGGACAAAUUUUUCUUAUAUUGUAGGACCUUCUAGUUGGAGUAGUGAUGGCUUUGUCUUCAUUUUUGGUUCCUUUUGUGUCGGCAGCCCCUUACUAUUCUCUUGACCCUGAGUUUGAGAUAGAAAUUUAUCAACCUCCAACCCCACAUCCACAAACAAGUUGAUUGAAACAAUUGCUCUUUUAAUUAAGAGGACCCAAAUGAUUUAGGUUUCAGUUCUUAUCAUUUGUCUAUUAUUUCUUUGAAACAUUUAUUUUGAGCGUUACUGAUCUUAAUUAUCUGUAUUUCUCCAAUUAUUGAAGAAUUUCAAGUGGCCACUUUUUCUCCUUUUUAUAUAUGUUUAUUUUUUGGAGUGAUCAAACGGGUGCAAAAUCAAGUAUUCGCUGGUCCGUAGUUUAGCCAACUAUGGCUGAUCCACACAGUUGAUUAUAUGAUACUAUUAGCUCUCAAAAUCUUUCUUAUUUGAGAACAUAAAUUGCCCAUUAAAGUUAAACUAUGUUACCCAGCUCCAUGCACAUACAUUAAAUGUUUAGGUAGUUUUACAAAAUGAUAACAGCAUGCCAAAACUUGAUGUUGUCAUAUUCGACAUUUCAAAUUGAAAAAUACGCAAGCAAUCUUCAGUGAACAUUACGUGUUUAUUGAAUAAUUUAAAUGGCCAGUAAAUCAACAGUCCGUGAGUUUUAAAUCUAUUAUGACUUAAUGUAUCUUUCUGUAUUUGUACACAUAUUAUAUUAUCAUAGUUUAAAAUUUUAAUAUUAUUUUAAAUGUUAAAAAUACUUUAAUGCUAUUAGUCUACUACACAGGUUAUAUUAUUUAUAUUAUAUUUGUAUUAAUUAAAACUUUUAAUGUCAAUUUUCUAAUUACUAUAUUAAUAAAGUAUUAUGGUUAAGAAAAAGUUUUGGCAUUUCUUCUUGAAAAUUUGAGGGUCUGCAUGACAAUUUUUCCAUAUUCUAAGGGUAUAAGUUUGAAAAUUUAACAUUCUCUAAAUUGAUGAAACAAAAAGGGGAAACCAAGAACUAUUCAAUUUUGUAUUUUUUGUUUGUAAUUCAAAAAAUGCAUCCACCAAACAAGUUUUACGCAUUAAUGCUGUCAUAAAACGAAAAACAAUUUGCCAAAAAAGGGUACCAAACAUAUCCUUAAUGUCUCACAUGAUUUCUUAGUAAGCCCGUAUUAGAUAUAUUUAUACAUUUUAGGUAUUUUAGUUAUAAAAGAAGUUGGCCCUCCCUUGUUUAUAAAAAAUAACUUUAUUCAUGCACAUAUGCCAAAAGAAUAAAUAGACAGAAAGUAAAUUUACAGUCCUCACUUCCUCACAAUUGUUAACGUGAAGAUGCAUUACAACUGUGAACUGUCACUACUUUAGCCUUUUUUUUUAAAAAAAAAAAUUAUAGUGUGAUGGAGACAUUAAGGAUGAGCAUAACAGUUAAAGAUGACUCAUUUUCUUUUUAAAGUGCUCUGCUGAAAGCCGAACUUCCUUUGGCUAAUUAAUUUAGAAGUAAAGCAGAGAAUAAAGUCCUAGACGCCUUCUGAAAUAAGAAAUACAUUUUAUAUGCUUUAAUUAUGAUUAUUUGGUAGACUAAAGACCUAAAAGAUAUGUCAAAAGUAUAAAACAGAGCGAUUAAAGAAAAAAGAAAAAAAACAGAGUAUUUGUGACGUAGAAUAACAAUUGGUAAAUAAAUCCUAAAUAUUUGAGUUGUUAAAAGCAAAUAUAACAGAGACGGUAAGAGAGAUGCAGAAACAGAAAACUAUUAGCUUAUCUUGAUUUUUCCACUAUAUUCAUUUUCAAUGCUUUUCAAACGAGAUUCUUUUAAUUCUUCUGGUGUCUGCAGCCCCGGCUAUUCUUAUAAAUCUCCAUCCCACAUCUGCACUACGAACAAGUUGACUGAAAUUAAAUAAUGUUGGAGAUGAAGGGUGAGCCGUCAACUUGUUAAAAAAAAACUCAUGUAUAAUAUUAUCAAUAAUAUAAAAUAUAUAAUAAUUAUUACAAAGAAUCAUAAAUUAGAAAAAUUAAUUAUUUUACAAUCUAUUUCUUAAGUAAGGUGGCGUUUGUUUUUUCAUCUGAAAUCUGAAUAGACCUGAAUUAAUCUGAAUUCUGAAUAGAUCUGAAUGUCUGAAUCUGAAUAAUAUGUUUGUUUUUUUGUUUGAAUCUUGGAAAAUAAGUAUUAAGUUGUUUGUUUUUUUCAACUUAAAAAGCUGAAAAUAUGUACUUUUACAUUUAUAUCCUUAUUAAAUUUGAAUGUCAAAUAAAUAAUAAAUUAAAUACCACAAUAUUUUAACAUUUAUAAGUAAAACUAUAUUCAAGUGAAUACAUAAUUAUUUUGGAAUUUUAAUAGAUAAAAUACUAAAAAUUUUAAAUUUUAUCGUAUAUAAUAUAAGAAAGAAAAAAUAGGAAAAUUUUCAUGUGGGGUAAAUGUUUAUGGGUGAGUUUUGGGAUAGACAUGAAAAAUAAAUUAUAAAGCAGGGAUAUUUUUGAUAUUAGCAAGUAAUUGACUUAAUUCAGAUUUCUCCAUUAAGUAAAAAGCCAAAAGAAUUGGCUUAUUUUAUUAAGUCAAAAUUAUCUAAAAAGUCUCAUUAAGUUAUAAAAACAAACACCUCUAAUUAACUUAAUUAAUUAAGUUAAGUCACUUUAAGUCAUUAAGUUAAAAAACAAACGCCACCUAAGAUAAAUCUUGUAAUAAGUUAAGUUAUAACGUAAAAAAUAUUUUCAAUUUAUAAUCAUUUAAGAAGUCAUUUAAUAAUAAAAUCUUUUUUUUUUAUCAGUAGGCCAUGCUACAGAGUAUCAUCUAUAUUCGUGGUGAUAUUAUUAUUACUCAGUAUCCUCAAAAAACACGAUUUAACAUUUAGAGAAAAUUCCUGCCUUUUAAAAAGAACAUGUAUGCAAUAGCUAGCCAUACUUUAUUUUACCACGACAAAAUUGAUGGUGAUUAAAUCAAUUUUCUCAAUUAAAGCAAAAUUUUUUAAAAUUGAUUUAAUGCACAAAUAUGAUGAUUUUUUGUAAAAAUUAGUUUUGGAAAAUAUAGUGAGAGAAAAUGGUGACGAUUAUUUUUCAAAUGUGCAAAUAGCCUAAACAUAAUCUCUAAUACCAAUAUCCAUGUGCAUCUUAACACCUUUCAUGAUAUUCUUUCAUUCAUGGCCAUUUGUUCAAGAUUUGAAUUUGAUUAUUAAAUUAUGUUCAAUAAUGUUAGAGAUCCCAACAAUUGAGUACCAACUUAAAUCCCAAUGCUAUGUGUCAUUAACAAAUGUUGUGUCAUUUAUAAUUAUUGAAUGAAUAAUUCGUUAAUUUAUUGAUAAAUGAAAAUUUAUUAAUUUAAAGAGAGAUAUUUUUUUUUGGUUUUAAGAAGAGUUUUGUUGGUACAUGUACAUACUUAUAAAGAAAUAAACUUGUAAUUAUACUAUAUCUUUCUUUCUUUGUUCAGUUUGGUGGGAUAUUGUGAUAAAUCAUUGGAUUAAAAUGCAUUUCUAAAUUGAAACUUGUUAAAAUCUAAUUUAUUUGGGAAACACAUGUUAUUUGUCAGUCGUACUUCUCAACUUAGCAAGUUAUUUCUAACUUGUCAGUCUCUAUUGGUUCUCUUAAAGUUAAUAGUCUCGAAUCUCCCGCAUUUGAUAUCUUGCCAUUACUCUUGGCAUUAACAUGUUACCUGAGAUUGGGAUUCAUUAAAAUCCUCAAUGUAAUCGGUGGAACGAAUGGAUUUCUUCUGUUCACCAAUCCACCAAAAUUUCUGUAAUUAAAUUCAAAAGUCAAGAUCUAUGCUUAUAAUCUAUUCAACAGUUAAUAUUCUAUUUUAUAUUUACUUAAAUAUGAAGAGCUAUGCUUGUCAUUAACUUCAAAUGUGAUCGAAGCAGCCUUACAUCUGUAUAUUACUUAUUCCCAACCUUUUUUUUGACUUCAUAUACUUUCUUUUCAUGUUAUUUACUCUUUUUUCCCCCCUCUCUAAUGGGGUCAAACUUGAAAGUAUCUUAAAAUCAGACAAUAAUUUUUUUUUUAUGAUAGAUGCUAAUAUGCUCUAUUAGGCAAUGAUAAGUAAUAACCUAGUUGUUUGCAUUAGAAAUGAUAUUUUUUGUGGUGCUGAUAAAGUGGUUGAGUAUGAUUCAACAAUUUAAAAUAUGAAAACAUGUGGAAGACGGCUGCAAAUAAAUUGAUUGUAUGAAAAUAUUUCAAUGAAAUUUUAAAAAUUUAAUACUUGUUAUCUUAUCGAGAGUUCCCAAAUAAUUGGGCUAGUUUAAUUACCGGCCUAAUUAUUGUAGCCACUAUUGUAUGUUCCCAAAUGAUCCCCGGGUUAGCUCAUUUAAUUGACUGCACCACUACUGGACUAAUAAGUAAGAUAACUAGCUAUUUGGGUCAAAAGCCUAAAUAUAUCAUUUAGUGGGAGGCUCCAUUUAAUUAGCUUUUGUAUAAGGGGCCUUAUGUUAUUUUACAAGGUGGGUCCCCUAUUGAAAAAGAAAAUAACGUGAGUUUUAUUUAGGGCAUUAUUUGGAGCCUAGGGUUUUCACUAAAGGGAGAUAUAUAAGGCUUAUUUUCUCUAAAGAAAAAAGAAAAGCCACUUUAUACAGAUCAGAGAAUAAGAUUUUUCUCUCCAUUGUUGAGAGAAAAAUUUUCUCGUGCUAGUUGCUUUGGUAGUGAUAAAGGCGCCCACACGUCAAGUGCAGAUCGAACCUGAGUCAUAACCUGGAAGAUCAUUGGUGACAGUUCAUGAUCUAACAAGCGUGGUGGUGACGGUUCGUGAUCUAACAAGCGUGGUGGUGACGGAUCGUGAUAUAACAAGAGUGGUGGUGGCGGAUCGUGAUCUAGGAGCCUAAAUCACUUCAGCGGAAAAAGCCAACUCGGAUUUUCAAGGUACGAUUUCUAGAAUACGAAUUCUUAUAUAUUAUAUGAGAGCGAUCUUCAAAAGGUUUUAUAAAAAUUUAAAAGCAGCAUGUGCUGCUGGCAGCUCGCUGCUGCGUAUGUAGCAACUGCAGCGCGCGAGCAGCAGCUGCAGUGCCCAAGCAGCAGCGUGAACGUGGGCUGGAGGCGCAGAGCGUUCUGGUUGGCGUCUUUCCGGCGUCGAUGACGGCUGUCCGGUGUGGAAACAGUAAACAACGGCUGGGUUUUUGUGCUGGUGGCGGCUGGGGAAGAAGAGGAAAAGAAAAAUGUGAUUUUAGGGUUCCAUGGUUUUUAUCGUGGAGGUCCCUAUAGCUUCAUAUUUUUCAGUUGGGCAGAAACGUUUUUUAAUUUUUUGCAUUUAAGUCCAAAAACCGUUUUGGGCUUAAAGAAUCCUAGUUUUAGGCCCAAUUUCAAUUGGGCUUAAUGGAUUAAAAAAAUGCAUAGACAAAAUUAAAUACAUUAAAUUUAUUUUUGGUCCAAAAGUUUUAUUUUAAUAAAAAAAAUUAAUUAUUUAUUUAUUUCCUUUCAAAAUUAAAAUUGGACCAAUUAUAAAUUUAAAAGCCCAAUUUCCCCUAGUCCAUUAACAAAAACAAGCUUAUGGAAGAUGGACAUUGACAAGAAGCCCAAUGAAGAUUAGGCAUAGGGUUAAUGUAUUUUUCAUUAUUAGGAAAGGCAUGAAUUAAGAUUAUUUAAUUGUUUUUCUAUAUGUUAUGUUUUGGAUGAUAACAUGCCAUGAUAACAUGUAAUAUAGAAUAGGUAGUGCCACUCUAUGCAUAAUGAUACAUGUCAUUCAUUAAUUAUGAAUUUCAUUAUAUUGUUUGAAAUUUGCGCAUGCUUAAUAAUAUUUGAUAUCAUCUAGAUAAUAUUAUAGGAAGCAUGCAAUUAACAAUAUGUAUGUUUUAAAAAGGAAAAACCAAUUUUAAAAUAUUGAGUGGGAGAGGGAAAAUUCAAGAUAAUUUUCCCACGGGCUCCAUUGUUAGUUCAAUAAUAAAAUUAUAUAUAUACCUCGACUUCAUGAUACAGUGAUGCUCAUUACGGAGGGUAUAUAUAUUAGAUAGUUUAUUUGAUGAACUUCUUCAAAGAUAAAAUUGAAAUAUUUUUCAAUCGAUUGUUCACCCCAACGGUGACUAUUGAUAUGAAAAAUACGUAGAUUGAAACAAUGGUUAUACACUCAACUAAAGUUUGUUAUUAAUCUUCCCAACGAAGCUCUGUUAACAAAUUUAGGCCCAAAAAGAUAACGAUAAUUAUUUAUCAUGUCUCUACAUGAAAGUAAAUAAUCCAAUGGGUAAUUGGGUCUAGUAAGUAUAGACAUGACUUCCCCACCGGAUAGCUUGUCAAAGCAGUACUAGAUUAUCGUUACAAUAAAUUAAAAUGCAUUUAUGGUUUUUUGCAUUUUUUUCAUUUAUUGUGAAUAUUGAUUCAAAUUAUUUAUGCAUGGAUGUUUUUAUUUUUCAGAAAAUGUCUUCCCUGAGCCCACUUACUAUUAUUCUGAGUCAAAACAAACUCACUGGAGAGAACUAUAUAGAUUGGAAAAGAAAUCUAUUCAUUGUCCUGACUGCUGAAAAUUAUAAAUAUGUCUUAACCCAGCCAUGCCCCCCAGUUCCAGCGGAUGAUGCUCAUAGAAAUCAGAGGAGGCUUUAUGAGAAAUGGCAAAAGGCCAAUGAAAUGGCAAAGUGCUACAUUUUAGCCUCGAUUUCUAAUAUUCUGCAGACCAAACAUCAGAACUUGGAGACUGCCACUGAAAUAAUGAAUAGUCUCCAACAGAUGUUCGGGCAGAGUACUCGCUCUGCGAGACAAGCAGCGCUGAAAGGAAUUAUGAACAGUAAAAUGGGGAAGGGCACAAGAGUUCGUGAUCAUGUCCUCAAAAUGAUGGACUAUUUGAAUGAGGCUGAGAUUCAGGGAGCACAAAUCGAUGAUAACUCAAAGAUUGACAUGGUGCUAGAAUCUCUGCCAGAAACAUUCAAGGAGUUUAAGGUCAAUUAUAACAUGAACAAAAGAAAUAUGACCUUAACUGAAUUGAUGAAUGAACUCCAUUCUGCUGAAGAGAUCUAUCGUGCUGAGAAAUCUCUGGGAAGCAUAAAUUUUACUGAAAAAAGUUCAUCUUCUGGGCCUAAACCGAAAGGCAAAGGUAAGAAGAAAGCUGGGAAAAAAAGACCGUCUACCAAGCAAGAUGGCAAGCCGAAAGGCAAAUGCUUCAAGUGUGGACAGAAAGGUCACUGGAAAAAGGAUUGCCCUAAGAUUGUGAAAUCAGGUAUGGGAAAUCUUUUUUGUAAUUGAGGCCUGUUUAGUUCAGAAUCCUAUUGACACUUGGGUGUUGGAUUCAGGAGCAACUAAUCAUAUUUGUAAUUCACUUUAUUGGUUUCAGGAAACCAGGAAAAUAAGUGAAAGAAGCGUCAAGCUGCAGUUAGGGACAGGACAGUUCGUGUCAGCAGUAAAGACUGGAUCUGUUUUAUUAUCUUUUAAUAAUGAGACUUUAGUUUUGAAUAAUUGUCUUUAUGUUCUAGACAUUAAGAGGAAUUUAAUUUCAGUAGCUUGUUUGUCAAAGCAAGGGUACACUGUAAAUUUUGGAUCCUCUGUUUCUAUUUUUCAUAAUAAGAGACUUAUUUGUUCUGGUACAUUGGAAGAUAAUUUAUAUCAUUUAAGUCCAAUGAUCCAUUCUAUGCAUGACACAGUGAUAAAUAAUAAUGAGCAUACACAUUUAUCUAAGAAAAGAAAUAUUUCUUCCAACCAAUGUUACCUCUGGCAUUUAUGCUUGGGUCAUAUAAACCAAAAUAGGAUACAAAGAAUGAUCAAAGAUGGGCUCUUGGGUCCAUUAGAAAAUGAAUCAUUGCCACUCUGUGAAUCCUGUUUAGAAGGGAAAAUGACCAAAAGGCCAUUCUCGGCCAAAGGAGUACGUGCAACAGUACCACUUGAAUUGGUACAUACAGAUGUAUGUGGACCAAUCAAUGUACAAGCUCGAGGAGGUUAUGAGUAUUUCAUCACUUUUACUAAUGAUUACUCAAGAUACGGUUAUGUUUAUCUGAUGCGUCAUAAGUCUGAAGCUCUUGAGAAAUUCAAAGAGUAUAGGGCUGAGACAGAAAAGCAAUUAGAUAAGAACAUAAAGAAACUUCGAUCUGAUCGAGGUGGUGAAUUUCUCUCAGGAGAUUUCAAAGAGUAUCUGGUUGAAAAUGGGAUUAUAUCUCAAUUGACUGCCUCGGGAACACCACAACAAAAUGGGGUAGCUGAAAGAAGAAAUAGAACUCUUUUGGAUAUGGUGAGAUCUAUGCUUAGUUAUUCUUCAUUACCAAUCUCUUUUUGGGGACUAGCACUGGAAACUGCAGUUUACCUUUUGAACUUAGUUCCAUCUAAGUCAGUGCCUAAAACCCCAAUAGAAUUAUGGUCAGGUCGCAAACCAAGUUUACGACAUGUCCGUAUUUGGGGAUCACCAGCACAUGUGCUGAAACCAAAGGCAGACAAAAUGGAUUCACGUUCUGAGGUUUGUAUGUUUGUGGGGUAUCCCAAAGGAACAAGGGGAGGUUUAUUUUAUAGUCCUCAAGAUAGGAAAGUGAUCGUGAGCACACAUUUCACUUCCCUUGAGGAAGACUAUAUGAAUAACUUCAAACCUAAGAGUAAGGUAAUACUUGAAGAGCUGUCAGGUGAUCAGGUUGAUGCUCAGCUUUCAACGCCUGUUACAGAACAGGAAGAACAGCAACAACCAGAUGAUCAACACAGGAUUAACCCUGAACAACCAUCACUUUUAUAACCUCGUCGUAGUGGGAGGGUAACUAGGUUACCUGCGAGAUACAUGUUUUUGGGAGAAAUCUAUACGGCUAUCUCAGAUGAACAUGUACAAGAUCCCACUAGUUACAACGAAGCUCUAAUAGAUAGAGAUGUUGAAUUUUGGAAAAAGGCCAUGAAUCAAGAAAUGGAUUCUAUGUAUUCCAAUAAAGUCUGGGAACUUGUAGAGGCACCAAAUGGGAUAAAACCUAUAGGGUGCAAGUGGAUCUACAAGAGAAAAAGAGGAGUAGACGGAAGGGUGGAAACAUUUAAAGCAAGAUUAGUAGCCAAAGGGUUUACUCAGAAAGAGGGAAUUGAUUAUGAGGAAACUUUUUCUCCGGUUGCUAUGCUUAAAUCCAUCAGGAUUCUGCUCUCCAUUGCUGUAAUGCUAGAUUAUGAAAUUUGGCAAAUGGAUGUCAAGACUGCCUUUCUUAACGGGCAUCUUGAAGAAAACAUCUACAUGCAGCAACCAGAUGGAUUUAUACAAAAAGGCCAAGAACACAUGGUAUGUAAGUUGCAGAAAUCCAUUUAUGGAUUGAAACAAGCAUCCCGGUCAUGGAACAUCAGAUUUGAUCAAGCGAUUAAAUCGUUUGGAUUCAUUCAGAACAUUGAUGAACCAUGUGUGUACAAGAAAAUUCAAGAAAAAUCUGUAGCCUUCCUAAUUUUUUAUGUAGACGAUAUUCUCCUAAUUGGAAACGAUAUAGGAGUAUUGACUACAAUAAAGAGUUGGUUAGCAAAACAAUUUGAUAUGAAAGACCUGGGAGAGGCAAGUUAUAUUCUUGGUAUCAAAUUACUACGAGACCAGAAGAAUAAAACUUUAGCCUUGUCUCAAGCGGUCUAUAUCGAUAAGAUAUUGGCUAGAUUUAGCAUGGAAAAUUCCAAGACUGGUUUAUUACCAUUCAGACAUGGAAUUACAUUCUCUAAGGAUCAAUCACCUAAAACAUCUGAAGAGAUAGAGAGAAUGAGACGAGUUCCCUAUGCAGAAGCUGUGGGAAGUCUUAUGUAUGCCAUGCUUUGCACUAGGCCAGACAUCUGUUUUGCGGUAGGGAUGGUUAGUAGAUAUCAAUCUAAUCCUGGACCUGAACACUGGACUGCGGUCAAGCAUAUAAUGAAGUAUCUGAAAAGAACUAAAAAUUAUAUGCUUGUGUAUUCUGGUGAUGAACUCAUUCCAGUGGGUUAUACUGAUUCUGACUUUAUGUCAGAUAAGGAUUCCAGAAAAUCAACUUCCGGCUAUGUGUUUACAUUGGGAAGUGGAACUAUUAGUUGGAGGAGUGUGAAACAAUCUUGUAUCGCAGACUCCACAACUGAAGCUGAAUAUGUGGCUGCAUCCGAAACUGCAAAAGAAGCUGUAUGGCUCCGCAAGUUCCUACAAGAUCUUGAGGUGGUACCUGCUGUAACUGCACCCCUUAAACUAUUUUGCGAUAAUAGUGGUGCGGUAGCUAAAUCUAAGGAACCACAAGAAACAAAAACAUAUUGAGAGGAAGUAUCAUCUUAUAAGGGAUAUAGUGCAGAGAGGUGAUGUGGAGGUUACUCAGAUUGCGUCACAGCAAAACUUGGCAGAUCCUUUUACUAAGGCCAUACCUGGGAAACCUUUUAACUUGCACUUGGAAUCCAUGGGCAUGCGUGAGAUGCCAAAUAUGCUUUGAGAGCUAGUGGGAGAUUGUUGGGAAAAUAUGCCCUUUAAAAGCAUAUGUGUUUAUUUAAUUGUAAUAAACAAUUUUUCUGAUUAAUAAAAUAAAUGAGGUAUUUUAUUCAAAUAUCUUAAUUGCAUUAAUAUUUGUAUUAAAGUCCAUUUAAUCAUAUUAUAUGUAUUUAUGUGAUCACCAUGUGGAUUCACAGAAGACAUAAAUACAAGUUAUCUUAUGAUUAAAUAAAUUUAGUUCGCAGUUGAUAAAUAAAGUUGGGCACUUUAUUUAGGUAUAGACUGUAAUAAAUUCAUUGAAUGAUUUGUCUUAAUCAUGUAUGAAUUUAUUGAUGUAGUACGACUACAUUAAACAGGAUCACAUGUGAGAUUUAAUUAACUUUGUAAUAACUGUCAGACUUAUUAAAUCUUAUAGGCAUUGAUUUUACUGUAAUCUUAAUCUUGAGUUAAUUAUGAUUUCAUGAUUGUAAUUGUUAUUCCAUUUGAGUUACCAAUGGGCACGACACAUCCUUGUGGUCAAGAUUACCCGGUAUCUUGGUGGGAGCAAUUAUGAGUAUUGGAGUUAUGGAUUAACAAUAUAGAAUUUGUACAACACAUCUCUCGAUAGGUUUUCGGCACUUGAUCAUAGAAUUCUUUGGCCAGAGUGUGUCAACAUAUUUAGUAUGUUGAAAAUGAUCAUUAGAGAAAACCAGUAAGGAUCAAGGAAUAAGAUGUUAUUAAAUUGAUUGGACAGUUGAGAUAUCAAUUUAAUUAACGAUGUGGUACAAAGGAUUGUGCAGUAAAGAAAUCAAUGUGGCUUGGGACGAAUUAUUAUUCGAGCAUACAAUUAUGGAAGUCAGUUCCAAUCUUUUAGUGGAGUAGAUUUGGAAUUAAAUAAUUGGGCUAGUUUAAUUACAGGCCUAAUUAUUGUAGCCACUAUUGUAUGUUCCCAAAUGAUCCCCGGGUUAGCUCAUUUAAUUGACUGCACCACUACUGGACUAAUAAGUAAGAUAACUAGCUAUUUGGGUCAAAAGCCUAAAUAUAUCAUUUAGUGGGAGGCUCCAUUUAAUUAGCUUUUGUAUAAGGGGCCUUAUGUUAUUUUACAAGGUGGGUCCCCUAUUGAAAAAGAAAAUAAUGUGAGUUUUAUUUAGGGCAUUAUUUGGAGCCUAGGGUUUUCACUAAAGAGAGAUAUAUAAGGCUUAUUUUCUCUAAAGAAAAAAGAAAAGCCACUUUAUACAGAUCAGAGAAUAAGAUUUUUCUCUCCAUUGUUGAGAGAAAAAUUUUCUCGUGCUAGUUGCUUUGGUAGUGAUAAAGGCACCCACACGUCAAGUGCAGAUCAAACCUGAGUCAUAACCUGGAAGAUCAUUGGUGACAGUUCAUGAUCUAACAAGCGUGGUGGUGACGGUUCGUGAUCUAACAAGCGUGGUGGUGACGGAUCGUGAUCUAACAAGAGUGGUGGUGGCGGAUCGUGAUCUAGGAGCCUAAAUCACUUCAGCGAAAAAAGCCAACUCGGAUUUUCAAGGUACGAUUUCUAGAAUACGAAUUCUUAUAUAUUAUAUGAGAGCGAUCUUCAAAACGUUUUAUAAAAAUUUAAAAACCGAAUUUUUUCACCAACACUAUGUAGCUAGAUGGCAUUUCUAGUGUUUCAAGGUUUAAAAGGGUGCAUAGCAGUGAAGGAAGGCAUUUGACCGAAGGGAUAUUCAAUUUCAAAUACUUCAAAAGAUAUAAAUUUUCUAAUCCGGGCGGAUAUUGGUCCAGGACUGCAAAACCCAAAUUCAAUACCUGAAGGUGUUUGAACUUUUUACAAAAAUUCUCGCAAUCUAUCAGAGCGAGACGAUCGCUUUCUGAACUGUGAUUCAGAAAAGAUUGGAGACGCAUGUCAGAAUAUUCUAAAGGAAAGAAGUCAAUCAGGCGUUCCACAAUGAAGCACCGUUUAACAUUUGCCACUGAUUCUUCUUCCAUUUCAGGCGUCAAGACAAAUCCCGUCUUCUUUGCCACAAAAUACAAUGAAGUAAAUUCAAGACUUGGAACAUAACACGCUUUAAUUGUGCCGCCGGCGCUUCUCUUACUCACUUGAAUGAAGCCGCGAUGGAUUAGUUCUUUCAAGUAAUGUUCGGCAGUUUCUUCAUCGUUGUAUGGUAUGAAACCUUCAGCUACCCACAACUGAUAUAAUUGCCUCGUGGACAUCUCAAUACUUGGAGGGAAGACACACAAAUAGAUGCAGCAGACUUUCAAGUGAAAAGGUAACUCCAUCACAGAAAAAAUUUAUCUCCAAACUGUCGGAAUCGCUUCGCCUUGAACAUAAUUUUCUAAUGGCAUACUUCCAUAGUGUAGGAUGAAAAAUUGCCAGGCUUCAUGCUUUAAUCUGAUCAAUGGUCCUCCAAAGAGCACUGAAUCACGCCGAAUCUUCUCUCCAUUUUCCAUUUCCAACGACGCAAGGAGGUGUGGAUCACUGACCAACAUCAAUACUCUGCUUCCAUUCUGAUUAUCAGGAAGAACUUUUUCAAGAUCACUCCAUAUCUUACUGUCAUCGAAGACAUCAUCAAGCACAAUAAAGUACUUCUUGUUUGUUAGGUAAUCUCGAAGAAUAGAUUUCUUCAAUUGAUAAUCUUCCCCGAUAAUUACACUAACCCGAGCUGGAGGCAUCACAGACUUGAUUAUGCCAUCCAAUAUCUUGCCAAAAUCGUAGGUUAUCGAAACCCUGACCCAAGCAAGACAGUCAAAAUAGAACUUGACGUGAUCAUUAUUGUAAGUAUCUGCAGCAAAAGCAGUCUUAUCGAAGCCACUGCUGUCGAGAAUUGCAACCACUGCAAGCCCAGAUGGUCCCUCAAUCAAUAGAUCAAACAACUCCUCCCUGCCCCUUUGAAAUUCAUUGAUAUCGAGCCGAGGUUGUCCCUCAUUCAAUAGGCGAAUGAUUUCGUUACUUUUCUCACUGAUAUCAAAACCAUUGUCGCCGGGUGGAAGUUGUUGCAUCCGAUUUCUAAUAUCAAUGAUUUUAGUGUGGAGUCCAACAAGAAGAGCCAUAUCAGUACUGCUUUCACUUUCGUUUUCACUGUUUUGCUGCUGCAUGAUGUUGAUGAAGAAUCUGUCAAUGGCUUCCUCAGAUUCAUGGACAAAGUCAUUGAUGUCCUCCAGAAUUUCCAAAAUAUCUGCUCUUUCAACAUCUUCUUCAUCGCUUUCUUCUAAGUCCAACAGUUCAUCGAAAUCUUCUCUAAGGAGUUGAAACAAAUGCCGAGCCAUGUCAACUUCAUAUUUUCCCAGCAGAGUAGUAGCAAUAAUUUCGGACUCCGUAAGAAGGUUUUGAAAAAGUGGAGUUAAAUUUGUUGAAUCUGGCAGCGGCAACGUGCCUUCUUCACCUGCUAACACCCUUUUCAACCUCUCACGAAAUAGUCGGAGGUGGACGUCCAGCAUAUCUCCUUCUCUCUGUAUCACCCAGAGGUAUAGUUGAAAGAUUAAACACCAUGGAAGAAUUUGAAAGGAAAAUGCCAAGAAACUGUGUAAGUGGCUAAACCAUGAAAAAUUGAUCAUUUUUUUGCAUUGUAAGUUGCGCGUUCAUUUAGAGAAAAGUCCAAGACGCGUGCCUUUUGCAAAGAACAGGUAUCCCAAUCGGUAUCCAACCUUUAUCUUAUUUAAUUACUACCAUGACAUAAUUGAUGGUGCUUAAAUCAAUUGUUUCUUUUUUAAUUUAAAGAAUUUUUCAUUAAAAAAAUAUUUUAAUAUCAAAUUGCCUUCAGUGGCGUAACAACUGCCUCAAGCCCAGUAACAGGACUAAUUAAAAAUUUUACAAUUUUGGGGCAUGGAAAUAGUAGUAUUAAACAUUAGAAAGGUAAGGUUGUUCUGUUAAAGAAUUGAUAUUGACAUAAUUUUAUUUUGGUUUUCGUGGAAAAAAAAAAUUUGUUGACAAGCAAGAAAAUAUUUUAUCAUAUAAAAGUAAUUUUAAAAAUAAAUAGAAACAUAAUAUUACAAUAAAUAAAUUAAAGUUUAAAUUAUUUGGAAUAUUAUAAAAAAUAAUGUUAAUAUUAUUAAUAGGAAGACAUUUUGUUAAUUUUAAAAUCUUUUUAAUCCAAAGGUUUAUUUAAAAUCUCUAUAAUAAAUACAAAUAUAAGAUUAAAAUAAAAAUCAUAAUUUGAAAUUUUUAAUAUUAUUUUAAAUGUUAAAUAUACUUUAAUGUUAUUAGCCUACUACGUAGAUUUUAUUAUUUAUAUUAUAUUCGUAUUGAUUAAAAUUUUUUAAAGUCAAUUUUUUAGUUAGUACAUUCAAGAGGUAUUAUAGUUAAAGAAAAGAUUUUGGUGCAACUGUUUUAAAAUUUCAGCGUCUAAAUGAUAAUUUUUUUAAAAUUUAAGGAAGUAGGUAUUAUUUUUCCAACAAUUAUUUUACUUUUGAGGGAAAUCCGAUAAGAAAUAUCAUCAAAGAACAUUAAUUUAACAUUCUUUACCUUUAUGAAAAAAGUGAAAACCAAGAACUAUUCAAUUUUGUAUUUUUUGUUUGUAAUUCAAAAAAUGCAUCCACCAAACAUGCUUAUCUUGAUUUUCCCACUUUAUUCAUUUUCGAUGCUUUUCAAAAGAGGUUCCUUUACUGGUCAUUGUCUACACUAUCAAACAAGUUGAUGGAAAUUGAACCCAUUAAGUUAUGUUCAUUACUGGUCAUUGUCUUUCUAUGAGCCACUUAUUUGGAGCAUUAGCGAUCUUAUAAGGAAUCAUGCCUUUUCAGGAUCGUUUUCUUUCAUUUCCCUAUUGUAGUAGUUAAUUAAAUAAAGAACGAACAGCUGAACUUGGUCUAUUUCGAGGAAGACCAAGGCUUCCAAUACUAGAGGAACUUUGAAGAAAAUUAAUUGGAAACCUUUAUUCAUCUUUGAAGAAAAUUACGUGCCAAUGUAACGAAGGCUUUUAUUCAUCUUCGGACUAUGAAUUUGUACAAAAACAUUAACAGAAAAUAAUAAAGACACAGCUAAAUGAUAGCAGCAAGUGCUGAUUUAGUGAACCACUUCUACAAGUAAAUAAAAACUAAAUAUUUAUUUUGACUAUAACAACAACUACCCUCUUGAAUAGGACUCUACAGCAGCCACAUGACAACUAAUUUCUCCAUAAUAUUAUUAUUAGUAGAAGUAGAUUUUCAAAAUUGUCUUGAUAUAUUUCAAAGUUGUAUUAUCAGCGUAUAUGUAUCUAGAUUGUAACUAUAUUUUAAAAAAUAUAAAAAUUUUAAUUAUUGCACAGUAAUGUAGAACAAUAUCUACAAAAUAAUAUUGUUAGGACUAAGAAAAAAUAUUAUUUUAGAUAAGUUAUUUAUUUAUUAUUGAAUGAAAAAUUUAUCAUGAUAAAUGAAUAUUUAUUAAUUUAAAGAGAGAUUUUUUUUGGUUUUAAGAAGAGUUUGUUUGGUACAUGCACACACUAAUAAAGAAACACAAAAAGUGCUUCCUCAAGUCAAUAGUAUUUGCUUUAAUUGCUAAGGUGCAUAAUAACGUAGCUUAGUUAGGAAAUUUGUAAUUAUAUUAUGGCUCCGUUUGGUAUAAUUUUUUAACUAGAACUUAUUUAAGGAGGGCUUUUAUUAGUAGAGUUUUUAUAAAUAGAGAUUUAACAAAAAAAAUUAUAGUUAUUUAGUUGUCAAUGUACAAAUUGAUGAAUUAUUGUUCUUUUUGUUAACAUGUGUUUGUUUUACUUAAUAAUAAAAGUUUAGUUUACAACAUUGAAGUUCAGCAGAGCAUUUUUGCAGCCAGUCACAUUAUACAUUAUACUAAUAGCAUCGGCAAGAGUUUUCGAUUGUUGCAACUUGCAAUGCACACGAUGCGAGAAAAUGAGAAUCUUGUUUAAUUGCAAUAUUGACAAACCUAAUCCUUUCGUAGGGAGUAAUUUAAUAAUCGUUCGUUAGUUGAAGCGUUAAUUUAAUAAGCGUUGAUUUCCCUUCGAUAACUCGAAGUCCACGACGAUUCUUCUUCUUCUCUGCUGCUCAUUACGCUUCUACCCAAACCCUAGGAUUCAAACCUUUGCUUAGGAGAGAAUCAAAGCGAUUGGUGUUGGAGGUGAUUGAGGCUCUUAGAAGCUUAGAGGUGUGUUAAUUCAAAUUCUUUUGUCGAGAUAAGUAAUUUCAUUCCUAAUAUACUGGAUAUGUAUAAGUAUUUUGAUGUUAUUAUAAGAGUUUUUAUACUUCUUAGAAGAUUAAUAGAUUUUCAUACCAAAAUUAGUUUAUGAAAAUGUUUUCAAAUCUGAAUUCUUUUGAUAAAAUAUUUUACAAAUGCGUUUUAAUAUGUAAAUUAUUUUAUGACAUGACUGCCUUUUAUGAUUUUGUCUAUGAAAUAUUUUUGCAAGCCUAAAUUGUUGCUAUAGACUUUCAUGAAUCUAAUAUGAAUGUUUUGUGCCUAUGUAUGAUUUUAAUUAUUUAUGACUGUACGGGGGCCACCUCUUGAGAUUAUAUGGGGGCCACCUCUUGAGGGCCAAAGCGCCGCAAAGUGCCACAUAGAGUGCAAAGUGCCAUGUAUAAGUCAUUAUGUUUUGGCUCAUUGUCCGUAGUUAUUCUGAUUCUAAUUCUGAUCGUAUUAUACGAUAUAUUUGUUCUGGACUAGUACUAGGUUUAUGUUCUAAGUGUGCACACGAUAUUCUGAUUCUGUUUCUGGUCAGGUCACCGAGACUAUAGGUGAUACUAUGUGACAUGAGCUAACUAUCUGCUUUCUGUGUACACUUUAUACGAUUUGCUUUCAUAAUUGAUUAUUCUUUUGAUACUCUGAAUUACCAUGAAUUUAUGUUAUAUAAUUGAAAUAUGUUGUUUUAUGAAGUUUAUGACUUAUAAUAUAUGUUUUUGAAUAAAAGAAGGCUUGCAAUAUUUUUGAUAUCGAUAGGCCUAGUGUAUUAGGAAUGAUUUUACCUACCGAGUUGACAGCCCACCCCUCGUUAUUACUUUUUGCAGAUUAAGUUCCUUUUAAGAGGUAUGCGUAGCUUUGGAGUUAGAGAUUUCGUUUCCGUUUGCUAUUUGAAUAAGAAGAGGAAUAGACUCAUGUUUCUUUUUAGUUUAUUUCUGUUAUGAGCUUGUAAUUUGGAGUUUGAGACUUUUGUUAUUGUUAUGUUUUGGAAGAGAUUAUUUAGUGUUAGACGUAUUAAUUUGCGGAUUUAUUUGAAUAAGAAUUUGAGGUAUUUGAGCUUGGAAUUUAUAAGUAAGGAUUACGAUUUGUAAGUAACCUCAUUCUUCAUGUGCUCCGCACGUGUUAGAUUUGGGGUGUUAUAUGUUUCGUAUAACUUUUCAAGUAGAGCUUAUUUAAAUAGAAUAUUCGUCAAUAAAGCUUCUAUAAAUAUAGAUUUUACUAAAAAAAAUUUAGUUGUUUGGUUGUCAAUGUCCAAAUUGACGAACUUUUGUUCCUUUGCUAACAUGUAUUUGUUUUACUUAAUAAUAGAAGUUUAGCUUACAAUUACACCGGCGUCAAAUCAACAGAGCAUUUUGGCAGCCAGUCACAUUAUACAUUAUACUAAUAGCAUCGGCAAGAGUUUUCGGUUGUUGCAACUUGCAAUGCACGCGAUGAGAGAAAAUGAGAAUCUUUUCUAAUUGCAAUAAUGACAAACCUAAUCCUUUCGUUGGGAGUAAUUUAAUAAUCGUUUGUUAUAAUUGAAUAUGUAUAAAGAAAGGAAAAUUCUAUUCAUAGAUUUCGACUUAUUUUUUGUUUAAAGUAAUUAAUCAUUCAACCAUCUUCAUUUGCCUCUGGCCAGUGCCCUUGUAGAUUAGUUGAAGCGUUAAUUAAUUCAGAUAAUUACAACGUCCUUUUCGCUAAUUAAUUAUGAUUAUAUAUGUUUCAUAUAGCAAGUGGCUUUGUAGAUCUAAACCAAGUUGCUAUUUCAAAACGUUAAUUAAGUGAUUCUCCUCAUUGUCAUCAGCGUUAUACGCUCUAGGAAAAUAGCUCAAUUGUUUCCCUGCAUUGACUUUCAUUGGUAAGUGAUUUCUUAUGAAAUUCUUUUGAGCUUUCCUUAUUAAAAAAGCUUGAGCUUUUAUCACCUAAUGCGGAUAUCAAUUAACUUGUGAAUGAUUUUGCAAUGAAACUAGGAGUUAAAUAAGAUUUUUACAUGAUGAAUUUUUAUUUUUUUAAUUUUUUGAUGUAGUCAAUUUGCUAAUUUUAUGUAUUUCAUAUUCAACGGAAUUUGGGCACGGAAAGUUUGGAUUCUAAUAUUUAUAUGUUUAGCUUUAAUCAGUUUGACUUUCGUAAUCUUUUUCCCCUCAUCAUUAAGGGAUUCAGAAUUAGAGAAACGUUAGGAAGAGGAAGAAAAUAAUUUCGGAAAUAAGUAAGAGGGAAAAAAUUAUUAAAUUAGGAAUGAUUUUUUGUAGAGUAUGUUCCGUUUACUAAACUGAAAUCGAAAUGAGCUGGAAUCAGAAUGGAUAGAAAUGCGAAUGCGCUGGAAUGAGAAUAAGUAAUGAGAAUCAGAAUAAGUUGUUUACUUGAAUUGUAAGAAUCGAAAUCGAAAUGAGCUGGAUUGCAAUUACUUUGUCCUACAAUUAGAAUCGGAAUGAGUUAGAUUGUAACAAAUUACUAAAAGGUACUUAAUGAAUUAUUGUCAUAAUAUUAUUUUAUAUUUUAAUUAUAGUGAUUAUUUAUUCUAAAAUUAUUAUUAUUAAUUAUUUUCAAUAAUAUGUUAAUAUGUUAAUUAAUUUUAAAAAUUAUUAAUUAAUUUAUUAUAAUAAUAUACUAAUUAAUUAUAAUAAUUAUUAUAAAAAUAUAUUAAUUAUUAAUAAUGAAAUUACUUAUUUAAUUAUAAUAAUAUAUUAAUUAUUGUGAUUAUUUAUUCAAAAAUUAUAAUUAUUAAUAAUUAUUGUUAAUAAUGUAUCAAUAUAUUUUAUAUUAUGAAAUUGUGAUGUAUUGUAGACAAAUAAGGAAUUUGGUACAAUAAAUUCUUAAUAUCUUAGUACAAAGUAUGGUAAAAUGGUAUUUUAACUUAUUGUAGACAGAUUAAAUUUCGACACACUUAAUCCAUGAUAAAAUUAAUGGAAAAUAAUGAUAAUUUAUACAAUUAAUCUUUUGAGCAAUAAAAAAAUAAAAGAAAAAGAAGUUACUAAAUUAUGUUUACUGCUAAGAGUGAAUCCACAAUCCUAAAUAAUUAUUUCCAUCGUUUCACUUAAAUUAAAUAGUGUGAAUUUAAAUUCUAAUUUUUUGAUAAAUUAAAAAGAAAUAAAAAAUUAAAAUUUUUCUCUAUGGAUCGACCUCGGAUUGAUCAAUUUAUUUCAUAACAACACACUUUUAUACUUGAGAGUUAUAAAUCACUUUGAAGUUGUGUUAAGUUUUUGACGCUCUUACGGGGAAAAAAUAUUUAUUUUAUUUUAUGUAUGGGUCAAACUUGAAAGUAUAUUUUAAGAUAACUGCUAAUAUGCUCUAUUAGACAAUGAUAACCUAGUUGUUUGUGGUGUUCAUAAUGAGUUUAAUUAUGAUUAAACAAUUUAAAAUAUGAAAAAAUAUGGAAGAUGGCCGUAAUUAAAUUGAUUGCAUGAAAAUAUUUCAAUGAAAUUUUAAAAAUUUGGUACUUAUUAUCUUAUCAAAAGAUUUUUAAAUUAUAUUACUACUUCAACUUAACUCCUCCUGGAUUGAUUGUAUUGAAUUUCCAGCACUGCCAUUGCUUCUACUUGAAAGCCAUUUAAGUUUGUGUAAGCUACCUAUAGUUUGAAUAACAAUUUACUCAUGAAUUGCCGUUCAUGAUAACAAUUUGAUUGAAAGUGCGGCUCCACUAAUUGUCUAGAUGAUUUUUUCCCACAUGUUUGUUCUCGUACGACCCCAGAAUGCUGUUAUAUCAGUUGUAUUGGAAAUUAAUCAACUGGUUACAACUCUACACCCCAUCAAUAUUUAAGCAGUCUACAGAACAUUAAUUGUGUUUUGAAAUUUUAAUGAGUCUCACGUGUUUUUCACGUGAUAUGCAGUAAAAACAAAAUUAAAAAAAUGUGAACAUUCAGCCCCAAAAUCCCCAACUCCUUCCAAAUUGGUUCCGCAGCCCCCAAAUCCCUUAAACCCAAAUCACUCUAAAAAGACUCUCCUCAGCCAAAAAGAAAAAGGUCACCUCACCUCUCCUCUUCUUCUUCCAUGGCGAUCAACGGCGGCACAAGCACGGGCUGAUCUCCUUCGUCGGUAACGAUCAACGGCGGUACAAGCAUGGGCAGAUCUUUUUUUGGCAAUGAUCAACAGCGGCACAAGCACAGUCGUCCUCAGGUACGGAUUUGAUGUUGGUUGUGUUGUCAAGUAGCGAUUCAUGUUUGGAAGAGAAUCCGCUCGCAAGGACCUGGAGCACUUAAUCGAAGAUCUUAAGCGAGGAAUUCGCUUCCUCCUCAUUCCUAAUCGGUGCCUGGUUCAUCAGUAUGAUUAAGGAUGAAAAUUGAGAAAGAAGGACGCAUUAGGUUUGAGACAUUGGUUGAAAAGCGCUACCCCGGUGGCCACGCUGGAAACAUAUGUUCCGUGGCUUCUUGCGUUGUCUGUGAGGAAUAUGUACUGCUGUAGAAGAUAAUUAUGAAUCAAUGGUAAUUGGCGUGUUGGUUUUGGUGCCGAUUUCCUCUUAUUUUCCAGAAAAGGCUUGUAAUUUGUUCACCUCAAGAUUCAAUUUGUUAUUGAAAAUGGAUGGCUGUAAAGACCUACUGGCCUUUCAUUAUAUUAAUGUUUUUGACAGUAAGUUUGUAAUAGUUAGUGCAGGGAACUUAUUGAUUCUUGAUUAUAUAUAACGGUGGCCCUUAUUACUUUAAAAAAAAAAAAAAAAUUGAUGAUGGGUUUCGUUUUGUAUAAGUGUUUGGAGUGUUGGAAAAUGAACAUUGUAUAUUUUAGAUAGUUGAGUUCCAUAGUAGUGAAAAGCUACGGAUUUGUUUUCUUUGUAUUGAAAUGUGUUUUGACCAUUAUAUGUUGUUUGAUUGGUGAUAGUUUUAUGUUUGUCAGUUCCAGUAGUCUCUUAAUCGCCAUCUGGCAUGGAAACUCACUGUGAAUAUGUGAAGAAUGCAGUGAUCAUAAGGAGUAAAUGAACGAUCAAACAUGCUAAAAUUAAAUACCAAAAAAUAAAAUAAAAUAAAAUAAAAUUGGAACUGGAAGAGUAAAUAGCAAAAGAUUGGGCGAAAAUUGAAUACCAUAACAAAAAAAAAAUUAAAAUAAAUUCAAACGACAAGAGCUAAUUAAGAGCAAAAAGAUGCUUGACUUACCAAGAGCAAGGACCAAGCAAAUGGUUUUACAUUCGGGCUUGAUGGUGAACUGGUUGGAGAUGGGUACGAAUGUGAUCUCGUUGAGAUUUGGAGAAGAGAACGGGGGAAUGGCCACAAUAUCUUUGUUACUUUUUUUUUUAAACUUUAUUUUACUGUUGAUCACAUGAAAAUCACGUGCAAGUCAUUAAAAUUUCUAAACACAGUUACUGCUGUCGUUUCGAUGUUCUCGGGCUAUCACAUGCUCGGUACGUCUAUCACUACUCGUCAAAAAAAAUGACACGCGUUCAUUUCCAAGACGCGUGCCUUACUACCAUGACAUGAUUGAUGGCGCUUAAAUCAAUUGGUUUUUUUUUUUAAUUUAAAGAAUUUUUCAUUAAAAAAAUAUUUUAAUAUCAAAUUGCCUUCAAUGGCAUAACUGCCACAAGCCCAGUAACAGGACUAAGGGUACGUUUGAGAUUGAGGUUGGGCAGCUGUACCUUUUAAGCUACAACACUAAAGUGCUUGGUAAACACUAGCUGCUCUAGGUUGGAAGCUAUAUUAAUAUGAUUUUUCACUUGUAUAAUAGAAAAUAUAUUAUAUCUUUAAUAAUUUUGUCAAAUUUAUAUUUACUACAUAUUAUUAAUUUUUGUUUUAUAGUCACAGCUUUUUUUCCACAGCACCUGUAGCUUAAAAGAUACAGCACCUCAAUCCCAAACGCAUCCUAAUUAAAAAUUUUAGAAUUUUUGGGCAUGGAAUUGAAAAGAGUAGUAUUAAACAUCAGAAAGCUAAGGUUGUUCUGUUAAAGAAUUGAUAUUGACAUAAUUUUAUUUUGGUUUUUGGGGAAAAAAAAUUUGUUGACAAGCAAGAAAAUAUUUUUAUAUUUUACAAUUUAUUAUACAUAUUUUAUCGUAUUAAAGUAAUUUUAAUAAUAAAUAGAAGCAUAAUAUUAAAUAAAGUUUAAAUUAUUUUGAAUAUUAUAAAAAAUAAUUUUAAUAUUAUUAAUAGGAAGAUAUUUUGUUAAUUUUAAAAUCUUUUUAACCCAAAGGUUUAUUUAAAAUGUUUAUUAUAAAUAAAAAUAUAAAAUUAAAUAUCAUAAUUUAAAAUUUUUAAUAUUAUUUUAAGUAUUAAAAAUAUUUUAAUGUUAUUAGUCUGCUACAUAGAUCAUAUUACUUAUAUUAUAUUUGUAAUGACUAAAAAUUUUUAAAAUCAAAUUUUUUAGUUACUAUAUUUACGAGAUAUUAUGGUUAAAGAAAAGACCUUGGUGUUACUUUUUACAAAUUUGAGUGUCUGCAUGAUAAUUUUAUCAAAAUUUAAGAAUGUAUGUGUCCUUUUCUCCAAUAAUUUAUUUCACUUUUGAGGGGAAUCCAAUGAGAAAUAUGAUAAGAGAAUGUCAAUUAUUUGUCAUUUUCUAUUUUUUCUGUAAGCUAUUCAUUUUGAGCAUUAGUGAUCUUGUCUGGACUACUCCAAUUAUUGAUGUAACUCCAGUGGCUGCAUCCACAGUUGAAUAUAUGAUAGUGUUAGCUCUUAUUUGAGAAUUCAGAGGGAUCUUCUAUGUUUAUCAAUUGCAAUGUGCUAGUAUAAAUUUCUUUACCUCACAGUUUAUAUAGUCUUGCUGUUAAAGAACUCACUGAGGCAUUAUUGACUCAAUUUCAGUGGAGCAAUCGCGCGUAGUGGAUAAAUAAAGGAUAACAGAACAGAGCUGAAGUGCUAAAUUGGCUAUUAAAGAAGGGUGUCACAUGAUCACAAUCACAUUGGUGCACAACUAGAGUUAGGCAAAUUUUGUCUAUAUGUACUCUAAAUUCAGACAAACCAUACAUGCAUGAACAAAAAUUAAACCGUCGUUCUAAUCACAACAGUAAUUGAAGCUACAAAAGCCAGCAAAUCUGAACAAAGACUUAAAAGAAAGAUCUUAUUCAAGUUGUCCCCAAAAGACAGCUGAAAUGAAUAAUAUUGACUAUUGAUUGGGUCAAUGCUGAAUUACAUUUCAAUAGGAAAGCUUGGCAGCAGUUACAAUGUUUCCCCCUCUGAUUUUCGUCCAAAACAAAUUCAGUUGUAAACAACAAUCGAAGUAGAAAUAAUUUAUUCAUCAAAGAAAAUACCCAAGUUUUCAACAAACAAAUCUUCUUGUCUAAACUAAAAAAACUCAUCUCUAAAAUCUAUCUGCAAAAUAUUGGAAAUGAGGAGUGAUCCGUCAACUCCAUAAAUAAACUCAUGCAUAAUGUUAACAAUAAUGAUAAAUUACAUAAUAAUUAUUAUAAAGAAUCAUAAAUUGGAAACACUAAUCAUUCUACAAUCUAUUAUAUAAGUAAGAUAAAUCUCAUAAUAAGUUAAGUUAUAAUGUAAUAAAUAUUUUCAAUAUAUAAUUAUUUAAGAAGUCAUUUAACAAUAAAAUAUUUUUUUUAUUCAAUUGAUCAUAUAGCGUUAUCUAAACUCAUGACGAAAUUAUUAUUACUCACUUUUCUAAAAAAAACAUGAUUAACUUUUAGAGAAAAGUCAUGCCUUUUAGAAAGAAUAUUACCGUGACAAAAUUGAUGGUGAUUAAUUCUAUUUUUAAAAUAGAUUUAAUGCACAAAUAUGGUGACUUUUGGCAAAAAUUAGUUUCGGAAGAUAUAGUGGUAGAAAAUAGUGAUGAUUAUUGUUUAAAUGUGUAAAUAGCCGAAGCAUAGCCCGUGAUACCAAUAUCCAUUUGCACCUUCAUUUGGAUUAUCACAUUUCAUGAUAUUCUUUCGUUCAUGACCAUUGUUCAAGAUUUGAAUUUGAAUACAAAUUAAGCUGCAAGGGAGCUUACUUCGGUUUCUAAGCUUUUCAAUUGUGAUUCCUGCAUGCCUUGCUCUGAUACUAUUUUGUUACUUGCCAAUGUAACCAACCUUGUAAUUGGUCUGUAUAAGAAAUCAAGCCCUUUCAGGAUUGUUUUCUUUUGUUUCUCUAUUGUAGUAGUCAACUAAAUAAAGAAUGAACAACUGAACUUGAUCUAUUUUGAUGAAGACCAAGACCUCCAAUACUAAAUGAACUUUGAAGAAGAUUAAUCUACUGCUUUUAUUCAUCUUUGGACUAUGAAUUUAUACAAAGACUUUAACAGAAAAUAACAAAGACAUAGCUAAAUGAUAGCAACAAGUGCUGACUUAGUGGACCACUUCUACAAGUAAAAAAAGACUAAAUAUUUAUUUUGACUAUAACAACAACUACCCUGAUGAACAGGACUCCACAUCAGCCACGUGACAACUAAUUUCUCCUUAAUAUUAUUAUUAGUAGAAGUAGAUUUUCAAACUAGUCUUGAUAUAUUUCAAAGUUGUAUUAACAAUGUAUAUGUAUCUAGAUUGUAACUAUAUUUUUAAAAAAUAAAAUAUUUUAAUUAUUGCACAGUAAAUGUAGAAGAAUAUCUGUAAAAUAAUAUUAUUAGGACUAAAAAAAUAUUAUUUUAGAUAAGUUAUUUAUUUAUUAUUGAAUUGAUAAUUUAUUAAUUUAUUUCUAAAUGAUAUUUAUUAAUUUAAAGAGAGACUUUUUUGGUUUUAUGAAGAGUUUGUUUGGUACAUGUUUACACUUAUAAAGAAACACAAAAAGUGCUUCCUCAAGUCAAUGGUAUUUGCUUUAAUGGCUACGGUUCAUAAUAAUAUAGCUUAGUAAGGAAAUUUGUAAUUAUAAUAUGACUCUUUUAGUACAACUUUUCAAGUAGAAUUUAUUUAAGUAGAGAUUUUGUUAGGAGAAGUAUUGUUAAUAGAGAUUUCACAAAAAAAAUUUUAAUUAUUUGAUUAUAAUAUCCAAAUUGAUGAACUUUUGUUCUUUUGUUAACAUCUGUUUGUUUUACUUAAUAAUAAAACUUUAGUGGGUUUGGCUACAAAUAAAAGUUUAGUGGGUUUGGCUACAAUGCCGUUGGCAUUGUUCCCGGCACCAUGCCGGGCUCUAAAAAAGAGAGCCCGGCUGUCUUUGGCUGCCAUUUGGCAGCCAAAGACUUGGUGCAGCCGGUUAACAAACCGGUUGCACCAUAUUUUUUAAAAAAUAUAUAUUAAAAAUAGAAUAUAAAAAUGAAAAAAAUUAAAUAAAAUGUCAAAAAUAAUUUUUAUAAUAUAAUUAAUAGCAAAAGAUAAAGAAAUUAAAUUAUAUAAUACAAACCCUAUAGUACAAUAUGAUAUAAUUAAAUAAAAUGGCAAAAAAUAAAGAAAUUGAAAAUGAAAAAAAUUGUAUUUCAGUUUUAACGUUAGUUAUUGCAUGUCCGACGUCCCGAUUUCAUGUUUGACAUAAGAAGUUGCAUGUUUUGGAUAAAACCAAAAUAAAGAAUAUUCUGGAAUAUUCUCGUCUGUUUCAUGUUUGACGUCAAAGUUGCGAACUUUACGUGGUAAGUUGCAUAUUUCGCGUGAAGUAUUGCGAGUUUCAUAUUUAACAUCAGUUGUUGCAUUUUUUACGGUUGGAUUUCAUGUUUGACGUACGAUGUUGCAUGUUUUGAAUAAAGCCAAAAUAAAGAAUAUUCCGGAAUAUUCUCGUCCGUUUCAUGUUUGACGUUGAAGUUGAGAACUUUACGUGGUAAGUUGCAUAUUUCGCGUGAAGUAUUGCAAGUUUCAUAUUUAACGUCAGUUGUUGCAUGUCGAACGUCACGGUUGCAUGUUUGACGUAAGCUGAUGCAUGUCUUGAAUAAAGCCAAAAUAAAGAAUAUUCUCGAAUAUUCUCGUCUGUUUCAUGUUUGACGUUGAAGUUGCGAACUUUACGUGGUAAGUUGCAUAUUUCGCGUGAAGUUUUGCAAGUUUCAUGUUUAACGUCGGUCGUUGCAUGUCGGACGUCACGGUUGCAUGUUUGACGUAAGCUGAUGCAUGUCUUGAAUAAAGCCAAAAUAAAAAAUAUUCUCGAAUAUUCUCGUCUGUUUCAUGUUUGACGUCGAAGUUGCGAACUUUACGUGGUAAGUUGCAUAUUUCGCGUGAAGUUUUGCAAGUUUCAUAUUUAAUGUCAGUUCUUGCAUGUCCGACGUCCCGAUUUCAUGUUUGACAUAUGAAGUUGCAUGUUUUGGAUAAAACCAAAAUAAAGAAUAUUCCAGAAUAUUCUCGUCCGUUUCAUGUUUGACGUCGAAGUUGCGAACUUUACGUGGUAAGUUGCAUAUUUCGCGUGAAGUUUUGCAAGUUUCAUAUUUAACGUCAGUUGUUGCAUUUUUUACGGUUGGAUUUCAUGUUUGAUGUACGAUGUUGCAUGUUUUGAAUAAAGCCAAAAUAAAGAAUAUUCUCGAAUAUUGACGUUGAAGCUGCGAACUUUACGUGGUAAGUUGCAUAUUUCGCGUGAAGUAUUGCAAGUUUCAUAUUUAACGUCAGUUGUUGCAUUUUUUACGGUUGGAUUUCAUGUUUGACGUACGAUGUUGCAUGUUUUGAAUAAAGCCAAAAUAAAGAAUAUUCCGGAAUAUUCUCGUCCGUUUCAUGUUUGACGUUGAAGUUGCGAACUUUACGUGGUAAGUUGCAUAUUUCGCGUGAAGUAUUGCAAGUUUCAUGUUUAACAUCCGUCGUUGCAUGUCGGACGUCACGGUUGCAUGUUUGACGUAAGCUGAUGCAUGUCUUGAAUAAAGCCAAAAUAAAGAAUAUUCUCGAAUAUUCUCGUCCGUUUCAUGUUUGACGUCGAAGUUGCGAACUUUACGUGGUAAGUUGCAUAUUUCGCGUGAAGUUUUGUAAGUUUCAUGUUUAACGUCCGUCGUUGCAUGUCGGACAUCACGGUUGAAUGUUUGACGUAAGCUGAUGCAUGUCUUGAAUAAAGCCAAAAUAAAGAAUAUUCUCGAAUAUUCUCGUCCGUUUCAUAUUUGACGUUGAAGUUGCAAACUUUACGUGAUAAGUUGCAUAUUUCACAUGUAGUGUUGUAGGUUGCAUGUUUAACGUUCGUUGUUGCAUGUCCGACGUCCCGAUUGCAUGUUUAACGUAAGAUGUUGCAUGUUUUGAAUAAAGCCAAAAUUAAGAAUAUUUCAGAAUAUUCUCGUCUGUUUCAUGUUUGACGUCGAAAUUGCGAACUUUACGUCAUGAGUUUUAUAUUUCGCGUAAAGCGUUGCAGGUUGUAUGUUUAACGUUAGUUAUUGCAUGUCCGACGUCCCGAUUUCAUGUUUGACGUCGAAGUUGCGAACUUUACGUGAUAAGUUGUAUAUUCUACGUGAAGUGUUAAAUGAAUUUUGUUUUAAAAAUACAGUUUAACCUCAAAACUGUAUGAAACUAUGUUAUGAUCCAAAACGUUAUAAAAAUUUUCAAAUUGGUCCAAUUUUAGAAUUUCUAAUUAUUACUUUAUUAAACUCAAAACUUUCUGAAAUUAAGAUAUGAUCCAAAAUAUAAGAAAUUAUAGAAUGACCCAAAACAUUUAAAUAUUUUGAAAUAGGUCCAAAUCCGAAAUUUAAAACAAUAAUUUAUUAAAAUCAAAGAUUAUGAAAAACAACUUAACUCCAUAAAGACAUAUUCUUAUUGUUAAAGCACAAUACAUAAAUCUUUAUUUAAUCAACACAUGUGGUUUGUUAUCGAAAUCUCAAUACAACACAUUAGUCCAAAAUUAUCCAAAGCAUACGGAAAUAACAUAUUAUCCAUGAAAUAUCAAACAAUCAAAACAAAUCCAUGUCAUUCAAAACAAAUACAUAAUCCAAAAUCAUAAUGAAAUGUAGGUGUGUCCAAAUACAAGCAUAAGAGACUACUAAGGUGGUGAGGAUGGUGGUGAUGGAGGUGGAUACGGAUAUGGAAUGCCGAAGUGCUCAAAGAGGAGGCGCUGUCCAUGAAUAAACUGCUGCUGCUGGUGGUGAAACUCAGUCUGCCACACAGAGAGUGUCCUCACCUCAUCCAUAAGCUGCUGAAGAGUAACUUCUUCAAAAGUAGGAUGCUCGGGAUGUGGUAAAGAAGGUGCAGAGGCUGUAGGAGCCGAGGGAGAUACUGAAGGAGCUCGACGUCUACGCUGACCCCGAAAUGAAAGUGCAAAAACAGGUAGCUGAUGGGCUGGAACCACAGCAUUAAGUGGUCGAUCAUCACUUGGAGCAAGAAAGGUGAACUUUUUAUCAGUGACUUUUACCCAAGUGCCAUUACGACACUCAAAACCUAAAGAACUAACAGCCUCAUCCCCAAUGCUCUUAGACGGCCUACAUGAUGGUUCUUGGAUAGUGACGCUAAAGUAUUUGAGGAUUCGGGUGAUGAAAUGACCAUUCAGAAGGGAACGAGUAAUCAACUUAGGUAUACUAAGCAUGUUUCGGACAAUGGUGUAUCCUAAGUCGACUGGACGAUGUCUAAGAAUACAAUCAAUCAAGGCAACAUCCAUAUGAGAAACCUCAUCCAAAUGGCCUGAUCUAUGAAGCACAAUACUCUGAAUAAAACGAAGUAAUAUCCGAGUUUGAAGACAAAGACAUUGGGUGCGAAAAUGGAUAGUACAAUCAUCAUCCGAAAGAUCAAUACGACGACAUAUAUUCUUAACAGCAUCAAUAUGAACAUAAUCAUCAAUAUCAGGAGGUUUCCUAGGUGAAAAAAUUUCUAGGCCAUCAUCGGAAGUUCCUAGAAUAGAGUUCAACUCCGAAUCAUCAAACUCAAUCGAAACUCCUUCAACUGUGGUGAUUACUCGAUUCUCUUUCUCCGCGGAACAAUCCAUAUUCGAGUAAAACACUUUCACCAAGUCGGGAUAUACAUUUUCCUCAAAAACAAUUGAAUUAAGCCAACCAACAUCUUCCAACAAUUGCAAUAAAGUUCUAUUACUAAUACUAAGAUUAUUCAACCAAUCCGGUAAAACAAAAAAGGUUUGGAGUACCUCACGAGUCAUGAACUGUUGGUGAAAUCGUUUGGCUAGAUGUUUGUGGUUCUGAAAGUGUCUGGCCUCAAAGUUGGAUUUAUUGGAUGUGCCCCCUGCUUGUCGUGACCGGUUGGUAUGUUGAACCGGUUCUUUGCCUUUUCUUCGAAUCGGCCGUGAGCUUGACAUGGUGAAUUUUUUUGAUUUGAAGUGAAAUAAAUCAAUGAGAAGGGAGAUAAUAAGGAUGGAAAGAGAUUUUGAGAAGCAAUUUCGAUCAAAAACGGCUUCAGAGGGGGAAAUCUAGAGAGAGAAGUUUCGGCUUAAACCAUAGAAUUGAUUUCGGAUCUAUUGAUUUUGAGGUUCAAAAAAGGUUUGAAGGAUGAUUUUGGAUACAAGAACGGAUGGGAAACAAGUUUCAUGGAUCCAUUUGCAUAAAAAACCUGUGAAAAUGAUGGAUUUUGGAGAGAAAACGAGAGAGGAAUAUUCGGUUUUAGAGAGAGAUAGCUAACCGGUUUACCGAAAGAUAAAGGAGGAGAUGAACAGUUUAUAUACUCGCGAAUCCGGCUAUCCGGAAAUUAUUAACCGGCUAACCCAUUGUAGGCAGUGACCUACCCACGCGAAUUCAGAUUUCCGGUUUGAAUAACCGGCUAUCCGGUUUCGUCUCCAAGAAAAAACAGCAAACUGCCUCACUCGGCUGAGAUAAAAAAAAACCAACUGUGAUAGGGAAUGCAUAAUUUGUUUGAAAGAUGAAGUUUCACUUGAUUUCUUGCCAUGUGCGUACCAAGUUUUGUGUGCCAGUUGCAGUGUCAAAAUUAUCAUAGUUUGUCUUAAGAAGUCUGAAAGAUUAGAAAAAGAGAUUGCUAAGUUCAAGAAAUGAAAGUGAGAUAAAAUUACUUGUGUCGCUUCUUGUGUCUUCCCAUUGUUUAAUUCUGAUAUUGUUGCUUACUAAAUUAACAAAGAAAGACCAGCACAAUGACUGCUGAUGAAUACUUUGAGAAGCAUCCAGAGCUAAGGAAAGAAGUUUGAUGAUGAAAUCCGGAAUGAUUAUUGGGGAUAUUAAUUCAGUCAUGUGCAUUCAGUUAUCGGGAACAUCUUCUUUCAUGCAGACUCUCGAGUUCAUCCCAACCACCAUGCUGUUUUGGUGCAUCAUAACAAGAAUAAGCCAAUUGUUUUACUCCAUUUUGGUUGAUUUGACUAUCACAAAAAAUUCCAUGAUAUUUGGACAUUACUCAGAAUCUAGCUAUAAUAAUUUCUCUUUUCUUAUUUGCCAAAUUUGCAUUAAGAUUUUUUUAGAAGAACUUUUAUGUUUUCACAUUCAGAAAGAGUUAAAGCAAAGCAAUUGCAGUAGCAGUGUGUAUGGAAUUUGUUGAAUGGAUCCAUUUGAAAGUCCAUUUUUUAUUCUUUAAUGUAAUAUCUAAUAUUAAAAAAAUCUUAAAACAAAAAUAUGAAUGAAUUGAAAAAUCAAAGUAGUAUUCCACAUUCCCAUGUAAAAAUAGAUUAACGACACCACUUUAAGAAAAGCUAAAAAUAAAAAUAGAUAUAUAUUAUUAAACAAAAUGAAAGUUGGAACUUACAAAGAGCUAAUAUUAUUACUUUAAUCUUCUAGUAUUUAGAGUUCAUCUUGUGGCUGAUAUUAUUGCUUGGCUACGUGAAACCAUUUUAGUCUUGUCAACACUAUCUUGUGGCUGAUAUUUUUUAUUGAAAUGCUCUUCAUCCACCAACUUGGUUCUUGUCAGUUUGCUUGGUAACUUCUUCUUGUUUGGUUUUGGUGCAUUAUUUAUCUAUUCACUCGUUAGUCAGACACUUUUUUUUUGUAUUUUUUGUUUCUACGCACAAGACUGAUAAAAUUAAAUGGGCUUAAUCUUUUGUCUUCCUAAUAGCAAUAUUCAAUAUUUAUUUAGUAAUAUUUCUAGAACUCUAAGAAAUAACUGGAUUUAAAUUUUAUGAAUUAUAUAUUGUGCUAAAAGCACAAAGACAAUCAUAUGAGUGUAUAUUAUUAUUAAAAUUAAACAAUUGGAUUUAACCUCCUCUUCAUACAAUUCAUAUACAUUGGCUCGCUCUCGCUCUCUUUUCUACAUGCAUGUGUCAUUUACAUUUAGGUAUUUGUAUGCGCGUAUAUUAUUAUAAUGUAAUCCCUCUAAAAAAUGAGACCAAUCACAGUCCAAACAAAAAAAAGAAAGAUAAAGAAAAGUUAAUACUUUAAUGGCAUUGUUAAUACGUCACAGUAAUCAUGUCCCUCGAAUCCGGAUAACUGGAUUUAACAACCGGUUAUCCGGAUGUUGACUGCAAGCAACAUGCUUGCUGUCACGCGAAUCCGGAUGACCGGAAGUCAACAACCGGUUAUCCGGAUGUUGACAGCAAGCAUGUCAAUCGAAACCGGAUAACCGGAUUUCCUAACCGGUUUUCCGGUUAUUGCAUGUCCUGUAUAAAGUUUAAAAAAAAUAAAGGUAAAAUUACCACGUUUGGUUGGUUAGGUUUGCAAUAAAUAUGAUGAAAAAAAAACUCACCUUCCCUCCAUUAAUGAGGGAUUAUCCUAAGGCUCAUGUCCAAGACUUCUUCACAAAAAACACAGUCACUCCAAAACAUAGUCCCAAAUACUAUUACUGCGGUCUCGUUCAACAUCUAUGGUGCCUAGUUUUCAACUUUUCAAAAGUUAAGUUUCUCUCCAACAAAGGUAUGUGUUGUAAUUUAAGUAGUUGAUUUGUGCUCCCAUAGAUGGUUUCAGAAAUAUUAUUAUAUUAAAUUAUUAAGAUAAAGGGUGUGAAUUAUGUUAUUAACAAAGUUUUGGUUGAACAGGGGUUAAAUAUGAGUAGCCCACAUAGUUCCAGCAACCUAGGAAUAUCCAUUGCUCCAAAUGUUGGUUUACAGGUAUCGGACGUACUUGGCAGUCAUUUCGACUCAGUAGAAGAUGCAGAACUGUGGUAUAACAAUUAUGCCCGAAUGCUUGGUUUUGGUGUUAGGAAAGAUGAUAUGCGGCGCGGAAAAAAGUCUAGACGAAUCACAAUUCGACGUUGGGUUUGUCAUUUCGAAGGGGUAAGAGAUGAAAGACAAUCUCAAAACUGCAGUAGGGUGCAGAACCACGACCUAUAACACGAACCGAGUGUCGGGCAUCAUUUCGAGUGAAUUACGAUGAUUCAGUUGGUAAAUACAUCGCCAAAGAAUUCAGGCCUGAGCACAACCAUCAUUUGGCUUCUACUAAUGGAGUUCAUCUCAUUCGUUCACAUCGAAAGGUUACUGAUGCAGAACUUGCGCAAGCAAAGGCAUUAAGGCAUGUUGGUGUGAAGACUUGCCAAUUCAUGGAUUACAUGGCUGAUCAGGUAGAGGGGCCUCAAAACCUAAGGUUCACACGCAAAGACAUGCAAAACACGCUAGAUGCUUCCACUCGUGCCGAGGUUGGAGAUUCUGACUCAGACACAACUAUAGCAUACUUUGCGGCAAAAUCUGAACAUGACCCUGGGCUUUGCUUUGAGUACACACUAGAUGAUGAAAAUAGACUACGAAAUUUGUUUUGGGCUGAUUGUGUAGCUCGUUAUGACUAUCAGUGUUUUGGUGAUGUGUUGGCAUUCGAUGCAACGUAUAAGACUAAUGUAUAUCAUAAACCCCUCGUUACACUUGUCGGAACAAACCAUCACUUCAGAACAACGGUCUUCGGUUUUGCUUUGCUCGCAGAUGAGACAAUUGACUCAUACACGUGGCUGCUACAAACUUUUCUAUCCACUAUGGGCAACCGAAUGCCCGUGUCUGUAAUUACUGAUGGUGACAAGGCAAUGUCGAAGGCAAUAAAGACAGUGUUUACCGGGUGCAUCCAUCGUCUUUGUUGUUGGCAUCUUGAGCGCAAUGCGCAGGCUAAUUUGAAGAACGAAGACUUUACGAGAAAAUUUCGUGAUUUGAUGUUGACACCUAUGACGGUAACUGAAUUUGAAACCCAAUGGUCAGCUGUAGUGGCUGAAUUCGCACUUGAACAUCAUGCAUGGGUACAGAAAAUGUAUUCAAAGCGGUGCAAGUGGGCGGAAGCUUAUCUUAGAGGAACAUUCUUUGCUGGUAUGCGAAGCACUCAACGAUGUGAAAGUAUGAAUGCAUAUCUUAGCCGAUUUGUCCAACAUAAACUAAAAUUGUAUGAGUUUGUGCGACAAAUCGAUCGUGCUCUCCGCAAUAUUCGUACCACAGAAACAUCCGAUGAGUUCAAAACCAAAUACAGUACUCCUGUCUUAAGAACUCACUUACAGAGCCUCGAGAAACAUGCUGCACAAUUGUUCCCGUUAAGAGUUUUUUCGAAGGUUAGAGAUGAGAUGCUGCGAGAAAGAGCGGUCAUCGAAGUAAAAACUGUCAAAGCUGUCGAUGUUGCAUUGUACACAGUGACUGAAUUUAGGACACCUACAACAUGUUGGAAUGUCAUCCACAAUCUACAAGAAAACCACAUACAGUGUUCGUGUCAAAUGAUGGAGUUUGUUGGGCUUCCUUGUAGGCAUAUGUUUCAUGUCUUGAAAGUGGAACAAAUUGAAAAGAUUCAUGACAAUAUGGUUUUUCGUAGAUGGACAAAAAAAGCCAAGGAGCACAAUACUUGCAGGACCACAAAACCAGAAGUUGACACUGAUGUUUCAGAGAUGGCUAGAUUUAGUGCAUUGUCUGCAGCCUGCAAUAAAAUGUGCUACAAUGCAGCAAAAAACGUUGAAGCCUAUGAAAAUGCAUUGGUAGAAAUCAAUCGGCUAACAUUAACUUAUGAACAACAAUCUGAACGAGACGGUCUCCCAAAUAAAAAAUUGCGGAUGGGAACAAAACUUCGUAAUCCUGCAGUUGUAAAAACCAAGGGCGCUAUGUCUAAAACAAAAUGUGUAGCAGAAAGCUCUAGAAAGUGUGGAAAAUGUCGUCAGGUUGGGCAUACAACACGAACUUGUUCUAUUCAAGGGAAUGAUAGCACCCAGCUAAGGUAUGUCCCAAGUUCUUUAUCAUGUGUUUAAUUAUUGCAUUGUUGGAUAUUUCAUUGCAAAUAACUUUCAUGGUAUUGAUUUAGUGUCGAUGGAAACUGUUUUGCCGCAUUCGAUUCAUCAAGCACCCAGAAUCUUGGAGCCUCUACUGGUGUCAAUCCAACAUUGUUAGGUCAUGCAAGCAACCAAUUUUCAAAUGUUUUUUAUUGGUGGCCUCAUUAAACAAUGCCAUUAAAAUGACUCAAUAUGUAUUACCAUUUGAAUUCCACUAUCAUGUACUAACAUGACAACCAGUUUAAUAUCAAAUGAUGAGAUGUGAACACUGUUAACAUGCAUAUGUUCAUUAUAGUUAAAUUAUGUCUCGGCCAAGAAUACAUAACCAUGUCAUAAAUUUAAAGAUAAUUCUCCAUUACAAUUGAUUUUACAACCAUCGUAAGCAAGAAGACAAAAAAAUUCACGGUAUUACCUCCCAACAUGUUUCAAACAUCUUACAACAAAAAAUAGUAUGCAAUCACUUGCAUAAUCAUUCCCUACUAUAGUUCGAUAUCUAAGCGCGUGUUCUCGUGUUAACUUUCUUCUUCUUACGAAUGUUGCCGCUUUGUUGGUGAAAUGACUUUUGCACUUGAGAGGAUACAGGGUUCACCAUUACAGCAUGAAUCGCAAACUGUGCAUUGCUUAGUUCCAGCAAUUUAUCUCGAUUUUGAUUCAAUGCAGAAUUAAUUAGUUGAAUGGCUAGCCUACCUCGUGUAUCCUCAGAUGUGAACUAGUCAAUUUGAAAGGAAACCAAUAUUACUUUCAUAUAAUAAGUAGCUUUUAUAUAAUUAUGAAGUUAACAAAAUUCUGAGUUCAACAAUUAAACAAGUUUGGCAUAGUCGUACCAAAGUGGACGAUUUCUUCGGAAUAAAUUCUGGGCUGUCCAUAUAGUUUAUCACAUAAACCCCACAGUCAUAUCCAUUCCUUUGCUUUGGAACUCCAAUGCCCCGGUUGAUUGGAAAGUCUUGAAACUUCAUGUGUUGCAUAUUGCUUGGCAAUUGGGGCUGCAUAAUCCAAUCCAAGGAAUGUAGCUGUCGGCAAUGUUGAAAACCAGACAAUAUUAUAGAUAUGAAUAUAACACAAUAUACAUAACUGAUAAUGUUAAAUAGAUAACAAAAAUAAAGAACAUGAUUAAGAUACAAUGCGCAUGGCUUGAUCGUGCCGUCUUCUAUUACUGCGGGGAUCUGGAAGAGGAUCCCAUAUUUCUGCACUUGUAUUUCUGACAUUCACGAUCAGUAGGUACCAAUGAGAUGAUUCAUCAUUUAUUGGCACAUAAAUCUAACAUUUCAAUUGUCAAUGUCAUACACCAAGCACACUAGUAGAAACUGAAAUAAGUUAAAGGUUAACAAACUAACCUUUUGACACUUAUGCACCUGUUGCAUAAAAUUCUUUCCACAUCUAGCUGCCCUUGCAAAACAAUCCACCUCAUCUCCGACCAUUAAAACUGCUUGCUACACAUAAUAAAGACAACGUUGAAUAAGGAAGUUGUCAAUAAAGAAACCAAAGCACAAUGCAACAAGUACCGGCGAGACUCACAGAAUAUCUUGUUGGUAAAUACCAGUUCAUUGGCACAUCUUUCUCCACCACCUACUGAAUGAGGGUGAGGUGAUGCGCUUUCAUAGAAAUCACCUAAAAGUGAUCAUAUUUAUUGAGAUAUAUAAUAACAUGUAAUAAACGAUAAACAUAUAUUGUGACAUCACCAAAUGUUGAAACCUAAUACCUCGCCACAUAGAUAAGCCCCCGGCAAAAGAGUCAAUAAAGAAUGCCGAUUAAGAAUUUCGCCGCAACUAGAAACAAUGAUUUCACUAAAGAUAAAACACGGUAAUUUUUUAGUCGUAUAGCAUAACAACUAUAUACAGAAAACUAAUUUCAGUCUUCUGAAUUUAACCUUCCCUCUGCGUCCUUGUUAAAAGCAUAUUGAAUAAGCUUCAAUUCUUCCAGCGUAACUGGAUCAUUGACUUGAAACGGACCAGCUUUAUACUUGGGAUUUGCUCCCCUGGACACUUGAUCGUACGGUGAAAGUUGAUAUCGGCCUGGCCUACGAUUCCUACUUGGUCGCGUUGGCAGGACACUGAGACUAGUAGAUGUUUGAGGUUCUUGCUUAAGUUGAACUGGUUCAUCUAUAUCCUUUAUAAAAAAUAAAUUUAUAUGUAAGUUACUUCAUAAGUGAGUUAUCAUUGAAAUCAUUUUAAGAAAACGACGUUAUAAAACUGUACCUCAUCUCGGAGAUUAGGUGGUGGAAUAGGGACAAAGUGGGUAGGAUCUUUGCGAAAUUCACCGAUUCCUUCUCUUGUCCCCAUCCAGCCCAUUAAUUUAUCGAGGCUCAGGUUCAAUCUGCGAUCCACAGAGUCCUCGUCGCUAUCCAUUACCAUUUUGUUUUUUUCCAUCAGUAGUUGGCUCGGUUUUUCUGACUGGACAUGUUGGUUCUACUAUUUUCAAGCUCGGAGAUUGCGGGCAUGGAUCAGAUGGUUGUUUUGAUAGUGCACCAACCGGAGACUUGGAUCUCAAUUCCUCCAAAGACUUCUCAACCAUUUCCAUUCUCACAUUGAAUGAAUCCAUUUUGUGUUCAAUUCUGUGGACACACUGUGUUAGUACCCUAAAAGCUUCCUCCAUAUUAACAGUGCUCGGCCCAACAUCUUCGGUUUGUUCAAAAUGAGCGAAAUUUCUUUCGAGCUGCAGAAAAUUUGAUUCACGCAUUGGAACCUAAAAUAAAUAUGCACAACAAUCAUACAUAAUGACAAUCAAAAUAUAUUCAAUUAACCGUAAACAAAAUUAAAUACAUGUGUGAACAAGACAAAAAAUAAAACAAACCUCAGUACUGGUCAUGUCCCCAAACUUUUUCCGCCAAUUCAAUAAGCGCCGAAUCUCUUCCUUGGUCCAUACACUAACAGGGCAAACUGUUCUGUCCAUGGAACACCGAUCAUAUAAAACAGCACUAAAGUAGAACAACUGUACAUUCAAAAAACAAUUACUACGUCAUUUUAUUUUUCGUAUUUGGAAAAUUAAUUAUGGCAUCUAAGAUUUCUUAAAUAUACCUCUAAAAACACAACACAACCACUAACUGACUUCACUUGAUUAUCUUUAUACUUCGCUAUGCCCUCCCACAGAAAGUUGAAACACCAUGUAGCCCAAUUCUUUUUCCUAAUUAAUUGCACAUCUUUUAGGGAAUGCAGAUACAUCGGAUUGAUGUAGCUGGCACUUGUGGGACACAAUACAGUUCCUAGAAGAAACAAACAAAACAUGAUCUUAAAGUCAUCAUCACUACUCUCACUAGCUAUUAUUCUUUCACUAACUGCGGCUAUUUCAAUUCCUCUUCCACUUGUUCUAUACUUGGCACGCAGUUCAAUUAUAUCACCCGCUUCUUCUCGGAUGUAUACUGGUUCCCCUCCAUCUUUGAUCCCCAUUACGAUGCUGAAGGUUGUAGGGUUUAAACAAAACUCUCUCUCGUGCAAAACUAUACAGUGCCUCUUUGUAUCACAUUGUUGGACAAGUGUUUCACAGAAGUCUUGUCUCAGGCGACCACAUCGUAAUUCUAGCAUGCUUCCGAAGCUAAUUUCUCUAAUUGCAGCUUGUUGGUCGGCCGAUAGUGUGGAAAUGACCUUAGUGAGUGCACUGACACGACAACGAGAUAAAUUACAUUGGCUAUGCUUAUCCCCAAUUUUUUGUUCUUCAUCUUGUUUUUCAAUACUCCUUUCACCAACAUUUGAACUUGGGUCCUCAUGCAUCGUACCAAAUCGGCACUUCUCCUCAUUCGUUAAUUUCUUCCAUUUUUCAACAAUUGUCGCCCUACAAACUUUUUUGAUCCCUUCUUGCCUGACCUUUUCUGCUUCAUGCUUACUGUACACAACAUUUUAGUUCAACUAAUUACGUCAACAAAAUUGUUAUAAUAAGAACCUUAUUCAAAGCAAUAAUUUUAUACUUACAAAAAGUGUAUCCACGCUCUCUGACCAGGUCCUCCCCUUCUGCCUUAUGUGGACUCCAUUUUAUAACUGUAUGCUAUAUUUUAAAUCCUGAAAUAGACCACACAUAAAUGUAGUAUCAAGGCCGGACCCAUAACAAUGGCUAAGUUCUUGGCAAAUUAUUGAGCGCUCAUCUUUAGUAUUCCUACCAAAGACUGUAGAGCUCAAAACAAGCAAACAACACCUAAAACCAAACAAGAAAAAUUUAGGGUUCCCAUAGAAAAAUAACACUUAAAAACCAAAUCUCAAAAAAUCAACCACAAAAUAGAAAUAAAUUAAAAAAUGCCAUUGAAUUUUUACCAACUAAUGCCAUUGAAACCACGCAAAACCAUGGGAACAUUGCAUCCCCUUCUAAAUAUCUUUCUUCAAUUUAAUGCUUGAAUUACAGUACAUCAAUCAUAUCAGGAUUGAGGAUUUUCUUGCCAAUUUCAUGCUUCCAAGCCAUUAAUCAUCUCUUCAACAUCAAUUUUUCAUCAUCUAAAUAUCUUUUUUCACUCUAAAUUACCAAACUUCUAAUUGUUUCAAAUCUCUAAUUAUUUCACACAAAAUUUAUAGUACAUCACAAAAACCACAAAGGUCAAAAUUACCUCAUCACCUUCUCGUUAACUCACAAAAUGAAAAGGAAAGAGAGGAACUUGUGUUCAUCUUCAACACCUCAGGAUGACAGCGACCGCUUCAUGGAUUCCACUUCUUAUUUGCUUUGAACGAGAUGGUGCCUUUGAUCUUCUAUGAUUACUAAACAAAUAGAAGAGAGAAAUUUGAGAGAAAUUUGUGAUUUCAAAGUGAGAUGUGAGAGAUUGGGAAUGGCCUGGGUGAAACCCUCAAAAAGCAAAAUUUUGUUUUGCAAGCUUUGGGAACCGGUUUAAUAAGUUAACAAUUUUUUCCUCUUUUUUAUUUCUUUUCAAUCUCAGCCGUUGGAUUCAUUUUACUUGAAUCCAACGGCUGCGUUUACAAGCCGGCACAAUGCCGGGCCUCAAUGCCCGGCAUUGUAGCUUUAGCCAAGUUUAGUUUACAAUUACACCGGUGUCAAAUCAGCAGAGCAUCGGCAAGAGUUUUCGAUUGUUGCAAUUUGCAAUGCAUGUGGUACAUGCACGCACUAAUAAAGAAACACAAAAAGUGCAUUCUCAAGCCAAUAGUAUUUGUUUUUAAUCGCUACUUUGCAUAAUAAUGUAGCUUAGUUAGGAAAUUUGUAAUUAUAUUAUGCGUCCGUUUGGUAUAACUUUUUAAUUAGAACUUAUUUAAGGAGAACUAUUGUUUGUAGAGUUUUUAUAAAUAGAAAUUUUAAUUAAAAAAAAUUAUAAUUAUUUAGUUGUCAAUGUCCAAAUUGAUGAACUAUUGUUCUUUUUGUUAACAUGUGUUUGUUUUACUUAAUAAUAAAACUUUAGUUUACAAUUACACCGGUGUCAAUUAUACUAAUAGCAUCGGCAAGAGUUUUCGAUUGUUGCAAUUUGCAAUGCACGCGGUGAGAGAAAAUGAGAAUCUUGUUUAAUCCUUUCAUUAGGAGUAAUUUAAUAAUCGUUUGUUAUAAUAGAAUAUGUAUAAAGAAAGGAAAAUUAUAUUCAUAGAUUUGGCUUAUUUUUUGUUUAAAGUAAUUCAGAUCAUUACAACGUCCUUUUCGCUAAUUAAUUACAACGUCCUUUUCGCUAAUUAAUUAUGAUUAUAUACAUUUUCAUAUGGCAAGUGGCAUUGUAGAUCUAAACGACGUUGCUAUUUCAAUACGUUAAUUAAGUGAUUCUCCUGAUUGUCAUCAGCGCUAUACCCUCUAGGAAAAUAGCUCAAUUGUUUUCCUGCAUUGAUUUUCAUUGGUAUGUGAUUUCUUAUGAAAUUCUUUUGAGCUUUCCUUAGUUAAAAAGCUUGAGCUUUUAUCACCUAAUACUGAUAUCAAUUAACUUGUGAACGAUUUUAUACCCUCUCUUUUUUUUCUUUUUUUUUAAGUACUCUGUUGAAAGCCAAAGUUCCUUUGGCCAGUUAAUUUAGAAGUGAAGGAAAGAAUAAAGUUAGGCCUCGACGUCUUUUGAGAUUAGAAAUACAUUUUGAAUGCUUUAAUAGAUGCAGAGCAAACUGGCUCGAUAUCUAACUAUUUUAAGAGCUAAAAUCAUUUAUUAGAAGUUGUAGCAUUAAAAAAAAUGGGCUUGAUAUCCAAUUUUGUUAUUGAAUAUGUCUCACGUGUUACUGGCAGAUGGCUAUGCUAGGUUUUAUUGCUCCUUGAAUUUGAUUGAAAAAUUAUUGAGGCGGACAAGUUUGGACCAUUGUUGGACACUGAAACUACACAUCAGUCUUAGAAAAUUGUAAUUUUGUUGGCUUAUCAUGAUUUUGAUCGCCUCACAUUGAUUUUCCUAUGACGUCUCUGUAGAGUGGCUAUGCUUACAUUUUUAGGUAUUUAAUUCUAAAAAUUAACUUAUUAGAUGGAAGGACCAAUUCUACCUGUAAAUACAAGUGGCUUCCCUUUACCAACUCAUACAAGACACAACAAUAAUCUUCUUCAGAAAAAACCACCGUCGGAGGGCUAUUUUCGUUCAACAUAAAUGAGUUGUUCCGCCACCAUAUUUUAAGGGUUUGCUUCUAAUACAACUUGGGGGAGCUAGGGCUAAGAUUUCUAAGAAUCAACAUAAAAACCUUGCCUAUUGGAUGGAAGGACCAAUCCCACUUAUGAGUCUAAAUGACUAAUUUUUGAGGACACAACUCAACAGACCAAUAUAAACUUUUGACGUCCCAUUUUAUUACUUUCCUGUGUUUUUACUUUUGAUGCUGUCUAUAGCCCUACUAUUCUAUUAAGCAGAAAAUAUUUCAAGGCACUCUCGGUCCAGUAGAUAACUUUGGUAUUUAUUAUCUAUUUUCUUUCCAUUUUAUGUAAACCCCGAUCUUUACCUCUGAUUGGUUGUAGAUUCUUUUGUUGCUUUGGGGUUAGGGGAUGGUUUUCAUAACUAUUAAGUUGAUCAAUGCAGAAAAUCACCAUCAAGAAAUGAUAAAGGAUUGUUAGUUCUAUCUGACAAACAACAUUAAUAUGAAGGAUGAUGAUUGUUCUGUUCAAGAGUUUAUAAUGACAUAAUUCUACUUUGGUCUUUUAAAAAAAGUAAUUUAGAAACGAGUAUGUGAGUGAUGACUUUUACAAAAUAAAUUACAUGCGCAGUGAUGAUUUUGACACAUGAAAAUGAAAAAAGAAAUAUAACUUGUGAAUAAUAAUUGAAGUACCUGCUAUUGUUAUAUUGGGUAUUGAUAAAUGGAUGGUUUUGGAAGAAUUGAAAAUGAUGGCAUAAGUAAACCGAAGUUAAGAGAAAAGAGAAAGAGCAUUUGAACUUUACUAGUAAGUAAAGGCAAAUUUCUUGGUUCAAGAAAAGAUAAGAGAUAUCAAACUAGCAAUAGGAAAAAGGAGGAAGGUUAAGACAGCAUCUUAACAAAAGCUAAAGAAAAGAAAAACUUAGUUCAAGCAAAGAACAAUGUGCUAAUGUCGUGUAAUCUUGUUUAAUUUCUUUUUCUUCUCACAUUUUCCAGGGCUUAAAUAAUACAAUAUACAUUUUCAAGCAAAGAACAAUAUGCAAUUGCAGUACUUCUGAGCACACAACAACAAAUAAAUAGUACAAUAUACAUACCCACUAAAUUAAAAAAAAAAUAUUAUUCAAGUUUGUGGACAAUACUGUAGCCAUGCCGUCGUCGAAAUCUACUGACAGCUGAAACAAAGAAAGAAUGGAUGAAUGCUGGAUCACAGUUGAAAUUGAAGGUCUGGUAGGUGAUGUUUCCCUCUCUGAUUUUACCUAAACAAAUACAAAAAAAUAAGAAUCACAAAUGAAAAUCUGCUAUUACACUGUUCUUACUUAUUAAAAUACAGAGGUUUCUUUGUUUCUCUGCAGCAAUGUCCAUGGCUAUUAGAAACAAGAACAAUUAGACCAGCAUUUGCAAGAAUCCUUUAAGGUAUUACUGCAGAUAUAAAUCCACUGAGGAAAUGGAAAAAGUGAAUACCAAAUUAGGCAAGUUAAAUGAAGAUUGAGUUAUCAUAGAAGAAUAAAACUCAUCCAAUUCAAUCCAUCAAAUUCCAUAAGGAUACAACUGGAUGUCAUACUGCUGCUCCAUAUCCUCAAGAGCCCGUAGAUUUUGCCUCAACUCUGGCUGAGGCCAAUGUAAGUCCAAUUUGCAAAAGCUCUUUAUGCACCAUAGCUCUUCAGGAAGCUUUCUCAAGUAAGCACAAGGGUUGACAAUUAUGCUCCCAAGUUUUGGCAUUGCUCCAGCCCCUAUCGUCCACUCCUCUAGCCAACAAAUUGAUUUCAGGUGCAAUACUUUGAGCUCCGGGAAACCACAAGAGCAAACACAAGCCAGUUUUCUUCCUGAAUAUGAGUUCUGCUUCAAUUUCAGCACUUGAAGGUGUGGAAGCUUGUCUAGUGUUAGCAUGGUAUCCGCCAAUAACUCAGUAUUUGAUAAGCUUAGUUGGAUCAGACUUGGAGAAGCUGGUAUUUAGACAGGGCCAUCCGAGAGAGCUACCACCUCUUGGUUUCGUUCACCAGCUUCAAGCAUUCAAGUUUGUGUAGUUCGCAUAGGCUUUUGGAAACCCCAGAACGAUAAUAACUCAAACCUCCAGAUACUAAGAGUUUGAAAAUGAGGUAGUCUGCCUGUUAAAGUAGCUCACUAUGCUGAACGAAAGAAGGAGAAAGCUAAGCUGAAGAAAAUACAGGGCAAGAGUAUUAGCUGUGCCAGCUCAACUGACAGCUCAGCAAAAUCAGUUAAAUUUUGUUACAAGCCCCCUGUGCAUUGUGCUGAAGAUUAGUUAGUUUAAUAAUGAUUAGUUUUAGAUUAGUUAAAAUGUAAUCAUGAUUAAGAUAUAUAUAUAUAUAUAUAUAUAUAUAUAUAGAUAUAGAUAUAUAUAUAGCUGCUGUACUGAUAGGGCAUCUCAAAAGUUCUGAAAUAAUACCUCAAUUCUAUGGCAAAAAUAAAUAAUCUCAAACAAGAACCAAUAAUCAUAUUUUGUUACUGUCAAACACAAUGCAUAUGAGCAAAACAUUGGAAGCCAACACCAGAAUACAUAUGAAUAAACAAUUAAAGAUAGAGAAAAAAGGCUUAAACCUUGGGGGAAAAAAGUGAAAAAACAUGAAAGACAAAUUACACAUGUGCAGUAACCAUCGAACUUAUCAGUGACAGCUGCAUCCAUUACAUUGCUCCAACAACACAAUGGCAAACCACCAGUUUCAAAUUGAGGAUAGCUAUCGAGAAUGAGAAAGUGUCCAAAACAUCAUAAAUAGACAUGUUCCUAUUGUGCAUAAUUUACAUUAUAGGCAAAUAUUCUUAUACCAUCAAAGGCAAAACAUGACACUAACAAUUGAUCCCCCCCCCCCCCCCCCCCCCCCCCCCCCCAACAAAAAAAAAGGAAAAAACAAUACAGAAAAGAUUGAAACAGAUAAGGCUACACUGAGCACAGGAUGCCAUGAAACAUAAUCCAGGAACCAAAUUAAUAAAGAAGGAAGGCAAACCAUUAUUUAACAAUCUGUUUUGUAUUUGGGAAAGUCCGAUAAAAUCUACUUAGGGAUAAUUAGAGAACCUCAACUAUUAAUCACACCUCAUAAAUGAACUAACAUUAACCAUGUACCAUCCCCACAUCAGACAAACAUUCUCUAUACUUCUGAACCUAAUACUUCCAUCUUCAAUUGGGGUUUUUUUUUGUGGGGGGGGGGGGGGAUAAGCUAUCGUGUUUCUAAGCUUGCUUACCUUCUGUGUGGGACUGAAAUACUGAUUUCGAAUCAUUAACAGUAAAAUUGGAAGCUCAUGAAAAAACAAUUUUAUCUUUUAACAAAAGUUAAAAUUACAUCUCCAUAUAAAUUCUCUUUUCAUUUCCUUCAAUUUUCUAAUUAAGCUUAAAAAAAUGUACCUUCAACCACAAAGGGGUUUAAAAUUUAAAAUAUAUAAAAAAAUAAAUUCAGAUAACAAUAAUUAAUUUAAUUAAAAAUAUAAAUAGAGAUUACAGAGAAAGAGAAAAUAGAGAAAGACCUAAUGUUGAGUCCUUUGGUUCUCUUCAUAGGUCCGAACCAUUUCUUCGGGCGUGGGUUUCGGGUCUUUAGGAAACUCCAUCGUCAUAAGCCAGUGAUUGUAAUCGCAACCCUCCAACAGAAUCGUGUCGGGUGUGAUCUCGUCGCCGUCCUUACACAAGUGGUAAGUCUUGUUACCCGACGGCGCAGACGAGAGGGAGAUCGUCGGGGACGAUCUGAACGGCCGAGAAUGGAUGAUGAUGGAGGAGGAGGAGGAGAUUAGCGAUGACGACGCCGAUGAAAUGGAAGGGUUUACCAGAGGAGUGGAUGCCGAAAGUGCAGGGACGGCCGCCAGGAGAGAGCGGUGGAGAGCAGCGACGGCCGGCAGUGACCGGCGGAAGAUGGCGGGAGAUGGCAGCGUGGGCCAUUGCUUGCGCGUCAGUGAGUGUCUCGAGUGAGAGAGUGAAGGUAGGGAUGGCAAUGGGGAGGGAGGGAGGGUCCAAUCUCUCCGUACCCAUCCCCCAAUUUGUCCCCGUCCCUCCCCGUCCCCAUUUGCUUAGAAUCUCCAUCUCUGCUCGAAUAAUAACAGGAAAUCCUCGAGGUUCUAAAUAACUAAUAAUUUUUUUUAUUUUUUAUUUUUUUAUUUUUAGUUAAUUAUAUUAAAAUAAAAAAUAAAAAAUAAAAAUAAAAUUUAAAAUAUAUCUUAUAUUAAUAUUGAUCCAUUAUAAAAAUUACAUGUAAAAUAUAAAUUAUCAAAAUAAUUAUCUUUAUCAAUCUUCAUAAUCAUAUAAUAAAAAGAAAAAAAUUUACUUUUAUAUUGAUAAUAAAAUAAAUAUAGAUAAUUAAUUAAUAUUUUUAAUAAAACAAAAUUUUUGGGCUAAUAGAAUCUACCCUGCUUUUUUAAUAUCUUAAAUAAAAAUUUAAGACUUUAAUUAGUUAAUUAGGCCUAAAAAUUUAAUAAUAUAAAUAUUUUGAUAUUUUUUAUUUUACCAAUAUUUAUAAUUUUAUAAUAUAUUCAAUUUUUAUUAUUUAUUUACUAGUAAUUUUAAAAAAUAAAAAUAAAAUUAAAAAAUAAAAUGGGGGAAAUGGGGAGGGGAUGGGGAUUCCACCUCAUCCUUGUCCCUUCCUCGAAUAAGAAAUUGAUUAAAAAAAAUUUCCCGUCACUUUCUCGAAUAAGAAAUCGGGUAUAAAAUUAUCCUCGUACCCUCCUCGAAUGAGAAAAAUCUCCGAGGAUACCCAUACCCGUGGGGAUUUUUGCCAUCCCUAAGUGAAGGAUUUUGUUUAGGGUUUUGGGAAUUGAAAAAUGUAAAUGUUUGAUUUUGUUGCUAGAAACUUCUUCUGCCGCUGCUUUUUAUUUUCGCUAUAAAAGUAAUAAUUUGUUAAUCAAAUAUUUUCUUAAAAAAGAUAAAUUUCUAGAACAAAAUUUAUAUUAAAUCAAAUUGUAAAAAUGUGGAAUAGGGCUAAUUUCUCCUUAAUAUUAUUGUUAGUAGAAGUAGAUUUUCGAACUAGUCUUGAUAUAUUUUAGAGUUGUAUUAUAGAUGUAUAUGUAUCUAGAUUGUAAUUAUAUUUUAAAAAAUAUAAUUUUUUUAAUUAUUGCACAAUAAGUGUAGAAAAUAUCUAUAAAAUAAUAUUAUUAGAACUAUGAAAAGAAUUUAUUUUAGAGAAGUUGUUUUUUUAUUAUUGAAUUUGUUAAUUUAUUAAUUUAUUGACAAAUGAAUAUUUAUUAAUUUAAAGAGGGAUUUUUUUUUAUUUGCUUUUAAGAAGAGUUUUGUUGGUACAUGUACAUACUUAUAAAGAAAUACAAAAAGUGCUUCCUCUGUUCCUCAAAUCAAUAGUAUUUACUUUAAUUCAUAAUAAUAUAGCUUAUUUAGGAAACUUGUAAUUAUACCAUGUCUUUGUUUCUUUGUUCAUUUUGGUGGGACAAUGUGAUAAAUGAUUGGAUUAAAAUGCAUUAAUAAAUAAAAACUUAUUAAAACCUAAUUUAUUUGGGAACCACAUAUUAUUUGUCAGUAGUAUUUAUCAACUUAACAAGUUAUUUCUAAUUUGUCCCUCUCUAUUAAUGGUUCUCUUAAAGCCAAUAGGGUCGCAUUUGAUAUCUUGCCAUUACCGUUGGCAGUAGCGUGUUACCUAAGAUUUGGAUUCAUUGAAAUCCUCAAUGUAAUCGGUGGAACGAAUGGAUUUCUUCUAUUCAUAAUUUGAUGCUUUGGAUUCAUUGAAAUCCUCAACGCAUUUGAUAUCUUUUUCGUUGAAUUCGUGCAGUUAAAUAAUCUCUACCAACAUAUGUAUGUAUGUAUGAAAUUGGAGUAACCAGACCUUUUCAAGAGUUAAAUAAUCUCUACCAACAUUGUAGAUUGCCCGAUAAAGUUAACUGUGUUACCCAGCUCUAUGCAUAUACAUUAAAUGCAUGUUUGGGUAGUUUUAUAAAAUGAUAACAGCAUGUCAAAACUUGAUAUGAGUUAUAUUGUCAUAUUCGACAUUUUUAAAUUGAAAAAUAAGCAAGCAAUCUUCAGUGAACAUUACAAUUUUGUUCGCUCUACACCCCAUCAAUAUUUAAGCAAUCUACAUAUCAUUACUUGAGGAAAGAAACUCAUUGCGCCACUAGGCUUUUAACGAGGCUCAUUUCUAUGAAUCUGGAUAGCAUUAGAUAUCUCUCCGAAUACUGUUGGGAGUAGAUUGCAGUUCUCUGGGCUAUACUACAAAGUGUAUGUACGUUGAUUCUCUGAUAUGAUUCAAAACAUCAGUACAUGCAUCAUUUAAUGAGAAAGAAUAUUCUGAGAUUAUUUAUGCAUCACCAUUUGUAGUUGUACUGACUCUAAUGAAAUUAAAGGUGCAAUCAGCAACUAAAAUGAAGCCAGAAAGACACGCAUGAGGCAGUUUUCCUAGAAGAUUUGAUAUUUCUUUGACUAGCAAACCAUACGACAUUAAUCAAAACACAAUACGCACAAACAGACCCCUACAUACAUACCAGCAAAUUCAAAAUAGAAAAAGGAGUGCAACUAUUCAAGUUUGUAGACAAUAUUGCAGCCAUGGCAUAUCAAAGCAAAUCCUUGAAAUGUGCUAAACAGAACAAUGCCCUGUCUGAUGAAUCGACGCUCAAUUACAAUUGAAAUUGAAAGUCCGGCUGGUGUUGUUUCCCUCUCCAGUUUUGCCUACAUAAGUAAAGGGAAAUGAGAAUCAUAAAAGAAAAUCUGCUUUUAUGGUUCUUAUUAGAUAGAUAAAAAGGGAUCUUUCUUUGUUUCUCUGCUGCAAUGUGUGGCUAUCCCACUCUGUUUUGCCAGUCAAGCUGAGUCUAUGUUGAGACAUAAUUUUGACAUCAGAAGCGGCCUCAAUUAGUUUGGCACUUUUGCGAUAAACAUAAAUCUACUAAGAAAGUGCAAAAAAAAAAAAGAAAAUGAAUAUAAAAGUAUGAUUUAUCAGAUAAGAUUAAAACUCACCCAAUUAAAUCCGUCAGAUUCCAUAAGGAUAUAACUGGAUGUCAUACCGCCACUCCAUAUCCUCGAAAGUCCGUAGUCUUUGUCUCAGCUCUGUCUGAGGCCAAUGUAAAUCCAAUUUGCGCAAGCUCUUUAUGCACCACAGCUCUUCUGGAAGCUUUCUCAGGUAAGCACAUGGGUUGACAAUUAAGCUUUCAAGUUUUGGCAUUGUUCCUCCCCCCAUCGUCCACUCAUCUAGCCAAUACAUUGAUUUCAGGUGCAAAACCUUAAGCUCCGGAAAGCCACCAGAGCCGACACAGGCCAGCUUUCUUCCUAAAUACGAGUUCUGCUUCAGUUUCAGCACUCGAAGGCGUGGAAGAUUUUCCAGAAUUGGCAUGGGAUCCUCCAUUAGCUCAGUAUUUGAUAAGCUCAGUUGGAUCAGACUUGGGGGAAAUUGGUAUUCAGAC
Molecule: long non-coding RNA, 127881 nt
Filed under: Citrus x clementina
Lineage: Eukaryota; Viridiplantae; Streptophyta; Magnoliopsida; Sapindales; Rutaceae
Description: Citrus clementina (C. clementina) long non-coding RNA (CCLE_LNC002394)
Source: RNAcentral